This 108243-nucleotide long non-coding RNA is filed under the name Eucalyptus grandis. Its description in RNAcentral is "long non-coding RNA (EGRA_LNC000617)". The record is from RNAcentral. Lineage: Eukaryota; Viridiplantae; Streptophyta; Magnoliopsida; Myrtales; Myrtaceae.
CCUCCUCCCGGCACUUCUAUUUUUCCUUCUCAACCGGAAGCGCACCAAGCUUCCCCCUCAGCCCCCCGCAUGGCCCGUGAUCGGCAAUAUCCUCGACCUCGGGACCACGCCGCACCAGAACCUCCACAACUUCCGAGCCAAGCACGGGCCUGUGACGUGGUUGAAGCUCGGUUCCGUGAACACCAUGGUGAUCCAAUCAGCUCAGGCCGCCACAGAGUUCUUCAAGGGCCAUGACUUCGCGUUCGCAGACCGCAAGUGUCCCCAUGCAUUGACAGCUCUCAAUUAUGACCAAGGCUCGCUCGCUGUGGGUCGUUACGGUGGCUACUGGCGCGUUCUCAGGCGUCUCUGCUCUGUUGAGUUCCUCGUGACCAAGCGCGUCAAUGAGACGGCCCAUCUCAGGCAGAAGUGUGUCGACAACAUGGUCGUUUAUUUGGAGGAAGAAAUGGCGGUUAAACAAGUAACAACAGGUUAUUUCUUACGUGCUUCGUGUUACGUUGGACGUUUGCGUUGCAUGUGUAACCUUGAAUGACUGAAAUAAUAGUUUUCUUCUUCAAAGGAAAAAAAAAAAAAAAAGCAACAGAGAGAGAGAGAGAAAGGAACGUUUAAACUCCUUACAAAAAUAUCAAAAUAGGAUGAAGGCCAAUACCCUACACAAUAUUCCCACUAGUGUCACAAGUUCUUCUCAUUAAUAUAUGUAAAAUCAACGGUUAAGAUAUCUUGGGACUUUUGCACCAUUAAGAGUUAAUGAUUCACGCUGUCAAAAGAAUCGUAACCUGCAACUAGAUCUACCUAAGAAAACAUUGGGCCUGCUUUUUACGGAUGAAGGAACCGGCGGUCUUUCUUUUUUGCAAAAUGUACAAUUAAGUUCCAGAAUCUUUUUUUUUUUCUUUUUUCUACUAUUGAGUUCUUAAAUUAUACAUCUUUUAAUUUGAGUUAGCCCUCCUCUUAAAUAUGCGAAUGCAUUGGUUACGAUGAAUAUUGCAUCCCCACCAUAUGUUAGCACUGACUAGACUAACUAAUUAGGGAGACAUGAAUUCUUUUUUACUUAGUGCUAAGAUGGGUAAGAAAGAUUAUAAAAAUAAAGAAAUCUAAAUCCAAGUAAACAUUCACCAACCCAAGCGUUGCCUCAAUUUAUUGCAUGACCCCGGGCGACAACUUACCUCGACCCCUAGUUAUUCAAUUUUUCUAUGUCAUUCUAUUUUUAAGUUUUUUAAGAAGUCACUUAAGACACCAUGUUGGCUUUCAAUGAGGACCUAACCGCCAUGUCAACAUUUAUAUAUACUUCUUUAAUGGAAGGACUAAAUCAAAGAAGAAGUUAUACGGCUCGAGGAUCUAAUUGCACAACAAAUUUAGGAACCUAAUUAAAACUUUUUACAAAAGUUUAGGGACUGCUGGUACUUUUAUCCCUUUGUUUUGUUACUAUAAUUGACGAAUUCAAUAAAAUAGAUACCAGUGUAAAUAAUUCAAGUUGCCCAAGAGCUAUUGGUGUUUAAAGUGCUAUUUAGUCAAACUUGCUUUCAUUCUUCUCGAGUUUGAGUCGAACUAGAGUGGCUCUACUGUUGAAUUAUGCCAAGCUCGAGUAGCUUUACCAUUGAAUUGUGUCAAACUCGAGCAUGAUCAAGUAGUUGGGUUUUAUAUAUCUUCUGAUGCAUUGAUCAAGUAUAUCCCCAUUACUAUGCAAGAGAAUGCAAAAGUAAACUUUCCACUUUAUUUUAUUUGUGCAAGCCAAGUUGGAGUUUUUAAGAGUUCAGAUGCUAAUUUAGUUUUUAUUAGUGAAAAAUAUUCGAAAACAAGCUUAUCAAGAACUUUAUUAAGUUCGACUUGAGCUUGAAAAAUCCAACUUUUGUCUUGAAAGUUGCAGCUUGGAGGUUGAUUCCUCCAUCCCUCCUUAAACUAGUUGUAUAACUUGGUGCAAUAAUUUUUUUUUUUUCAUUUCUAAUUCAUUACGUUCUGCUAUACAUUCUCUAAUUAUAAUUAAUCGUUAAAAAUUUCUAAUUUUUAUGCAGAACAAGGAAUCGACUUAUCCCACUUCCUCUUUCUCAUGGCAUUUAAUGUGGUGGGUAAUUUGGUGCUCUCACGGGAUCUUUUGGACCCAAAAUCGAAGGACGGGCCUGAGUUCUUUGAUGCCAUGAACCGGUUCAUGGAAUGGGCUGGCAAGCCCAACGUAGCCGACUUCCUGCCGUGGUUGAAAUGGUUGGACCCACAGGGGAUCAAGGCAAGCAUGGCGAAGGACAUGGGUCGAGCCAUGAAGAUUGCUGAAGGUUUUGUAAAAGAGAGGUUGGAGGAGCGAAAGCAAAGGGGAGAGAUGAGAACGACAAAUGACUUCUUGGAUGCGGUAUUGGAUUAUGAGGGCAAUGGAAAAGAAGGCCCUCGCAAAAUCUCUUCCCAGAACAUCAUCAUAAUAAUUCUGGUAUCCUCUCUUCCACUCUUGGCAAAAAAGAAAUGAUUAACAUCUUAAGGAUAUUAGGUCCAGUUCGGUUUGUAAAGUGGGGUGGUAAACUUAAUUGACAAUUAACAAGCAGGUCAUAUCACGCGUCAUUUUCUACAAACUUGUGUUUUCGUAGAACAUUCUAGCACUAGAUUUUGUAAUAACUAGCCUUUUCCAAUCAACUAUCUAUGAAAACAUUUUACACUUUAAGUUUGUAGAGAACGUUGCAUAACAAAAAGCUACUACUAUUAUAAAGAUGUUUCCAUUCUUUCCUGAUUUAGCCAAUCUGUGCUCAUUUUGUAAUAACUAGCUAAGAAUGUUCUACAAAUCACAAGAAUGAUUUAUGGUUAUUUUCUUUACAAAAAUAAAAAAUAAAUCUAGUGCUAGAAAGACACAUUGAAUGAUUUGUUAAGUUAAGUUGAUGUCAAUUUCACUAAUUAAUAGAACAUGUUGGGUAUCCACAAUGGAUGAGUGAAUGGUAUGUUGAUCAAAUGUAUGAUAUGAUAUUGACUAAAUAUAAUCGAUGUUCAAACACCAGCAUUGAGUAUAAGAAGCCAAUAAGAUUAAGUUGACAAGGCAUGAACAGUUUUUGUCCAUGGACUUAUAAAUGAAAGUCAAGUUAAUGUCGGUCGAGUCAAGAAGUAUUGACAUUGGCUCACAAAAUUUGGUCGAAUCAAACCGACUGCAAGGAUAAAACUAGCGCGAACAGUUAUUGUAGCCAAACUUCUAGGACGGAACAAUUUUUAAAGUUGUUGACCGGCAGUUGAAGUGAAGCAAUCGUUGUAGCCGAGACUACAAAAAGAGCACAUCUUAAGGGAAAAAGACGCACACACAUAAAAAGAACACACUUCACUUUCUUGCCAUUCAUUUUCAGUUAUUUCUCAGCAACUUAAUUCUUGCCAUUCCAGUUGUUUAUUUCAUUUUUUCCAAUCAAACACCUGCUCUUGCCCUUUUAUAAAUAUUCCUGUUGUCAUUAGUGGAUUCAUUUCGUCAAUUUUAGGAUCCAAUCAUCAAAUUCUUGUUCCUUUCUUUAUGCGCAAUUGUCUGUCAAUUUGAAGCAUAGGAGCUGCUAUGUUUGAUAAGGAUUGUAUCAGGUGAAGCAUGAUGAUUUUUACUGUUAAGCCCACGAUUUGAGGGAGUGAUUUUCGAGCGAAACUGAUUAUCUUAAUUAUAGCAAAAGAAUCAGCAUUGGUGGUAACCCUAGCAAGAAAUGAUCUUGUACUAAAUGUGUCUAAUUCAUGGUGCAGGAAAUGUUUUUCGCUGGAUCAGAGACUACAAGCAGCACCAUCGAGUGGGCAAUGGCGGAGCUACUCCACCAACCCGUGUCAAUGAAAAAGGCCAAAGAUGAGAUUAACCAGAUUGUGGGGUUGAACAGAAAACUCGAAGAAAGUGACACGGAAAAAAUGCCGUUUUUGCAAGCUGUGGUGAAGGAAACCCUGAGAUUGCAUCCACCAUUACCUUUGCUUAUCCCACGAAAUGCUAUAAAAGAAACCAAUUUCAUGGGAUUUGAUAUACCCAAAGAUACCCAGGUUUUCGUGAAUGUAUGGGGCAUUGGAAGAUGUUGGAGAAAUCCUCAUGAAGUGUUUUGAAGUUGACAAAACGUUUCCAUCAGUCUAGUCUGAAGGUCUGCAGACUCUGUUAGUUAAAGUCUGAAGACUUCCGGACAGCCAGACUCAAGACUCAAAGUCUAUCCUCAUUGACAGUCUCUAAUCCGUUGAAGAAAGGUUAUCCAGAACUGGAUGUUUUGUUCAGGAUUUAACCUUAUCAUCUAGAGAAGAUCUCGUGGCUGGAGAAGACGUAUCAGAAUCCUUUGAUUGAUCAAGUUUGAUUCAAUGAAUGAAGAUUCGAUGAUUGUCUAAAUAUUAUUGGAAGGUUCUACUUAUGGAAACCGAGAUCCUGAUUGUAUGGACGAACAUGAUUGAUGGGCUAUCAACACGUUCCUUUAAUAGCUCGAACAAUCUUCCUAAUUGAUUCCGUCCAACGGGUAGAUUGGAGGAAUUCCUUUGGUAAGUGCCAACGGGUAUGAUGGCUUAAAGGAGUAUAUAAGGAAGACGUUCUUAGUUGUUCGAGGUGUGCGCGAUAGAAGAAUUCCAAAGUCUGAAGCUCCUAUUUGUUUAGAUAAUUCCUUUAGCGAUACUUGUAUACAAANNNNNNNNNNNNNNNNNNNNNNNNNNNNNNNNNNNNNNNNNNNNNNNNNNNNNNNNNNNNNNNNNNNNNNNNNNNNNNNNNNNNNNNNNNNNNNNNNNNNGAAUCAAGGCAAAGCUGUGCUGUAACUUCUCUUUUGAUCAUAGUGAAAUCCAGCCGGUGGGCUGUCAGUGCGGAAGAGUGGACGUAGGCUUGGAAUAAGCCGAACCACUAUAAAUCCUGUGUUCAAAUUUCUCUCUCUACCUCGAUCGUAUUUCAUUUUGUUAAGAAUUGCUUCCGUAUUUGGGACAAAUUGUUUGUGCGCCUAUUCACCCCCCCUCUAGGUGUUUAUACUAGCAAUAUCAAUUGGUAUCAGAGCCUGUGUACUUACUUUAUUUGAAGUGUUUUACUUCAUAGUAAAAGAUCCAUGGCUAGUAUGCUAGCAUCAGGGCUGAUGGAAGGGCAAAGCAAUACUAGACCACCCUACUUUGAUGGAAAGGAUUACAACAUCUGGAAGAACAAGAUGAAAGCUUUCCUACGAUCAAAGGAUCCUCUGGAAUGGGACGUUGUAGAAAAAAGAAUUACUCCUACCACUGCAUCAGUCUCUGAAAGAGGAAAAGAAACUGAAGAAACCAGCGGAAUGUCUCAGGAAGAAAUAAUCAAGAGACAAACACUCGAUGCAAAAGCAAUUUACUCCUUAUAUUGUGCUUUAUCACCAACUGAAUAUAAUAGAAUAUCUUCUUGUGGUACAGCAAAAGAAGUUUGGGACAGAUUGCAUAUCACCUAUGAAGGAACAGAUCGAGUGAAGGAAACAAGAAUCAACAUUCUUCUCGGUCAAUACGAAGCCUUCAGAAUGAAACCAGGAGAAUCAAUAUCUGACAUGUUUAGUCGUUUUACAGAUAUUGUGAAUGGUCUUGAAAAUCAAGGUCAACCAACUUCUGAUCCCAUGAAGGUAAACAAGCUACUGCGUGGACUCUCCAGGGAUUGGAAUCACAUAAAGACUUCGAUAAGAGAGACGCAGAGAAUUAUGCCACUAUCUGUUGACGAGCUGAUUUGAACUCUUCAGUCCUAUGAAGUGGAAAGGAUCAAUGAAGAUGAAGAUCCAAAAGGUAAGAAAUCCAUUGCAUUAAAAUCAAAUGAUGAUUCUGAUGAUACAGAUUCUGAAGAUGAUAUGGACGAUGAGGAGCUUGCUCUCAUGAUAAGAAGAUUAAGAAAACUAAAUAGAAAAGGAAGAAGGUUCAACUCAAAGGAACAAAGCUUUCAAAGACAGCAGACCAAGUCUGUUGAUGAUGAGGAACCAAAUAAAGAUGUAGUCUGCUUUGAAUGCAAGAAAAAGGGACACAUCAGACCCAACUGUCCUUUUCUGAAGAAGAAGAGAGGAAAAGCUGAAAAUUUUUGAAAAGCUCUCAAAGCUGAAACCUGGAGUGAUACUGAGUGUGAAGAAAGUGAUAAUGAAUAUGCCAAUCUAUGUCUGAUGGCACAAUCAGACUCAGACUCUGGAUCAGACUCAGGAUCAGACUCAGACAGUGAAUUUGAGGCAAGUAAUUUUAAAAUUUCUGUCAAAGUUUCUAAAUAUAUUGAUGAACUAUGCUUUAGUCUUAAGACUUCUCUAAAAAGAAUUUCCAAACUGAAAAAAGAAAACUCAGCUCUAAAACAAAAGGAAAAUGUUUUAGCAGAAAGAGUUAAAAGUCUAGACUUGUAUGUUUCCAAUCUUAAAGGAAAUGAAGAAAAUCUUUUAAAAGAAAAUGCUUUUUUAAAAACAGACUUAUCAAAUAUAUCAAAGAAAUUUUCUAUAGGGUCUGAAAAACUUGAGAAAAUUCUUUCAGCACAAAGACCUUACUUCAAUAAGUCUGGUCUAGGUAUGACAGAAGAAACAAUUCCCUUGAUUGAUUUUCCCAAAGUAAAAGAAAGAAUUAAGAAAAGACUUUCGAGUGAGGUUUACAAAAAUCACUUCAAGAAAGUUUUUGUAAAACCUGUAGGUAGAAAUGCUCUCAGAUGUUCUAAGUGCAACAGUCCGGAUCACUUUGAAAAAGAGUGUCCUAUGGUAUGGAAACCUGUUAAGAAAGUAUGGGCUAAUACUGUUUAUCUUACUAACACCAAAGGACCCAAGAAAAUUUGGGUACCAAAGAAAGCUUGAGACUUUAUUUUAAAUGCAGGUCUCCGUCAAGAAAUAGGUAAAGUGGUAUCUUGACAGCGGAUGCUCAAGACACAUGACAAGAGACUCAAAUUGCUUUAUAAAGCUUGCUCAAGUAAAUGGUGGAAAAGUUUCAUUUGGAGGAAACAACAAAGGAAGUAUUGUGGGAUUUGGAACCGUGAAAAUUGGAACUCUCACAAUAAGUAAUGUUUCCUUAGUGGAAGGACUCAAUUACAAUCUUCUCAGCAUUAGUCAAUUGUGUGAUACUGGUUUCAAGAUCUUCUUUCAAGAAGGAACAUGUUCUGGAAUCAGUAAAGACUCUACUCAGUCUUUCAUGGGUCGAAGACAUGAAAAUAUCUAUCUUCUAGAUGUGAAACCAAAUGAAUCACAAUACCUUAUCUCAAUUCAAGACGAAGCAAGCUUAUGGCACAAAAAGCUUGGUCAUGUCAACAUGAAGCAAUUAGCCAAAAUCUCAUCAAAACAGCUUGUUCGAGGUCUACCCAAAUUGCCAUACCAAAAGACUGAUUCAUGCACUCCAUGUAUUCUGGGAAAGCAGGUAAGAAAUUCUUUUAAGCCGAUAAAUCAUGUCUCUACUAAUCAUGUACUACAGUUGCUGCAUAUGGAUCUCUUCGGACCAACCAGAACUCAGAGUAUUGGGGGUAAGAAGUAUUGCCUAGUAAUUGUUGAUGAUUACUCCCGUUUUACUUGGGUAUAUUUCCUUGCAAGUAAGUCCGAAACCUUUUCGUAUUUUGAAAAAUUUGCUAAAAAGAUUCAAAAUGAAAAAGGAUGUGUUAUCUCUAGUAUAAGAACAGAUCAUGGAGGUGAAUUUGAAAAUCAAGAUUUUACAAAAUUCUGUGAUGAAUCUAGCUUUAAGCAUGUGUUCUCCUCUCCAUAUACUCCUCAGCAAAAUGGAGUUGUGGAAAGAAAGAACAUAUCUCUUCAAGAAAUGGCUAGAACUCUUUUAAUUGAAAGUAAAUUUUCUUCUCGAUUUUGGGCUAAAGCUGUUUCAACAGCAUGCUAUAUCAUCAAUAGAGUCUUCUUAAGAUCUAUUCUUCAGAAAACCCCUUAUGAGUUAUUCAAAGAAAAGAAGCCUAUUGUUUCAUACUUUCAUGUAUUUGGUUGUAAAUGUUUUAUAUUGAAAAAUGCAAAAGAUCGAAUUGGUAAGUUUGAAGAAAGAUCAAAUGAAGGUAUCUUCCUUGGAUAUUCUACAUCAAGCAAAGCUUACAGAGUCUAUAACAAGAAGAGUCAGUCUGUAGAGGAGUCAAUGAAUGUCAAAUUUCAAGACUCAACGCAAGAUGAAUCAAGUCAGACUCAUCAAGAAGAGUCUGAACCUGCUCCAGACCCUCCAAAGUCUACAACUCAAGAAGCAUCUCAGACUCUGGAAAACCAGCAUCAGGUUGUUAGUGAAGAUCCAAAUAAAGAAAGAGAUCAUCAACCAGACAAAUCAACAAGUAACUGGAAGCAUAAGUCCAGUCAUCCCAAAGAUCUUAUAAUUGGCGAAAUUAAUGAAGGAAUUCGCACCAGAUCCAAAAGGCGAGAAGAGUCUAGUGCUGUGGCACUCGUUUCUGAAAUUGAACCAAAGAGCAUAGAAGAAGCUUUAUCUGAUGAAAGCUGGAUUGAAGCUAUGCAAGAAGAGCUCAGACAGUUCAGCAUAAAUGAUGUCUGGGAAUUGACAUCCAAACCAAAAGGUAAAACUGUUAUUGGAGCUAAAUGGGUGUUCAGAAACAAGAUGAACGAGAAAGGAAAAGUCGUACGAAAUAAAGCAAGACUCGUGGCCAAGGGAUAUACGCAAGAAGAAGGAAUAGACUAUGAUGAGACUUACGCUCCAGUGGCAAGGUUAGAAGCUAUUCGACUAUUACUUGCGUUUGCUUGUUAUAAGAAUUUCAGGUUAUUCCAAAUGGACGUCAAAAGUGCCUUCCUAAAUGGAUUUAUCCAUGAGAAAGUUUAUGUGGAACAACCACCAGGGUUUGAAGACCCAAAGAAGCCAGACUCAGUCUUCAGACUGAAAAAGGCUUUGUAUGGUUUAAAGCAAGGACAUCGGGCUUGGUACGACAGAUUAAGUAAGUUCCUAAUACAAAAUGGUUUUGUCAAAGGUAAAGUAGAUACUACUUUAUUUAUCAAGAAAGAAAAAAAAAAGUUUCUUACUUGUUCAAAUAUAUGUGGAUGAUAUUAUUUUUGGAUCCUCUAAUGAAAGUCUGUGCAAGAAAUUUUCAAAGUCUAUGCAGGAUGAGUUUGAAACGAGUAUGAUGGGAGAGUUAACAUUCUUUCUUGGUCUUCAAGUAAAACAAUUGAAGGAAGGAACUUUUAUUUAUCAAGAAAAAUAUGUUAAUGAUCUUGUCAAAAGGUUUGGACUGGAAAAGUGCAAAAAGACCGACAUACCAAUGUCAAGUUCUUUAAAGAUAGACAAAGAUGAAGAAGGGAAGAAAGUUGAUCAAAAGCUGUACAGGAGCAUUAUUGGAUCACUUCUUUAUCUUACUGCCUCUAGACCUGAUAUUUUGUUGAGUGUUUGCAUCUGUGCUAGGUUUCAAUCAGAUCCUAGAGAAUCUCAUCUCAGUGCUGCGAAACGCAUCAUUAAAUACGUCGCUUCAUCAUCAAGCAUCGAUCUUUGGUAUCCUAAGAAGGGAGACUUUAAUCUUCUGGGAUAUUCAGACGCAGAUCUGGCCGGUUGCAGAGUUGAUAGAAAGAGCACUUCAGGAACUUGCUAGUUGCUUGGAAGCAGAACAGUAUCUUGGUUUUCAAGGAAACAAAGCACUGUGUCUCUUUCAACAACAGAAGCAGAGUAUGUAGCUCUUGGAAGUUGCUGUUCGCAAAUUCUAUGGAUAAAACAACAGCUAAGAGAUUUUGAAAUUGAAGACUCAUGCACGGAGAUUAAUUGCGACAACACCAGCGCUAUCAACCUCACCAAAAAUCCAAUUCUUCACUCAAGAGCAAAGCAUAUAGAGAUUCGACAUCACUUUAUUAGAGAUCAUGUUCAAAAUGGAGAUGUUUCAAUUCAAUUUGUUGACUCAAAGAAUCAAUUGGCUGAUAUACUCACAAAGCCUUUGGAGAAAAAUCAAUUUGAGUCUAUACGGUCCAGACUCAACAUUUUGAGGUAUGAGGAUAUCAAAGUCUAAAGACUUUCAGACUCAGGCUUACAAGACUUUAUUUACAGUCUUGGCUCAACCUUCAGACUGUAAGUCUUUCUCUCUCCAAUCUUAUCUUGAAAAGGUACGAUCAUCAGACUGUGUUUAAAUUGUUGCUAUAUUUAAAUAACGUAAAUAUUGCAUCGAUUCAUUUUCAAAAGGGAAGUUAUUUUUGAAAUAGCUAUUUUUGCGGAUAAAGACAGUUAUUUUGAAAAGGCAUAUUUUUAUUUCCUUUGUGACGAUUUGUUUACUCUUCUUUUUAACCGAUUGUGCACUGUCGAUUCCUCUUCACUUUUCUAUUCACUUUUCUCUCAAAAACCCUAGAAAGCAUCGAUCCUCCAUUCCCAUUUGUCUUCUUCGCUAAAUCUUCAAAAAGUUGUCAUCUUUUCUGGGAAAGUCAAGCAAGGAAUCUUUCAAACACUGAGAAAGAUGUCAUCUUCACGAAAGUCCUCAAGAAUCGCAAGCAAGGGACCACAGAGAAUGAGUGAGGGGCCUACGCACUUCGAUCUUACUGAAGAUGAAGUUACUCCAGAUUAGCAACCGAGCCCACAACAUUCUCAGUAGCGUCAUUCUCCACCAUCUAAUCCUCAAGGCAUUGUUCAUCAGCAUCAGGAAGAAAUCGUCGAGGAUGCAGACCCCGUAAGAGUUCAAAAGCCCGCUUUUAUUUACAAGCUAUAUCGUGCCUUAAAAGGAAUUCGUACUCCUUUGAACUAUGUUGAUGAUUUUGUUAAAGAAAAAGGAUAUAGGAACGAAUAUAUCUUUCUGCGAAAAAUGGAAAGUUUGGGAAUCGCUCGUAAAGGGGUGGCUGAGGAAACCCUUGCGAAUAUCCCAAGUGAUCCUCGUGACUGGGGGCCAAAUCCUGUAGAUGGGAAUGACGAUGAUAAUCUGUUCAGUCUAUUUCAACCGAAAAUGGGUAUUGUGGCUGAAAUUCAAGGAAAAAGGGGAGAUUUGUUCAGAUCAAAGGAACAAAAGGAUCUGUACUCGAAAUUGCUGAAGCGUGGGGUAAUAAACCCUAGGAGUGUGGACUUUGAUUUUCUGGAUGCUGUGAAAGUGAACUUGAGGGAAAAGUUCAGUUAUCUUCAGCUUGAAAAGUUCUACUCUGACUCAACUGAGGCUUAUGCUGAAUUGACUGCAUAUUUCUAUUCAAAUCUUAGCUUUUUAGAUGCGAAUAGAUUCUCCUUCAGCGUUAAAGAACAAGACUAUGUUGUGGAUAUGAAUAUGCUGGCAGAUGUGUUAGAAGUUGAGAGAGGCAGAUAUCAACCAAUCAAAGUUUCCAUUGCUCGGGCCACACUUGAACUGGUGAAGGACAGGAGAACGGAUGAGAAGAUCACCUACUCAAGGAUGAAUGCAUUCAACAUCUUGCUUCACAAGAUUGUGAUUAAUUGCCUUCGGCCGAAAUCAACUUCCAAAACUGAUAUUUCAAGCUCUGAGGCAAAGUUGAUGUAUGCCAUCCUCUGUGGAAAGAAGUUUUCUCUCCCUCAUACUGUUAUGUUUCACAUGUAUAGAGCAGUGAUGAAGGACAGAGGUCAACUCCCUUACCCAAGCCUUGUUACGAAGUUAUUCAGACAUCUGAAUAUUUAGCCUCCGCAAAUCUUUUGUGUUCGAUCAUGCGAUCAUAUAGUGGUAGGACUGAAAAUGGUGACCAAAAUGCGUCUGAAGGAACUGAGCAAGGAAUUGGAGAAAUUCAAGGAGAAGACUCCUGCCAAAUCUCAUCAACUCUCUUCUACUGCUAAGAGAAAAGGGAAGGAGCCCAUGGCUGCUCCAUCAAAGAGAAGAAGAGCUCUCCUCGUUGAGGAUGAAGAUGAUGACGAUGACAUCACCAUCUCUGCAAUGGCUUUGAAGAAUUUAAGUCGUCCUAUUCCACAGAAAGAAUCGGAACAAAAGACGAAAGAAGCAGAGGAAAAGGAAGAAGAAGAAAGAGAAGCAGAUGAGAAGGAAGAAGAAGAAAGAGAAACAGAGCAAGAAGUAGAGGAAGAAAGACCUAAAGAAGAAAGAAGAGAAGAAGGAGAACCUGAGGAAAUCUCUUCUCCACCUGUAGGCAUGGAAACAUGGGGAGAUCAGGAGAAAGGAGUGACGUCCUCAUAUCCUGAUGCAAGUGAAGGAGUCAGUUGCUCACCUGUAGACCCAGAAGAUGUUUAUGCAUCUCAAUUUCCAGAGGAAGGUCAUGAAGCUUCAUCGCCAAACCUGCGAGAUUAUGCUGAUCCACCAUCGUCUGCUUUUACUCCAUCAGAUCGAGCCGAAGCAAGUACUCAGACUGAUAAUGGAGCAGAUUUUCGCAGAAUCUUGGAUAUUCUCAUGGAAAUGCGAGGUCAAAUUUAUGCAUUGGGAUGCGAAGUUCAAAGUUUGAAGAAUGAAAGUCAAGCUUCUUCCUGUUCAUUGAAUGAUAAGAUGCAAGCCCUCUCUAUUUAGAAUCAGGCCAAUGCCAAGAGUGAGGAGGUUGUACAGCUGAAGGAAGACUUCAAAAGGCUGGAAGGCAUCGUUCAGUCUAUGGAAGAUUUCCAGCUUGUCCGCGUUCCCAAGCAAUCUUGACUUCAUCUCAUCCUUUUUAAUGCUGACAAAAAGGGGGAGAGAUGCAUGAUUUGAUCAAAAACUUUCAAUCAUUUUUUAACUAUUUGUUGGAUUGUGUUGUUGUUUAACUGUCUGUUUUUGACAGACUUUGACAGACUUUGACUUUGUUUUGUGUCUGGAUGAGAACUGAACUAGACUUGGACUUGACUGCUUCUAUUAACAAGUAUUGAUAUCUUAUGGAUGGUUUUAUUAUAUAGACUAACCUAUUUUCUGUGGUUGCAGAUUCUAGUGUUAAUCUUUUAGCCAUUCAUCUCUAUAAGAUAUGCAUAUGUGUUUGAGAAAUGUUUUGCAGGUCAAAGUUAUCCAAAUCUGCAGGAAUGUUUUGUCACCAUCAAAAAGGGGGAGAUUGUUGGAGAAAUCCUCGUGAAGUGUUUUGAAGUUGACAAAACGUUUCCAUCAGUCUAGUCUGAAGGUUUGCAGACUCUGUUAGUUAAAGUCUGAAAACUUCCGGACAGCCAGACUCAAGACUCAAAGUCUAUCCUCAUUGACAGUCUCUAAUCCGUUGAAGAAAGGUUAUCCAGAACUGGAUGUUUUGUUCAGGAUUUAACCUUAUCAUCUGGAGAAGAUCUCGUGGCUGGAGAAGACGUAUCAGAAUCCUUUGAUUGAUCAAGUUGAUCAAUGACUGAAGAUUCGAUGAUUGUCUAAAUAUUAUUGGAAGGUUCUACUUAUGGAAACCGAGAUCCUGAUUGUAUGGGCGAACAGGAUUGAUGGGCUAUCAACACGUUCCUUUAAUAGCUCGAACAAUCUUCCUAAUUGAUUCCGUCCAACAGGUAGAUUGGAGGAAUUCCUUUGGUAAGUGCCAACGGGUAUGAUGGCAUAAAGGAGUAUAUAAGGAAGACGUUCUUAAUUGUUCGAGGUGUGCGCGAUAGAAGAAUUCCAAAGUCUGAAGCUCCUUUUUGUUUAGACAAUUCCUUUGAGCGAAUACUUGUAUACAAAAGAGAGUCUAUAUUUGUGAGAGACCUUGAGAAGGUGUGGUAGAACAUCUACACUGUGGAAUCAAGGCAAAGCUGUGCUGUAACUUCUCUUUUGAUCAUAGUGAAAUCCAGCCGGUGGGCUGUCAGUGCGGAAGAGUGGACGUAGGCUUGGAAUAAGCCGAACCACUAUAAAUCCUGUGUUCAAAUUUCUCUCUCUCUACCUCGAUCGUAUUUCAUUUUGUUAAGAAUUGCUUCCGUAUUUGGGACAAAUUGUUUGUGCGCCUAUUCACCCCCCCUCUAGGUGUUUAUACUAGCAAUAUCAGAAGAGACCCAGAUGCUUGGGAGAACCCAUUAACAUUCAAACCAGAGAGGUUUCUAGGAUCUAAAAUUGACUACAAAGGUCAAAACUUUGACCUAAUUCCAUUCGGAUCAGGCAGAAGAAUGUGCGUCGGACUUUCGCUGGCGGAUAGGGUGCUUCAUCUCGGUCUUGCGAAGUUGCUCUACCAUUUCGAUUGGGAACUCAGUGAUGGUUUGACUCCAGAGACCCUCGACAUGAGAGAGCGGGCGGGAAUAGCACUAAGGAAGCUCCAUCCUUUAAAGGUGAUACCUAAAAAACGUAGUGUGUAAGGUUUUUAGAAUAUUAUGGUAACUAGUUAUAUUCAUGACUAGUUAUUUAGGAAAUGACAAGACGUGAUGUCAUGUAUCCAAGGAAGACUUCUUAAGAAUGGUGUUUUUAUUCCACAAAUACCUUAGGAAAAUUACCCUAAAUUUCUUAAACUUAUUAUACUUUUACCAAUUUAGUUAUAAAUAUUCUUAUUAUAAAAAUUAGUCCCAAACAUUUUCACGUUUUGCCAAUUGAGCUCAUAUGAUCAAUUUUGAUUAGAAAUCACUAACACAAAUGUCAGGCAUCCUACAUGGUGCAAUUGUCGUAGAUGUGGAAAAUUUUUAAUAUAUUUUUAAAAUUUUUAAAUACUUUUUCUUUUCUUUUAUUUCUCUGCUAGUUGCUGAGCCUUGAGGAUGACUACUAACCAACCAUAGGCUACAACCGAUGAUGGUCACCCUCGCCAAAAUCUGGCAAGGGAGGACUUUGCUACCUUGCCAAAUUCGACAAGUCACAGCUUCAUGUGAGGCUCGACUUUGCCCAAUCUAGCGAGGGCAAGGCACAACCUCAUUAGUCUUCACAAGGGCUGAUCUCAGGUGAGACUUGCCGAAAGAUCAUGAGGCCAACCUUCCCUAAAGGCUAGCAAGGGACAACCUUGCCAACUUCAAGCAAAGCUCAACCUCGUCAAAUCUGCUUAGGACAAGCCUUACUCAAGGCUAACAAGGGUGACCUCACCUAAUGUGGCACCCCUUGACGGCCCCCGAAUCGUUAGGGUCACCACAGUCAACUUACCCUUUACUUGACUUGAUAAUAUAUCACUCUGAUACCAAAGAGUUAUAAUAAGUCUAUAAGUCCUGGGGGUUUAUAUAUAUUUUCCAUAGGUCCCUGCGUAGAAAUAUGACGAAAGUGUAUCCAACAACUCCCUUCCCUAUAUUCAGAAAACGAUGCACACCAACUAAACAUUUAUAGAUAAAAGCCGAACACUUUUAUUUACUUAAACCAGAUGGACAUCAUUAAUUGGUACAUCAAAAUUCCAUAAUCUUCUGUACUUGGCUAUACUUCAAAAGAUGACCGACAUCUCCUCCAACAGUCGUAUACUCAAAGUCCAUCGUUCAGUGUCGGCGUCCAAAAGUUCCUUUUUUUGCUAUCCUUCUCCUUGCGGUCAUAUCCAACCACUUGAUUCAUCUACCGGUGGUAGUGACAACAGAGGUAUCUUAUCUAGUUUGAAAUGUUAGUCCCCAAACGGGGUGAGUACUGUCGACACCCGAAAUUUCCGUCGACAUUUUAAUCAUCCAUUGUUUGCAAAAAAAAAUAAAGAGCUAAAAAGAAAAAAAAAGAGAGAAAUAAAGAGUUGAAGCAGAAAAGAAAAGAGAAAAAGAAUGGAAACAAGAAAAAGAAAAGAAAAAAAAGAAGGAAACAAAAAGAAAAAAAAUGAGAGAAAAAGAAAAACAUAAAAGAAAGAAAAAAAAUAAUAGAAAAGGGAAUGACGAUUCUCUCUCAUGGGGGGCUCGCUCUCUCACGUUCUCUCGCUCUCUCAAAUACUGGGACGCUGAUUCUCUCUGAAGGGAGGGCUCUGGAUCACGAACUCUGGUUCUCCAGAGGGGAUUCUCUCUUUCUGGGACUCUCUCUCUCUCUGCGGUUCUCGUCGAAGGUUAGGGUUUUUCCUCCGUCGGUGCGGGAUUGGAGGUGUUUCCUCUAUUCGGUGAGGAGUUUGCUCGGGGGAUCCGGUUUCCGAAACUGAUUGGCGUCGGUAGCAGCGACGGCAGCAACGGCGGAGCUUGAUUCGACCUCUCUCGUUCGUUAUUAACCGCCUGCUCGCCUCGGUUCUGACUCCGUGCUCCGAGCUCCGAGGAUAGAGAUCCGAAGCUUGAUCGACGGCGGCGACGACAGCGGCUUCCGAUCAUCUUCUUGUUCAUCAUCUAUCGUCGGGACUCCCUCAAACCUUAGAAGACAGAGCAAUUGCCGAUUGAAGAGUUGGAAGUGCGAGGCUCGGAUCUGCACCGCCUUCAGAGAAGGCUCAACAACGAUUUCCCUCUUAAUCGAGUCAUUUCCGAGGGUUUUUCCUCUCAGAUCUCGGCAAGUUUCAUUCAGAUUAUUGAUUUGUUUUCUCUAGUAAUUUUUUUUUCUAGAGUCAUCUCAAUCCUCCCUCCCCUGCCGUUUUCUUUUGUUGACACUGAGCAUGUAUUUCCUCUCGCCGAUUCACCCAUUGAAAUUGCCGGCCAUUCAUUGCAGUCGCCGAUUCAAUCAAAAUCUCACAAGGAGUUUGGAUCAGUCAUUACUCGAAGAACAGCUUCAAUCAUCUGAAGACAGACGCAGCAAAGCAGAGACAAUUUUUUUCAGAGUUCUUGAAGAGGCUGACUGAUAAAGUUGUUGAGGUAUGAAUAUCUGUACUUGAAUAUGUCAAGAACUUCCUGCUGUGAAAUCCUUCUAGAGCUUAAUCUCCUCAAAUAAUUGAUGCCUUAUGCGAUUGACUGCUGGAUUAUGAUGAAAACGUGAGAAAGCAAGUUGUCACUGUUAUUUGCAAGUGUGGCUUACUUGACUUUUGUUCAACUUGACCUUCUGUUGAAUAUAACUACUAUAUUUUUCUCUUUUCAAAAGACUAAAAAAAAAACCAUUUAUACCUGUUCAUACUGUUCCUCAGUGGCAAGCAACCAUUCGAUCAUACUCAUACCAAAUGUUUGACCCUACUCAGUUAGUCUUCGCAAGCUGCAGAUAGCGUUAUUUGUCUACUGCGUUUUUUCAUCUGGUUUAACUGGCAAAUCAAGAACAAAUUCCAACGGGUCCUUUCUAAUGAAGAGUUGUCCUAGUAACAAAUAUUAAAAAGGUGCUAUGGUCUCGUUCCCCCUUUAGUUUUUAUGUUUCCAUCAGUGUAAAUCAAGCUGCGCAAGCUAGACAUGCACCAGAAGAAAGUUGAUUCAUUUUAGUAGAAAUUGGUCCUCUGUUGCUGCUGUGUUCAUCUUUUUUUAGAAUUCCUUGUUCAUAAUAUUGAAUGUGUUCUUUGCCUGAAAGUUGUGAGUUCAUUGGUACACUUCAAUCUGGAUUGAUGUCUGGUAUUUUGCCCUUUGAUGAGUUUGUAGUUGUCGGUAGACCGGUAUGAGUUGUGCCUGAAGUUCACCUUAGUGGAGAAACAUUUCCUCAGCAGCAAAUGAUUUUAUAUCAGGAAAGGAUUUUAUAUCCUUGGUGCAUGUUGGAUGAUCUGGGAAUCUGGUUCAGCUUUUGUUAGGGCCAGUAACAGCAAUGAUGUUUGAGUUUGUCAAAGAAAUACCUAAACCUGAAACUAAAUGGAGGCUGGACUUCAUCUCUCUUUUAGGCGUAUUUUUCUUUACAUGGGUUAUCAUUCAAUUACUUCCUGUUGUCUUGAUAGAUCUGGCUUAUGAGAAAGAAUAGAUACUUGGGAGUAUGAUGAAAAUAUGUGGGUUUAGUGAUCCAUAUUGGCUGAUUUCCUAUGCUUAUUUUCUCUCUUUAUCUUCAAUCUACAUGCUGUGCUUUGUGACUUUUGGCUUAGUCAUAUAUAGUUAAUCCCUAUUGCGUUAUGUUUACCUACGUUCCAAUGUCCCAUUAAAGUUGCAAUGCUUGUGUCUUACUGCACUUCCUCUGUAAAGUUUUACUAGAAUGAGAUUAUGUGUGCUUUUAGUGAGUUAAAUGCAGAUCACGUGCAAUUGAUGUUUGUUGUUCAUGUGUGAAUUUGCUGAUAUUGAAAGUUGGAAUUUGUCUUGGUCUAGAAUGCAUGCUUUGUUUCUAUAACCUCGAAUACUUGUGAAUUUGGUACGAAUUUUUUGUGUGAGGAGUUUGGGAUUAGGUCCUUCACAUAAAAACUGCAAAAAAUGAUUGUAUGUUUGCCUUGCUGCUCUGUUCUACUUUUGAUGGACCUUGAUCUCUUCCAGGAUUUUGUAAAUUCACGUGCUUUUUUGUUACAAUAUAUAAUGAAAUGCUCAAGUUAGAUCAGAGUUGGCUUUCGAAUGUCUUUUGACCGUUGAUCGGUAGAUAUAAUUGAUUCAUGUCUGAAAUUGAACCAUUGAUGAAAUAAGUUUUGCCAUGGUCAAGGAGUCAUAUGGAUCUUCAUGCCUAUUUGUUUGUCGUCUGAACAUGUAUUGUUAUGUCCUGUUUUGAUAAAGAAAGGUAAAUAAAACAGCAUGUUCUAGAUUAAAAUCAAAUUAGUGCUGUUCAAGUUUCCAUCAGUGAUUGCAGACAUUUGGAAACUCAUUAUGCCUUUGUUCCGCUCCUCAGUGACCUGCAUUACUUGCUGAUUUUCUGUUUCUUUCGCUGAUCUAACCUUCUGUGCAAAUGAAUUGAUAUGAGCUGAUUGUUGUGGUUUUCUGUGUUUGAUGUCCUCAUGAAAGUCGAAGAUGGUUUGAUUAGCUUUCUAACGAGCUAUAAUACACCCUGAUCCGAUAUCAUUAGCCACAUGAAAUCUUCUUUAAAAGUCUACUCCAGAAGAAGUCUACUCCAGAAUUUGGAAAGUUGUUCUGGUCUGUGCGGUUAUUUCUGUUACUGAUCUGACCUCUUUGCUAAAUGUCUUCGUUUGAGCUAGAAAAUGAUUUCAAUUGUGUUCGUGACCUUCUAAGGAUUCAUAGGAGGCUUCUCAAAAUUUCCAUUGACAUAUUAUAUGUGUGAUUUGGUCAUCACUUGCCCUGCCUUUCCUUUUUUCAAAUCGAGCUUUGAAAUCUGGAAUUUGUCUUGAACUGCAAUGCUGUCUUUUCUGUGGCUAGUUGUUGUUAGUCUUAAGAUGAGAUAGUAGAUUUGUCCAAAUUGUUUUCAAUAUGUUGUAGAAUGACGGUGUGACAUGCUACUAUGAUCUAUUCUUGAUUGACUUGUUCAUGUUCUUAAUAUUUUUAGAAAUUCAUGCGUUAGGAAUCUUGAGGUGCUUCCUUCAUGGAAUGACAUCCUUUAUCAAUUGUCUACAAAACGGUUUUAGGUACCAUGUGGGUUACACAUUGAUUGCUCCGUUUGCCUUUAAUACAUAUGUUGAGUGAAUUCAAUGGUGUAUGUUUUGGAAUAAGUGAUCUUUAGUUGGUUCAUUCAUUGUUUUGGGUUGAUUGAGGACCAAGGUCAUGUGGCUUGAAUGUUUGUCAUGUUAUAUGCUUUGUGUGUGAUCGUUAGAUAGAUGAUUUAGGUGUAAUACAUAAUGAUGCUAAAUCUUGGGAUUUCACUUAGAAUUUGGUGUAAGGACUUCAUGACUUUAGUCACCAUUUUUGAACACUAAUAAUGUCCUGUUCUUUGAUGUUUUGAUAUGUUUGUUUGUUCCCUUCCACUGCAUAUACCAAGUUAUAGGUUUAUUAGAUUAGGUUUAGAUUAGGAUCCCGAAGAUGGAGAAGGCGUGAAGAUGGUGAAUGUCGAUUUCCACUCCGACUGUUAUCAUGUAAUGCUCAUUUUCCCGACAUAUGUCUCGGGUUUUAUGCAUUGUAUAAAGCCCGACGAGUUGCGGGUUUCCUUUCUUUCUCGAUUGUUUUCUCUUUUAUAUACUUUAGAAUUACAUGAUUAGGUUUACUGAUUUCUCUUGAUUGUUUACUUCAUGUCUUGUGCUUUCAAUUUCAUUGAUUGUUUUCUUUUCAUUUUUUAGAAAUAGAAUAGAAUGAAAGUAAUCCACCACGCAUGAUCACUUAGUCUAGGAAUUGAUGAUCCUGAAAAAUGUAAAAAGAAACACAUGGACAUGUUAGGAAAAACACAACAUACUGUUUAGGUACCGAAAGGGCGCUAAUAGCAAUAUUAGCGUAACCCAAGUCCCCGAACCUAGAUAUCUGGUUGCGUAGGAAUCGAUGGAACACUCUCGACCCUCGAUUGGGUUUCUAGCUGACCCCGAAAGUUGAGGCUAGUGGCGACUCCUGUAUAUUCUUAGGUUGUUAAAUACCUAGAUCGCAUAAUAAACCUACUGUCACGCGGGGUACGAGCUUCGGAGAGCUCGCGAUCUUGAGAUCAAGUAUCCCUAAACCCGACCUUUCCCAACCUUGGAUACUUUUCGAGAGGGGCGGCGAGAUCGGGUCGCGACAAGUACAACCACUUAGCCGUAAAUAUCCACCAAACUACACGAUGCGUCAGACAGAACAAUCAAGGUAUCACGAAUAAAACACAUACCAUCCAUGCAUUUGAACAUACCUCACCAUACAGCCAUGCAUAUAUCACCAUACAACGUGCAUAUACCACCAUGCACUUGUACAUAUAUCAUCAAGCAGCCAAGCAUAUAUCACCAUGCAACGUGCAUAUACCACCAUGCACUUGUACAUAUAUCAUCAAGCAGCCAAGCAUAUAUCACCAUGCAAUGUGCAUAUAUCACAAUGCAUUUGUACAUAUACCAUCAAGUAGCCAUGCAUAUAUCAUCAUGCAACGUGCAUAUACCACCAUGCACUUCAUGCUUGCAUUUCCAUGAGGUUCAUCCCAUGCCAUAUGCAUACAUCCAUAUGUAUGAUUCAAUUUCAAUUCUUUCUUUUACAUGGAUUUCAUCAUUUUUCUUUCAAGGGACCAGUGUUUGCAUCCCACAUUUAUUGCUCGCAUCCAACCUGGCGUUAUGAGGAGCCUCCAGCACACACUUCCGGGCAUCUCGUAUCCCACCUGGCAUCACGGGGAAUCUCCGAGGUUCGCUAUGAAAAUGGUUACCCCUACCCUUUGGGCAUGCAUCAUAAUACAACCCCUCACCCUCCAGGCAUGUAUCAUAAUACAAUCGGGCAUCCUAACACUCCCGGGAAAAACCUCUGGGCAUGUAUUCAUAAUACAACCAGGCAUCCAAAGGGCAUCAACUCAUUCAAACCUUUGGGCAUCCAGACUCCCGGGAUAUCGUCGGCUCACACCUCCGACGGUAUCAUCAUUAUCACAAUCUAUAUUCACAUAUAUGUCUCAUUUUCAACAUGGCAUUUGAUGCAAAAAUAUCAUAGGUCUAAACCAGCUUUUUGAUGUCAUAUGGUAUGCCAAACAUCACCAUAUAAGCAGUACACAUAACACCCAUGAUAUCAUAUUUCAUAAAGCAGUUCAUUGGUUUUUGAAAAUAGAACCAAUUUUCGGGUAAAACAGAAUGCACCUCUUUAGUAAAAAUUCUUGGAAAAUUUGUAAAAAAUCUCAAUAAAUUCUGAAAAUUUAACAUGAGGUAAAAAAUAUCCAGAUGAAGAUAUUUCGUGAAGAACACCAUGUCAAGAAAGUUCUACAUCAAUCACAUAGAUCCACACAUCACAGCAAAAAAAAUUCCAACACCACUUUUUGCACAGUUUCGGAAAUAAUUUCGAUUAAACCUGUAAAUGAACUUCGAAAAUUAUGAUAUUUUGAUAUGUUAUAGAUGAGAUCUAGAGGUAAACUUCUCAUGAAUAAAUCGAAGUAUAAUUCCUUUUGGAUUAAAAGAAAUUUUUUAUAACUCUCCCUAACUCUCGGUUCACUGUGCAGAUUCACCCUUUUCAAAGAAAAUCAUUUUCCCGAUCAAUGCUUGUCAUUUUAUUUUAAAAUUUUAGUAUGUUAUUCCUCAAGAUGUCACCUACAAUUUUCAUCAAGGACACAAGAUCAAAUUUCAUCCAGAUAAUUUUAUAAAAUUCAUAGAGUCGCACUAGAUCAAAAUAAUUGUUUCCAGAUCUACUUUCUUCAAAGAAAAAUGGUUUCACCGACCUAUACUUGUUCAUUUCCUCUCAAAUUUUUAUAUGUUACUAUAUAAGAAGUUAUUUACAACUUUCAUCAAGAAGUCGAAGUGAGAUUCCAACUAGAACAUCGCAUGCAACUCACGAAAUCACCGGAGAUCAAAUAACAGUUUCCAGGUCUAGUUUCUUAAAAGGAAAAUCAUUUCACCAACCAAUACUUAUCCGUUUCAUCCCAAUUUUUAGUAUGUUAAUCUUCAAGAAGUUCUCUACAACAUUCAUCAAGAAGUCAAAAUCAGAUUCCAACUAAAACAUUGCAUGUAAGUCACGAAAUCACCAAAGGUUGGACUGUUUUUCCAGAAAACAGAAUGUUAGGCUAGAACACAACUUUGAAAUUUCACACUUCAUCCACAUCCGAGAUUCACCAUUCAUCACACACCAAACACAACAAGCAAAGGGUAGAUCAAUGAACUCUGCUUGCCUCUAAUCCAAGCAAAACACAGCAAGCAAACGACGGCUCGACAGCGGGACUCGGCGGCUCGACGGUGGCGACGAACCUCCUCCUUCUUCCUCGCACACUCGCUCUCCCUCUCUCGAUUUCUCUCUCUCUCUCUCUCUCUCAGAGUAACCCUCUCUCUCAAUCGGCCCACUCUCCCUCUCUUUCUUUCCCCUUCUCUCAAUCGGCCCACUCUCCCUCUCUUUCUUUCCCCUUCAUCAUUUGCAAUCAUUUGGUUUGCAUAGCUAAUGCCACUUGGCUCUAGGGGAAAGACACUUGGCAAGCUUCUCUUGCCACUUGGGGAUUUACAUGCAACGAAGAUGGGCCUCAUUUGGCUGGGCUUGGGCCAGCCUUGGUUGACUACUUUAUGGGUUCCUUGGGCCGGGCCUCUUGGCCCACUUUGGGUCCAACACUUUUGGGUCUAAAGUCCAACUUUUAAAUGGCCCAAAAUAAUACUCAAUAAGCCCAUAAUUGCUCUUAACAAUUUACUUUAAUCCCCACUUAAUUUCAUAAUCUCAAAUACUCACAUGGCCAUAAAAUUUUGUAAUAUAAAUCAAUAAAAAUCCAACUUAUAAAGUACAUGGCCAAGAAUAAAAUUUUUAUAUCAAUUUAUCCUUUAAUACAAAUCCUUAAUCAUUCAUGGACAUAGGAAAAAUUUCCAACCAAAUAAUUGUCCAUUAAAAUGCUCGGCCUUAAUCUAUUACAAUUUUUCAGUCUAGUGGCCACAACAUACUUCAACGACACAACCAUUCACUUUUCCAUAGGUCGUAAUGCCUCUAGAAAUUGCCAUGAAAUUUUGGGAUACCACAAUUCUCCCCUCCUUAGAAAAUUUCGUCCUCGAAAUUAGACAUUGCCUAUGUCUCUUUACCCCAGUGAGGGUACCUUUCCCUCAUUUCAUUUUCACUUUCCCAUGUGGCUUCCUCCACAUCAUGAUGUCACCAUAAUAUCUUAACCAAUGGUAUUUUCUUCGUCUAUAGGACUUGUUCCUUUCGAUCCAACACUUGCACAGGCUCCUUAAUGUACCUCACUUCCUCAUCCACUUUGAUGGCUUCAUGAUCGAGUAUGUGACCAGGGUCUUGGCUGAUACGUCCUUAGCCAUGCCUAUACUUUUCUGAAAGCUUUUGUUUUACACAUUCUACCAGGUAUAACUUUUCAUCCCAAUUUCCUUUAAAGUCAAGGAUGCAAGCUCUUAACAUGUCCUCUAAUGCUUGGAUCACUCUUUUCGUUUGUCCAUCCAUCUGUAGAUGAAAAGUAGUACUAAAUGGGAGCUUCGUCCCUAAGGCGGUUUGAAGACUUCGCCAAAGGUUGGAAGUAAAUCUUGAAUCUCGAUUCGACGUGAUAGUUACGGGAACACCAUGUAAGCGUACCACUUGGCUUACACAUAUAACAACAAAUUUACCCUUCGGAUAGUCUACGCGAACUGCUAGGAAAUGGGCAGACUUAGUCAAGCGAUCUACUAUCACCUAGAUAGAAUCAUGGCCACUUGAUGUCCUUGGUAAUCCUUGCACGAAAUCCAUCAUCACAUGAUCCCAUUUCCAUUAUGGUAUAUCUAAUGCUCUCAAUCGAACACACCAUUUAGCCGAAUUAUUCCUGUACCUUUGUCACCAUCAAUUCAAGCAUAGAACCAUCAAAAUCGACACCAUUAACAACUCAUCUAGUUCAGUCCAACAAACACAUUCACUACGCUUUCACUGCAACAUAGAUUCAAGCCUAAAAUAUAGUAUCAUUCAUUCGGUUCAAAUAUUGAUAGUCCACCAAAAUAAAACUUGUCUAGUUUCUAUCAAGUAUAUCUCAUGUCUCACCCUAAGGGAUCAUCACUUGGACUAAUCACUCAUCAAAUCCACAACUUGAACUUUCACCUUUUCACCUUGGAAAGACUAUAACCACAAUUGAUCAUAUCCACUAAUUCCACAAAACCUUCUCAAACUGAGAUCAUCACCAAAAUUCAAAGUUGACCAUCAUCAAUUAAGCCUAUUAUUCCGACAUAUAAACCACAUAUAAUUUCGUGUCUCAUAUGACCACUCAAACUCAUGACUUCCAAGAUCAAUCUAUACAUACUAAAUGCCUCCAUGUAAUGCAUCAAGACUUCCAAUGAGAUCCUCUAAUAGGAAGUCACUACUUAGCUCAAGUGAUCAUAAGUUAAUCCUCGAAUUCAUAACUGCACUCUCCAUAAUUCACUCCUAAGCUUGUUUGCAGCACUNNNNNNNNNNNNNNNNNNNNNNNNNNNNNNNNNNNNNNNNNNNNNNNNNNNNNNNNNNNNNNNNNNNNNNNNNNNNNNNNNNNNNNNNNNNNNNNNNNNNCUUAGAUGCUGCGCAUGUUCUUCAGGUCCUUUAGAAUAUAUCAAGAUAUCAUCAAAUGAAGACAAUCACAAUUUGAUCCAAAUAAGGCUUAAUUAUCCUAUUCAAUAAAUCCAUGAAUGCAGCUAAGGCAUUCGUCAAUCUAAAUAGCAUAAUUAGGAACUUAUAAUGUCCAUAGCGAGUCCUAAAUGCGGUCUUAGGAAUGUCUUCUUUCUUAAUCCAUAGUUGAUGGUAUCCUGACCUCAAGUCAAUUUUUAGAAAAGAUCGAACUUCCUUGCAGUUGGUCAAAUAGAUCAUCAAUUCUAGGUAAUGAGUACUUACUCUUAACAAUUACAUGAUUCAAUUGCCUAUUAUCAAUGCACAAAUGCAUCGACUCGUCCUUUUUCACAAACAAAAGUUCUACAAGCUUAACCAUACUUUCACUGCGCCACUCUGAUAGAAUUAUCCUAGAAACACUAUCUUCCUAGUUCAGUUCGUAGUUCGGUUUAUUCCUGCCCCCUUUUGCCAUCCCAGAAGUCUGCUAGGAGCUGCUCCUUGUUUAGGUCCUCUGACCUCGGUGUCCACUCCCCGCCCUCAAUGGACUGGGUCGUUACAGGUACACUAGCUUUCGCCUGGUUCGAACCCAAACUACACAUCCAUUGGAGGGUCUCGUUUCGAUAGGAACUAACUUACAUAGAUAUUAUUCGCUUUGGCCUAUCCCAUCUUAGCCUCAUAGUUUUAUCCUUAGAGCACGAGUAAGUACUACCUCAGGAGAUAAUUCAUCCUAGUCCAUUGCUUACGGAGUUAGUCCAUUCCUACGAUGAGGUCAAAGUUAUACAUAACUAUCACUAUCAAGUCCAUUUCUAGAUCUCAUUCCCCUAGGGUUAUCUCACACAUCUCACAUGCUAACCUAGAUAACAACAUGUCUUUCAGUGAUGUAGAAAUACGAAGAGGCAUAUCUAAAGAUUUGUUCCUAUUUUUCACAAUCAUCUAUAUUUUUCGAACACAAAUGAAUGUGUGCCACUCAUAUCAAAUAACGCAUAUACCUUCUUAUCCCUCUAUCAAAAUCGUACCUGAGAUAACAUUUUCGGAAGCUUCCGCUUCCUCUUGAGUGACCGCAUACACCAUUCCUUAUGCUGGUGGCCUCUGUGGAUUCCUUGGUAGGUUUGGUCCACCUGUACUUUGUUGUACUUGUCGCACCGAGCCAACACUCAGCUGCGACCUCUCUUGUGCACAAUCUCUAUUAAAGUGACCUCUUUGCCCACAGUCAAAACAUUUCAAUCGAUCAUUACAGGAUCCUGGUCCAAGCAGUUCAUUGGUUUUUGAAAAUAGAACCAAUUUUCGGGUAAAACAGAAUGCACCUCUUUAGUAAAAAUUCUUGGAAAAUUUGUAAAAAAUCUCAAUAAAUUCUGAAAAUUUAAAAUGAGGUAAACAAGAUCCAUAUGAAGAUAUUUCAUGAAAAACACUAUGUCAAGAAAGUUCCACAUCAAUCACAUAGAUCUACAAAUCACAGCAAAAGAAAUUCCAGCACCCCUUUUUGCACAGUUUCGGAAAUAAUUUCGAUUAAACCCUUAAAUGAACUUCGAAAAUUCUGAGAUUUUGAUAUGUUAUAUAUGAGAUCUAGGGGUAAAAUUAUAAUGAAUAAAUUGAAGUCUGGUUCCUUUUGGAUUAAUAGUUAUAAUUUUUUAUAACUCUCCCUAACUCUCGGUUCACUGUCCAGAUUCACCAUCUUCAAAGAAAAUCAUUUUCCCAAUCAAUGCUUGUCUUUUUAUUCUCAAAUUUUAGUAUGUUAUUACUCAAGAUGUUGGCUACAAGUUUCAUCAAGUUUCAUCAAGGACACAAGAUCAAAUUUCAGCCAGAUAAUUUUAUAAAAUUCACAGAGUCGCACUAGAUCAGAAUAACUGUUUCCAGAUCUACUUUCUUCAAAGAAAAUGAUUUCACCGACCUAUACUUGUUCAUUUCCUCUCAAAUUUUUAUAUUUUACUCUCCAAGAAAUCCUAACAACUUUCAUCAAGAAGUCGAAGUGAGAUUCCAACUAGAACAUCGCAUGCAACUCACAAAAUCACCGAAGAUCAACAUAACAGUUUCCAGGUCUAGUUUCUUCAAAGGAAAAUCAUUUCACCAACCAAUACUUAUCUGUUUGAUCCCAAUUUUUAGUAUGUUAAUAUUCAAGAAGUUCUCUACAACUUUCAUCAAUAAGUCGAAGUCAGAUUCCAACUAGAACAUUGCAUGCAAGUCACGAAAUCACCAAAGGUUGGACUGUUUUUCCAGAAAACAGAAUGUUAGGCUAGAACACAACUUCGAAAUUUCACAUUGUAUCCACAUCCGAGAUUCACCAUUCAUCACACACCAAACACAACAAGCGAAGGGUAGAUCAAUGGACUCUACUUGCCUCUAAUCCAAGCAAAACACAGCAAGCAAAUGAUGGCUCGAUGGCGGGGACGAACCUCCUCUUUCUUCCUCGCACGCUCGCUCUCCCUCUCUCGAUUUCACUCUCUCUCUCUCUGUCUCUGUCUCUGUCUCUGUCUCUCUCUCUCUCUCUCGGUAACCCUCUCUCUCAAUCCGCCCACUCUCCCUCUCUUUCUUUCCCCUUCAUCAUUGCAAUCAUUAGGCUUGCAUGGCUAAUGCCACUUAGCUCUAGGGGAAAGACACUUGGCAAGCUUCUCUUGCCACUUGGGGAUUUACAUGCAAAGAGAUGGGCCUCAUUUGGCUGGGCUUGGGCCAGCUUGGUCGACUACUUCAUGGGCUCCCUGGGUCGGCUCUGGCCACUUGGUCACUUUUGGGUCUAAGUCCACUUUUAAAUGGCCCAAAAUAUUACUAAAUAAGCCCAUAAUUGCUCUUACAAUUUACUUAAUCCCCACUUAAUUUCAUAAUCUAAUACUCACAUGGCCAUAAAAUUUUGUAACAUAGAUCAAUAAAAAUCUAACUUAUAAAGUACAUGGCCGAAGAAUAAAAAAUUUCUAUCAAUUUAUCCCUUUAAUACAAAUCCUUAAUCACUCAUGGACAUAGGAUAUAUUUCCAACCAAAUAAUUGUCCAUUAAAAUGCUCGGCCUUAAUCUAUUACAAAUUUUUCGGUCUAGUGGCCACAACAUACUUCAACGACACAACCAUUCACUUUUCCAUUGGUCGUAAUGCCUAUAGAAAUUGCCAUGAAAUUUUGGGAUGCCACACCUAAGGCUAGUAAGGGCAAUCCUCAUUAAUCAUAACCUAUGGCCAAUCACCGGCCAUCACCAAGGCUUGGCAAAGGAAGAAAACGAAAAAAAAAAUGAAAAGACAAGAAAACUAAAAAUAAUAAAUUUUAAAGAUUCAAAAAUAUUAAAAUACUAUUUUAAAAAAAAAAAAAGGUCUGCUGGCAUUCACUUUAACGAUUUCUAGUCAAAAUAGGCUAGAUGGACUCAAUUAGUAAAACUUGAAAAAAAUUUGGGAUUCAAUUGAUACAAUUAAAAAGUUUAUGACUGAAUUAGCAAAAGUACAACAUAUUAUGAUUUUUUUGAUAAUUUUCUCCAAAUAUCUUUGGGCAAUUACAAGUUUUUAUGUCAGCAUUUGGGUCUUGUUUAAAUUGUAUGACUUAAGCAUGUAGCCGGUAGCUCACUUACCUUUUAAGCCAACAAUAAAACUUUACUUGUCAAAAAAAAAAAAAAACAAAUUGCCCUAAAGUUGGUUCUACACAAGAGUCCACAAAAUGGAUGAUUGUGAUGAACUCGAUCCACUAGACACCAAUCCAUAUAAUAUAAUCUCAAAUCAAAGACCAUGAACAAUACUAGUUCCUUGAAUAGGUCGAAGCUUGAUAGGGAUUGAUUUUGAUCCAUCAAAAUUGGAAUCCUGUUAAUGGAUUCAAACAUGACGUUGAACCCAAUAACCCGAUUGCUAGUGCAUUGCCAGCUUCCAGUAGCACAUCGGUGGAAUCUACGGAAGAUAGUGAAACUCCAAUUUGACUCUUAAGUACAUAAGUGAGAUGCUCAAGGAGAGGGAGUUGGAGGAGAAAAACUAAAUGUUUGCUGGAUUGGCUGACCACCCUCUGGGCCAAAGGAAAAAAAAAUAGUGUGAUGUCCUCUACUAGAAGGGUACCCUUCCGACCACCCAAAAAAAAAAAAAAUACUUGCCAACCAGCAAAAAUUUGGCCAACCAGCGAACUCAGGUCUUCAUUUGAGAUUAAUUUAGCCACUUUAGACCCUUAUUUAAAAUAAUGUCCAUCUUAGGCAAUCUUUUGAAAAAAAUAACACCACUUUAGACGCUCAUUCAAAAAAAUUUCUUACUUUGCCAAAAAUUAGUCAUCUGAAGUGCAUGAUGGUAAAUGUAUACAAAUUGUUGAAUCUCUUUGUAUGUUACUAAGGUAAGAUUUUGCUAUAGUGCCAAACAUCCAAACAGGUUGAUAAUUUACUAUUUAUAUUUUCAUCGUUAAAUUCCUUCAAUAGAUGGCAAUUUUUCGCCCACUUGUAAAUUUAGCAAUUUAAUAAAAGCUUGCUGUGUAAUGUACGGGUAUUUUUCACUAAACCAUCCGACUUCGUUGGGCUUGAAUAAGACUCAUUUGAUUUCAUUUGUGUAAUGCUUGCGGAGAUUACUUUCGUUGGUGGUGUUUUUUUUUUUAUUGCUCUAAUUUCUAACACAUGAUAGUAAGGCCGAGUAUCGGUAUAGGGUCAACCCUAGACUAAUCUCGGACUGGCCCAACCCAGCCAAUACUGGGUCUGUGUCCUUAGUCCCAGAACUCAAAUUUCUUGAAAAAAUUUCAAAUAAGAGUCCAAGGUUCUAUCAAUUUCUUAAAAAAAGAUUUAAAGUGUAUCUUUUUGUUUUUUUUUUUUCAAAAAAAGACCUAAAGUUGCCAUAGGAGUUUCAAAUAAAGGUCUACCUCACUGACUGGUUAAGUAUUCUGGUCGAAAAGGACAUUUUUGUCCAAAGACAAUUUUAAACCAAAUUUUAAUUAAAUUAUUUUAAAAAUUAAUCUAAAAGCUUUUCAAAAAAAAAAAUACAUGCAGUGUGGGCCCUCACCUUUGGUCGACAAGGGUUGCGGCUCUCAUCGAGGUACUUGCAACCUCGAUGCCCUCCUUCAUCCUUUGGAAGGUAAACUUCAUCCCAAGCUACCUUAGCACCACCCACCCCUGCCCAGGUUCGGACCUUUCCACAAUAAUUGUCUAAGGAUUUUCUCUAUCUGGUCCACUAUAACUAUAGGCAAAACAAAUACACUAGCCCAAUAGGCUUGUAUAGUGUGAAGAACUAACCUAAUAAGCUGAAGCCAUCCAGCAAGAGAGAGGAAUCGAAGAGUCCAAGACUGAACCCUUGCAGUGAUAUGGUUGACAAGGGCACAAGAGAGAGGAAUUGGUGAGUCCAAGAUUGAUGAUUGAAUUAUUAAUAUAGUAAUUUUGGAAAAUUGACAUGCCAUCUUACUAAAGCAAAAGUGAGUGCAUAAUUAACAUGAAGUAGUCCUCUUUGGGUGCUUUUGCCGUUGUUUUGGCGUUGCCCUCGUUCUUUUACCUUGACACCCUUCCACUCGCUUUGACUUUUGUCUUCGUGAGUGUAAGUUUUUGGUGCCGAGUUCUUGCUGUAUAGCUUUAUAUAGCUCUUUGGUUAAAGUCAAUAUAAUCUUACCUUUUACCAAAAAAAAAAAAAGUUGAUAAAGCGAUCUAUAAAAUUCAAGAUAGAACAAGACAUCAUAAUUUUGAUAGGAAUUUUCGAUCUUUGGUAGCUGGAGAUUACAUUGAGUACUAAACUUAAGUAAUAAGAUUCGGUUGCAUAAUUCGCAUAAGUUGUCGGACCAAUAUUGAAAUUAUUAUAACUAAGAAUCUAAUUUUACCUAAUUCGAUGAAAUGGAUGUACGAGAAUCAACAUGACCAGCACGUUUACUCCAUUUCGUAGCCAAAAGAUUUUUUUUUUCCUUUUUAUAAUGUGGACGGCAUAUAUUUCUUUUUCUUUAUUGUUUUGGGUUGGUUUCUCGUGAAGUGAAGAGGAUAAGAGUGGAUAUUUAUAUCCUGUUUUCCACGCAAUAAUCGCAUAGGUGCAGGGUGAGCAAUAGCUGAAAGCUUGGCCAAUGGAGUACUGCCCUACUUCGCCCUUUUGGCUCGGCCUCCUCCUCUCGGCACUUCUAUUUUUCCUUCUCAACCGUUGGAAGUGCACCAAGCUUCCCCCUCAGCCCCAUUUACAUUUAUUGGCUCAUUUCAUCUUGUGGACUUUAAUGUCAAAAUGUUGACGAAGGAUAUUUUUGCGACUUAUUCGCCAUACAAGAGAUUGUACACUUUGCACAGUAUUCUCCAUUAUGCUCCCACUCAGAUUAGAUAAUAAUGAUAUCGUCUCAUCAUAUAGUUGUAAUUGAGAGUGAGUCGAAUAUAAUUUCUCACUUCUCAUGUUACUCCUAUUUGGACGAACUCUACUAAGUCCAUUAUCUUGAUCUAAUGUUUCUAAUAUGGAGUAAUUCUCACAUAUUUCACCCUUCUUAAGAAAUUCAUUAUUUAAAAAUGUGACAUUCCGUGAUUCAAAUUUAGCUAUACUCUCACUUUUCUGCCCACUUAUAAACACAUACCCUUUCGAGUGUUUUGAGUAUCUUAUGAAAAUACUCUUCUUACCUCCGGGUUCAUGAGUAUAGGCAGUACAAUAUCACAGUUUAAAAAAACUUAAAUUCAAUUUUCUACCUGUCUAUAACUCAUAUGAAGUUAAAGUAACUAGUUUGAAAAGUAUAUGGUUAAGUAUAUAGGCAGCAAUUAAUAAAGCAUUACCCCCAAAAAGUGAUAGGUAAGUUAGCAUGUGCCACCAUGGAUAUAAAUUUUUUAAUAGGGUUCCGUUUCUCCUUUCCGCAACACCAUUUUGUUGAGAAGUAUAGGAAAUGAAAAACUAUCUUUCUAUUCAUUUUUUAUCACAUAAAUUUAUGAACUCAUCAGAUAAAUAUUCAACCUCAAUCGGAUUUCAAUACUCAUGUUUUCUUAUCUAAUUGAUCUUUUACUAAGCUCAUAAAUUUUUUGAAAUAACUCAAUGCUUCAGAUUUAUGAGAAAUCAAAUAGACAUUUCUUAAUUAAGUAUAGUUAUCUAUAAAUAUGAUAAAAUAAAUAGCAAUGUGCAUUCCUCUCACAUUUAUUAGACUAAAAUUGUUAGAAUGAAUUAAUUGCAAAGGAAAUUCAGCUAUUUUACAUUUUCCAAAUUGUUUUCUUAUCAUUUUCUCUACUAGGUAAUGCUAACGUAUAGGCAAAUCAACUUUUUCAAUGUUGCCCAAUAAGCCCUCUUUGGCUAGCCUAUUCAUAUGUUGUUGGCCAAUAUGAUCAAGUUUAGCAUGCCACAUAUUCACAUAAUUAUCAUAUGAAUUAAAAGACGUGAAGAGGGAAUAACAUUAAUAUUACUAUAGUCAACAUUUAAUACAAUAAAAUCAUUUAGAAAAUAGCCAUAACCAUAGAAGCUUGUAUUUAAAUACAAAUCCAUACCAUUAUUUUGGAAGUUCAAACUAAAAUCAAAUUUUACAAAUACUAAAACAGACACUAAAUUCUGACGAAUUUCGGAAUAUAUAAUAUACAUCAUGUUGGAAUAAGGUGUGUUCACCACACAUGUUUAAUUGACAGGUGCCAAUCUCUUUUAUUUAGCUCUAAAGUUGUUUCUUAUAUAGAUCCAUUUAGUUCUAGUUAGUGCUUGUCGGAAUUCUACGAAGAAUUCUCUAUCCUUUGCUACAUGGUUCGUUGCUCCCGAAUCUAUAGUUCACAAAGGAUUAUGUUCAAUUAAGAAUAUUGAAUUUGAUACAUAAGCAAAGUUCUUAAGAAUGCAAGGGGUGUUGUUCUUCUUUGGCUCACAACAGUUGCGAGCAUGGUGAUCGUUCUUAUCACAAUUAUAACACUUCGCCCUUGACAACUUAUUCAUUCGAGGAUGCUUUCCUCUUUCAUAUUGGUUAACUUUUGAUUUAUUUCCCGAAGAACUUGCUUCAUUGCCUUUCUACCUUUUGAAUGAAUCAAGAUGUUUGUGCUUGGAGCUUGAAACCUCUUGUGAGCUAGAAUUGGCAUAAUAAAUGUCAGUUUACGGUUUAGCUGCCAGGAGGCAGUCCUCUUUUAGCUCAAGAUGACGCAUUGCAUCCUCAAAGGUUUUAAUAUUCUCAUUGUGUAUCAAGUGCACUUUCAUAUGCUCCCAACUUGGAGGUAGGGAAUAUAUCACUGCUUGCACUUGCUACUUGUCAGUCAAGACAUAGCCAGCAUCUUUCGACUUAUUAAUCAUGUUUAACAUCUUUUUCAGGUGUUGUUUCAUGUAGAGGUGUGCAACCGGAUCGGGUCAACUCGGUUCCCGGUUCGGCCCACCCGGAAAACAGGGUCGGGAAUUGGUUCCGGUUGAAACCGGUCCGGGAACCGGUUCCCAAAGUUCAUACCUUGUUUGAACCGGUCCGAGAACUGGUUCCGAGGGAAUACCCACUUGGGAACCGGAUCAAUCGGACCAGUUUGGGAACCGGUUUGAGAAUCGAUUUUUGGGCCCCAAAACAAAACCCUAGCCGUUUCUAAAUUUCUAUCUUUACUCUCAGUCUCUCAUGUAGCACGCUCGUCGCUCUCAGCGUCUCAUGAUCUCACCUCCGCCAAUCCAUCUGAGCAGAAGCAGCAUUGCCUUCCUCCAGAUCAGCGCCCCCAUCUUGGUCCCAGCCAUCCUCGCCACCCCGGUGCCGUCGGCCUCGCUGCUCGAGAAGGCUGGGUGCAAGACAUUCGCGGGCCUCCUUGUCUUGACACCAAGGUCGACUCCUCAUGGGUGGCCAACAUGGUGCUCAAGUCCACCCCCGUCGCGAUCUUCACCAUUGACAGUGUCCUCCUCCCCUCUGAGCUGUUCGGCAAGUCCCUGUCCCCCGCGUCAGCGCCGUUGCUGGUAAGCACGAUUUUUACUAUUCGUCUUGAGCUACUGGCUAAUUAGUUCUACUUACCCCCACGCCGGCACCGUCGAUGUUUGCUCUUUUGAUUCGUUCUUGUAUUGCAAGUCUGGUGUUUUUUUUCUCCGUGGGACAAAUCUUGAGAAUUGGUCAGGAGUUGAGCGAACGAGCGAACGAGCGAACGAGCAUUUUAGGUUAUUGUGAAUCACAAUAGUUUGUUUCAUCCUAAUAGUUUGUUUCAAUGCUGUCUAGCAGCUGAUCAAUGACAAAAAUGCACACACACAUGCUCAAAGCGAGAUAUGUAUGGUUAUUACACUUGCUGCAUUUCACUAGGUGUGGUGAUAUAAGAUAGUCAAUAUACCCCAUAGGAUCAAGUAUGUGGUCAAGGGCAUACUUAUACGUGUGAAUUUGGCACGUCGUACAAGUUUGAUUCCCACACCACUGAGUACAAACAUUUUCAGGGGUUUGCCUACCUAAGGUCCUAAGGUUGGUGCCUCAAUCCUAGUUAUAAAAAAAUAUAAGAGUGAUUACCUAGGAGGAGCGGGAAGAAGCUAGCACAAACUUUUACAAAUCAGAAUAUCUGUUUGAGAAUCCAUGUUGUUUCAGUGAAAUAGGAUAGUUUUAGUUCAUUGGAGCCUGUCUUCCUAUCCUCUGGACAUAAUUAUUGUUUUAGCUUUGUGACAGAUGUGUUAAUUCCGCAGAUUUUCUGUCAUUCAUGAAUUUCUGCAGUGUAAUUCUUGUCACGGUUUGGUUGCAGGAUGAGAUGUUAAGACAGAGAUUCAUGGUUUACUAGCAAGAUGUGAAAUGUGCACGUUCAGAAAUUUUUUGCAAAACAAGUUCCAAUAUAAACAGGGUUAACCUUGUUCUUGUUCUUGCUGCUGUUUCUGUUGCUGUUGACAUCAAGUCAAGGAGGGCAAGUGGGUUGUGGUUGGCUUUGUUAGCCUGAUUUAUCGUUAAUUGUUUUGCUGAGAUUGAGGUUAUUAGAAGAGAAAUCAGUGUUAUGUUGCCUAGCAUUGGUGUUUUAUAUCCUAGAAAAUUUGACUUCAAAGAUUGUUCUUUGUUUGGAUACUUCAUUUUAUCCGCAUAUCGGAGUGUUCAUUGUCCUUUGGAUUGGAGUUGUUCUAAGCAUCCGAUUCAAUCUUGCCACUGAAAUAGGACCCUGAAAAGAACUCUUUCAAUUAGAUGUUCUUUGGAGAAAUAGAUUAGCAAAGAUUGAUUGGUAGUCAGAGAACAUGGGUUAUUAAGCUCUAUGACUCAGAGUUUACUGGUUCGCUAAGUUUUCCCUCAGAGGUCAGGAUACAUUAGGCACCAUUUGUUUUAUUUGAUAUGUCGUGAUUUCGAUAGAUCUAUCCUUCACUAGCAAGGAUCCAUAUCAUUUUGGAGUAUACAUUGUCUAUCUCUAGAUUAGAGAUUGUUCUGAGCUUACAUUUGAUUCUUGCAAUCAAAUUAGAAUGCUGAAGAAACACCUUCAUGGUUUACUAGCAAGAUGUGAAAUGUGCACGUUCAGAAAAAUUUUGCAAAAUAGGUUCCAAUAUAAACAGGGUUAACCCUGUUCCCGGACAAGAAAAAUAGGGUGGGUUGGGAACAGAGUCCAAUGCAAACAGGGUAGGGAACAUGGUCCAAAAAAAGAGAACCGGUUAUAACAGGGUUGGGAACAGGGUCCAGGUCUAGACCCUACCCACCUUGGACCCGAUCACCUCUAGUUUCAUGGUCUGACUAUGAGACUUCUUAUAAGAGUCAAAUCUUAUAGUGAGUUAUCUUAGUUUGGUCACUGAUGUAUGACCAAAUAUUGCUACCAAUACUUCCCACAUUUCUUUGGCAUUCUCAAAACGCCUAAACUCUAGCAUGACAUCAUUUUCCAUGCUACUCAGCAAUGUAAUGCAAGUAAGGGAGUUCUUUUUUUGCCAUACAACAAAUGCAUCCUUAUCUCUUUUAUGUUGUGCAAUGUUCCCAUCUUCAGAUUCUUCCAUAAUCAGAUUAAGAGUUUCUAGUGCCUUUUGCUCUUCUAUAUUGGAUUUUCAUAUGUCAUAAUUCAUAAUUAUCGUCGUUUAGCUUCUUACAUUUGUUCAAUUCAGAUACUAUGCUCUUAGAUGUUGAAGCCAUUGGAUCUAAAUAUAUCAGACACAUAUACAUGAAUAAUCCUUUUUUUUUUGGUAAAGGUAAUAAUAGAAUAGAAAGAGGAAAAGCCAAUUAUACAAAAGACUAAAAACUUUCACUCAAAAAGCACACAAGCAAACUGAGUGAAAAGGAGCUGGUGUAAAAGAAAGAAGGAACAACCAAUACAAUCGACAACAACAAGAGCAAACGCCCCCAAGUUCGAAGGAAGCAAAAAGGGUACACAUCCAAAAGCAGCACGAGCGCAACAGGCGCAACAAGGUCCAGGCGAAGGACAAGAGCAAAACCCCAACACCAAUCGAGCUAGUGAAGAACAAACCCAGCAGCCUAUUAGAGCUUAGCUGGGCCAACAAUGAAGAUUGAAGGAUCAAAUCCCCACCCAUGUUGAAGCCUCCUAUUUCUCGGGUUGUCAGGCACCUUGCCAUUGGUUAGUACUUUGUCCCUGACAACUUUUAUGAGAUGAUUCUUCAAAGCCGCAACCUCAAGCACUUCGCCCUAGAAAAAUGAUGCUUUUCCUUUUCUUCCAGAUAAGAUGGCACAUGGCCCUAAAAGAGAAAUGGGCAAUAGAGUGGAAGAAGUCCUUACCAGGUAAAUAUUUCAGAGCCCAAAGGAGAAUCUUUGCCCAUGACCUAUUAUGCCAGGGAAGAUUACAUCUCCCCGCCCAAAAGAAAGCAAGCAUCACGGGAACAUGACACUCGAAGAAGAGAUGGUCAAUCGAAUCAGGAAAAUAAUUGUAGAAGGCACACACUUCAUAAUCAAUUCGUCCAUGAGAAAUGAGUAAAGCCUGAGUAGGAAGGCAGUUCUUGGUAAUAAGCCAAAGGUUGAACUGGUAUAUGGGAGCAAUGGCAUUAUUCCAAAUAAAGUGAGCCCAAGGGACACGGUUCUUUCUAGGUCUUAAUGCCUCCCAGGCUGAGGCCACUGAAAAGGAAUUGGAAGAGGACUCACGCCAAGAGAAGCUGUCAGUAGAAUCAGCCAGGAUUGGCAAGGAGAAGCCCCAACACUCCAAUAGAUAUAUGAACGCACAGUUUGCCGGUGCAAGGAGGUCUGCCACUAUUGCUUUCCUAGAAAGGCCUGAACUAAGAAUAGGAGAGUCUGGGAUAAUGAGGCUCCAAGGGCCUUGCUGGUGCCCAUUGUUGUGCCAUAGAGAGACUGAACGACCAUUGCCUACUCUCCAACAGAAGGAUAACCUGAAAUUUCUUCUACGGUGAAGGAUUUUCUUCCAAGCCCAAGAGCAUACUGUUGGGAUAGUCGUGACCCAAAAAUUCUCUCUUUUAAAGAAAUUUGAAUGGAUCCACCGACAUCAAAGGGACUCUUUAUCUGUGAACAAGAUCCAUAUAUACUUAAGCAUAUACGCUUUAUUGCGGUCCUUCAACCUUCGAAUACCCAGACCAUCUUCCACCUUGGGAACACAGACAUCCUCCCAAGAAACUUUAGCUUCGCCCUAUCCAAGGGUAGGACCCUUCCAAAGGAAUUGCUUUAAAAUACGCUCAAUACACUCUAUAACCGAGUAGGGAAGAGAAAAAACAGUAGCCCAAAAGGCUUGAAUGGAAUGUAGGACUGACCUAAUCAAUUGUAGCCUUCCAGCAAAGAAAGAAACCGCUGAGCCCACGACUAAACUCUAGCCGUGAUCUGAUCAACGAGAGUAGUACAAUCCGCUUUGCUAAGUCUUGAAGUAAUAAUGGGAAACCCCAAAUAACGCACUAGCAGCUUCCCUUCUUGAAAACCCAGUGUCAAGAGAAUAUUCCUUUGCAAAGAAGUGGAACCCCCUGUAAGAAAGACCUCGCUUUUGUUUUUGUUAGGCAACAUUCCGCUCCAUGAAGAGAAGAUACCAAGGCCUCUAUUGAGGAGAGUCAUUGAAGCCCAAUCUGUCUGGCUAAAAAGAAAGACAUCAUCGGCAAAAAAUAGAUGGGAUAGCUUCACAGACUUGCACCUCCAAAAAUACUUGAAGUCCUUAUGAGCUGUGUGAGAGCUCAAGAUCCCAGAGAAAAUCUCCAUAACCAGGGUAAAUAAGUAGGGGGACAUGGGAUCCCCUUGCCGAAGCCCACAACCACCUGAGAAGAAGCCAUGCAGCUCACCAUUGAUCGAGAUAGAAUAUUUAGGUGUACAGACACAAACCAUGAUGAGUCUGAUUAUCCACUCAGGGAAACCAAAAGCCGAAAGGGUAAGCUCAAGGAAAUCCCAAUCCAUAGUGUCAUAGGCUUUCUUGAAGUCCACCUUAAUAGCACACUUAGGUAGAUAAGGCUCAAGGUGGAAUCUUGCAAACAGCUCCUGGGCUAGAAGAAUAUUAUCCCUUAUCCUCCUACCUUUAACAAAGGCGUUCUGGAACGGACUAAUCAAAUCAUCUAACACAACAACUAAACGAUUAGCUAAAAUCAUAGUAAUAACUUUGUAAAUUGUGUUACAGCAAGCUAUGGGUCUGAAAUCAGAAACAGCACAAGCGUUGGGAACCUUAGGCACCAUGGCUAAUAUCGUGUUAUUCACCUCUCUUAGCAACCAGCCCGAAGAGAAAAAUCCUUUACUGCCUCUAAAACUAGAGGCCCUACUACGUCCCAAUUAUUCUUAAAGAAUUCAACAAUAAAUGCAUCUGGUCCAGGGGCUUUACCACAGGCCAAGGAGAAUAGAGUAUCCCGAAUCUUAGAGUCAAAGACUGGACGAGAAAGAAAGCCAACUUGAUCAACCGAGAGAGGCGGCCGAACGAACUCCUUCAACUCCUACAAAGAAGGCUUCGAGAGGGCUGUCUGCAGAGUCAAAAGGUCACUAAAAAAGGAGACAAAUAUAGGUGGAACCAAUUCAGGGUUCAUAAUCAAGGAGCCUAAAGGAUCCUUAAUCGAAAGAAUCCUAUUCCUGAGUUGUCUUCUAGUGACCAAUUGAUGAAAAAACUUGGUGUUCCUGUCACCUUCCUGAAGCCACCUGAUUCUUGAUUUCUGUCGGUAAAAAGACUGCUCCUGAGAAUGCAACUCAACAAACACCCGACGUUGAGAUUUCUCCAAAUCCGCAAGGGCAGAACUGCCUGGGUCUUGCUGAAGACCAACCUGGGUGAUACGAAGAGCAUUCCUCACGUCAGUAGUUCUCACAAAAAUGUCAGAGAAGGCCACUCUAUUAAGUUGCUUUAGACGCCCUUUCAAAAGCUUUAACUUGCGAACAAGUUUGUACAUAGGAACACCUUCCACCAGACUCUCCCAGACUUGCUGAACAAUAGAGGAAAAGGACAGGUGUUUCAUCCAUAGAUCAAAAAAUUUGAAAGGCUUCUUCUUAAAAAUCGGGUUAAGAACCCUGACAACCAUGGGCGAAUGAUAAGAUAUACCCAGGUUUAGAAAGUUAGCUUCAGAAUAAGAAAAUACAGUAUUCCACUUGGCAUUCACCAACACCCUGUCAAUCUUUCUCAUCUUCCUGGCAGCACCAGAAGAAGUAAACCACGUAAAUCGAAGGCCCACAUACCUCAAAUCCUCCAAAUCAGUUUGUGCUAAACAUUGACUGAAAUCAUCAAAACAAGGUAUCCAAGUAGUGGUACUCCCAACUCGGUCGGACGGAUCUUUUAAGGCAUUAAAAUCACCAGCAACCAACUAGGCGAAGUCCUGCACAAAGCUGUUCAUCCGUAUAAGGUCAUCCCAAAGAGGCUGACAACGGGUAUAGGAAUGCUCUCCAUACACCACUGAAAUAUAAGAAGACAUCCUAGACAGAAGAAGCUCCAAGUGGCCAUGGAUAGCCUGAUCAUUAACAGAAGAGACUUCAAAGAGAACCAACUCCGGGUUCCAACCGACCCAGAUUCUACCUCGAGGGGAAUAGUCAUAAUUUGCAAUCCAGUUCCAUCCCAUCAAAAAAGUUAAGGAGAUAGAGUGAAAAAGAGACUCAGGAGCCCUAGUCUCAAGCAGCCCAACAAAACAUAAAUUGUUCGAUGACACAAACUUCUUCACUUUAGCACGCCUAAUGGGGUUAACCAAACCCCUUAUAUUCCAAAAACCUAUACACAUUGUUGAAAGGUAAGAAGAUUACCUCUUCUUGGUGGUCCUACACCGACCAAAGGCUGGAGUAGGUAGAGCCGACGGGGAAGGGUCAGGAUGCAACUUGAGAAGUUUGUCUUGCAUGGAUUCAUUAUUCCCAAGAGUUGGAGGCGCUCUCGAAGAAGGCAUAGAGAGCAAAUCGUCAUCCGAAUAUCCAUCUAUGUCUUCGCCCGAACUAGGAGGAACCAAAGAAGGUUCAACAAGAAUAACUCCUAUGGAAGACCGCCCUUCUUGAGCUUGCGUCUUCGUGCCAGGAUUCGGAGCCUUCGUUGGAACAGGCUCUUUCAGCUUCAAAGAUUGACUUUUAUCUCCAGAGGGAACAUCGUCUUUAAUCUUCAAAGAUAUCCCACCACCUGCGGAAGAAGAAAGCCUAAACGAGGCAUCAACCUUACCUAGUGGAGGCUUAUUCUUUUUACUUUUAACUUGCUUCUAAGUCGUUUUAGUCCCUUGCGAAGGAAUAACCACAGGGGCAGCAAGCUUCUCCGAAUUCUGGACCGAAUCAUCACCAGAAGCAGAGCAAAUAACGCUUUGAUGAAUAAUUUGAAAUAAGGUUUCAGAAUUAAAAGGUCACUAUGUUUCCAAUUAUCAUCCAAAAAUUCUAACUUGAAAUUCUCAUUAAUAUAGUCUUCUAUACAAAAUAAGUUCUUUGAAACUACAGAAUCUUCUAUGAACUACCUCAAACAAUUAAUGAUAACAGAAGCAAUUGACAUUGAAUAUCCAUUAAUGAUGAAUAAAAAUAUUUCCACAUAAUAUAACCAAUACAUCAAUUGCUACAACGACAUCAAUAUGGUAGAAAUUAUCUACAUAAGAUAUUCAUAAAACAUACUAAAUAAAUGCUACUAGAAACAACUAACACUAAGUCAACCUAUGAAUAGGGAAAUAUUCUUUUAAUUUCUUGGAAAUUUCCUUCGUAAAUUCUUUAGGCACAUUUGGCAACCACGGAAAAACAGAUGAAAAUCCCUUAGGAUUUCUCCUUCACAUAUUCAUUCCCCCAUGGAUUGAACUCAUUCAUUGGGUUGAAGUCUUUGUGGCUUCAAUCUUAUAAUAUUCCUUUUUAAAAAGCCACUAUAAGUUUCUUAUAAUCAGGAACCACAUUGACCUCCCAUAGGCGAUUGAACACUCAUUGCCAUUCAGAUGGAAGAAUGUCAAUGAAGAAUCGCACCAUCUUAAAAGCUGGCAUAGGGUAACCCUUGCAAAUGACUUCUUGUAUCUUCUUAUUGACCUUGUAAACAUGAUCAAAUAAAUCACCAUUUUCCCAUCAAUAAUCAGCCAACUUAACUAUCAUCCUUACAAGCCUUGUCCUUUGUCUUUUUGACUGUGCACGAAUAGGUGUACGCAUACGAAGGGGAGGCAUUGUUCUUGCAACGAAUGCAGAACAAAAAAUGAUUACUUAUAAUCCAUAGGGACAUAAUUGAAAAAGAAACAUAUUCUUCAUUUUUUUUGUCAACGGUCAACAAUCAACAGUCAACGCGGUUAACAAAGUCAAUGGUCAACGGAGAUCGGGUCGGCUCAGACGGGUCAAACAUGGGUCGGGUCAAACUGACUAACUUGACUAGGUGACGUCAUCAUGACUCACCAACACGUGCCAUGUGCAUGCAUGGGCAACUGCCAACUAACGUCACCAUGACGUUAGCUGGCACGUGUGGUGCCGCAAGUGCCCUAGAAACCAUUGAUGCACACGCCGACAAGGCCUUUUCUUCUAGUCGCACGUGGUGGCAUGUCUAACGGCAUCGAUGGCGGGCAACUUGUGACAUCCAGAUUUUUGUUGACCCUCGAAUACGUGACGGUCCGUGACAGAUCGACAGAAUUAUCGUUGGACUAUGUCAUUGGUACCAUUUGUGGACACUGUUUUGUUAUUAUCGUUGGACCAAUACGUUAUGUUUAGUAAUGGUCUGAUCAUAGAAUAAAUUAUAGUCCCGUCGAAAAUCUUUCUUACGUUCUAGCAAGACCGAGGCUCAUUCCAAAUAAUAUGUCGACAAGUUACCUAUCAUUCGAACUUUAGCCGUCUCCAUUGAGUAUGUACCCUAGGCGAUGAAGCCGAGAGACACCAUUUCACGCCCAUGCAGCCACGUCCAUCUACUUUCUUCCAUUAAGACAAAAAACUAUGGAUUCCAUGGCCAUGCAUGAGGACCAUGCACGUCUCUCCAUUGUGCGGAUCAAUAAACAAAUAGGAAAUUGACCCAUGCAGCCCAUGCUGCUCGAAGACCCUAUUUCCCCGGCCAUGCAUUCACGUCACACAUCUUCCAUGCACGUUCGUGGAGAUUCCAUGCAGCUGGUCAACUAUGGGUGAUGAUUGUUGACCAAGAGCCACGUAGCUCGUCCUUCGGUGGACAGCAAAAAGGGAGAAUGUGGCUUUGCUGAGGAUACAUCCCUUGCAUGAGGAAGUAAGGUGGCUGCAGCAAAAAGAGACCCUUACGCAUGGACACGGUAGGUGCAGCUGUCCGUUCUUUCCGCGGCCAUCGAGAAUUUACCUUUGUUGACCCAUAAAGUCAACCAACGAAGGAACAAAAUGGCUCGGAAAUGAGAGCAAGAGAGAGAAAAAAACCGGGCGAAAUAAGGCAGAGAGAGAGAGUAGCGAGUGAGAGAGAAAGCAGCGAGCGUGAGUGAGAGGAAAAGAAGGAGGUCACCCCCUCCGCCCGUGCACACGCGCUGCCGACGCCACUUGCUCGCACUUGCUGUUGCCGAGCUGUGUCUAUGACCGCGAGCUUCUCGAUUUCUCGCCGUCGACACCAUCGGAUUUAAGGCAAGUGAAAGUCUACUAGCCUAUGUAAUGCAAUGCUGUUGUUGUUUGAUGUAGUGCAGUUAAUUUUGGAAAUAUUUGAGUUUGUAUGUUGGAUAUUGAAUUUUUGAAUGAUUGAGGUAGAUUGGGAUUAGGGGAUUGAGGAAAUGCUCGGGUUUUCUUUGUGUGUUUUUGGUUCCUUUGAACCUCAAUCGAAAAUAGAUUUUGGUGGACUUUUGGAAAUAAGGUAGCCAAGGUGUGGGCGUGGGUUUCUACUGAAUCCAUACUGCCAAGAACAACUCGUGUGUAGCUCUGUAGCUUUGUAAAUUUCUACAGAGAUUUCUAGUACGAAUUUGGUCCCGACUUCUUCAUGGAAGUUGUGAGAAAUUGUUUAAACUAGGACAUAUAUUUUUGUCAGAUUUUUGGGAUCAAUAUAGUUGGCACAAACUUAUUUUAGUGUGCGGUGCUUUUCUACUAGAGUGUGAAUUUUGGUCAAUGGAAGAAAUAUGGGGCUAAGUUGUGUGAUUUACUGCUCUUUGUACUUGACUAAUGCGGCUUAGUGUCCUUCAUGAAAUUAUUUCCCUUAGGUCUUACUUAUAACAUACUAAAAAUUUAGAAUUUUCUGAGUUCAUUUAUUGGUUCUUUCAAAAUUAUUACUGAAACUAUACAUUUGAUUUCGGUUGCCUUUAUUCCGAGUUUGCUCAAAUUUAUCUCAAGGGUGAAGGAAUCUUGGUUUAUUACCUAGUAACGAUGGUUUUGGCAUUCAGUAAAUCAUUCAAUACUGAAAUUUCAAUAAAAAUUCAAGGGAUUUCAUAUGUCGAUGAUUUGAAAAUGUUUUGGUAUUGAAAUAAUUUGAUGUGUCAUUGCUACCGUUGGACCCUUGGGUCAAUGAUGCCCUGGGAGUCGGGCUGCCCAUAGGAUCGUAGGGGUCGAUGCCUUUGGAUGCUUGGAGACCGGUGAUCCCCAGAGGUUCCUUGGGAGUGUCGGGAUGCCCGAAUGUAUGACGAUACAUAUUUCGGAGGGUAGGGGCAACCAUUGCCGUGGUUAGUCCCGGAGAUUCCUCGUGAUGCUGGGUAAGGUGCGAGAUGCAAGAGGUGAGACAUGACAUGCUCUGGUUGCCCGGUGAUUGAAAAAUGGAACCAGAGGCUUUCGUGACGCCAGGUUGAGUGCGAAUGCCUAGAAGGACGCAAACACUGGUCCUCCAGGAGAAAAAUCUUUUGAGUUUUAAAACUGAAUGUGCUACUAAGUUGCGCCGAAUUAUGAGACAAAAUUGUGUGGCACAGAAUGAGACAUGUCAUGACAGUUUGGUCUUAUAAUCAGGACUCAUGUGAUUGAAAUGAUGUGUUCUGGUUUUGAAACUGCACUUGUUAUCACUUGGAAAAGUUCCAUUGAUUUGAUGCAUACUCAUUCCUUUGGUUAUGUGUUUUAUGAAUUUUGCAUGAAAUUAUAUUGUGAUGGUUCUGCAAGAUAUAGUUUAGUAGAUCUUUUGUUGUCGGGUGGUUGUAGGGACUAACAUUUUAGACUAGACAAGAUGCUUCUGCCACCCGCACCUCCCAGUACAUUCAAUGGAUUCCCGAUCGAAUUAUAGUUGGAGCGGUCGGAGUAUCAGGACCCUAAGGUGCGAGGACUGACGUUCGUACCGAUGAGAGUCAUUAUGGUGUUUAAUACCGGUCUUCCCAUUGGCCCUGUACUUCAAGAGUACAUCGUCGUAUUUGUCCGUCGGUAUAGACGAACGCUGGGGCCAUUGCCGUCGCCACUAGCAAAUGGACCAAGUGGCUAGGUGUGAUCAUGAGAUGNNNNNNNNNNNNNNNNNNNNNNNNNNNNNNNNNNNNNNNNNNNNNNNNNNNNNNNNNNNNNNNNNNNNNNNNNNNNNNNNNNNNNNNNNNNNNNNNNNNNNNNNNNNNNNNNNNNNNNNNNNNNNNNNNNNNNNNNNNNNNNNNNNNNNNNNNNNNNNNNNNNNNNNNNNNNNNNNNNNNNNNNNNNNNNNNNNNNNNNNNNNNNNNNNNNNNNNNNNNNNNNNNNNNNNNNNNNNNNNNNNNNNNNNNNNNNNNNNNNNNNNNNNNNNNNNNNNNNNNNNNNNNNNNNNNNNNNNNNNNNNNNNNNNNNNNNNNNNNNNNNNNNNNNNNNNNNNNNNNNNNNNNNNNNNNNNNNNNNNNNNNNNNNNNNNNNNNNNNNNNNNNNNNNNNNNNNNNNNNNNNNNNNNNNNNNNNNNNNNNNNNNNNNNNNNNNNNNNNNNNNNNNNNNNNNNNNNNNNNNNNNNNNNNNNNNNNNNNNNNNNNNNNNNNNNNNNNNNNNNNNNNNNNNNNNNNNNNNNNNNNNNNNNNNNNNNNNNNNNNNNNNNNNNNNNNNNNNNNNNNNNNNNNNNNNNNNNNNNNNNNNNNNNNNNNNNNNNNNNNNNNNNNNNNNNNNNNNNNNNNNNNNNNNNNNNNNNNNNNNNNNNNNNNNNNNNNNNNNNNNNNNNNNNNNNNNNNNNNNNNNNNNNNNNNNNNNNNNNNNNNNNNNNNNNNNNNNNNNNNNNNNNNNNNNNNNNNNNNNNNNNNNNNNNNNNNNNNNNNNNNNNNNNNNNNNNNNNNNNNNNNNNNNNNNNNNNNNNNNNNNNNNNNNNNNNNNNNNNNNNNNNNNNNNNNNNNNNNNNNNNNNNNNNNNNNNNNNNNNNNNNNNNNNNNNNNNNNNNNNNNNNNNNNNNNNNNNNNNNNNNNNNNNNNNNNNNNNNNNNNNNNNNNNNNNNNNNNNNNNNNNNNNNNNNNNNNNNNNNNNNNNNNNNNNNNNNNNNNNNNNNNNNNNNNNNNNNNNNNNNNNNNNNNNNNNNNNNNNNNNNNNNNNNNNNNNNNNNNNNNNNNNNNNNNNNNNNNNNNNNNNNNNNNNNNNNNNNNNNNNNNNNNNNNNNNNNNNNNNNNNNNNNNNNNNNNNNNNNNNNNNNNNNNNNNNNNNNNNNNNNNNNNNNNNNNNNNNNNNNNNNNNNNNNNNNNNNNNNNNNNNNNNNNNNNNNNNNNNNNNNNNNNNNNNNNNNNNNNNNNNNNNNNNNNNNNNNNNNNNNNNNNNNNNNNNNNNNNNNNNNNNNNNNNNNNNNNNNNNNNNNNNNNNNNNNNNNNNNNNNNNNNNNNNNNNNNNNNNNNNNNNNNNNNNNNNNNNNNNNNNNNNNNNNNNNNNNNNNNNNNNNNNNNNNNNNNNNNNNNNNNNNNNNNNNNNNNNNNNNNNNNNNNNNNNNNNNNNNNNNNNNNNNNNNNNNNNNNNNNNNNNNNNNNNNNNNNNNNNNNNNNNNNNNNNNNNNNNNNNNNNNNNNNNNNNNNNNNNNNNNNNNNNNNNNNNNNNNNNNNNNNNNNNNNNNNNNNNNNNNNNNNNNNNNNNNNNNNNNNNNNNNNNNNNNNNNNNNNNNNNNNNNNNNNNNNNNNNNNNNNNNNNNNNNNNNNNNNNNNNNNNNNNNNNNNNNNNNNNNNNNNNNNNNNNNNNNNNNNNNNNNNNNNNNNNNNNNNNNNNNNNNNNNNNNNNNNNNNNNNNNNNNNNNNNNNNNNNNNNNNNNNNNNNNNNNNNNNNNNNNNNNNNNNNNNNNNNNNNNNNNNNNNNNNNNNNNNNNNNNNNNNNNNNNNNNNNNNNNNNNNNNNNNNNNNNNNNNNNNNNNNNNNNNNNNNNNNNNNNNNNNNNNNNNNNNNNNNNNNNNNNNNNNNNNNNNNNNNNNNNNNNNNNNNNNNNNNNNNNNNNNNNNNNNNNNNNNNNNNNNNNNNNNNNNNNNNNNNNNNNNNNNNNNNNNNNNNNNNNNNNNNNNNNNNNNNNNNNNNNNNNNNNNNNNNNNNNNNNNNNNNNNNNNNNNNNNNNNNNNNNNNNNNNNNNNNNNNNNNNNNNNNNNNNNNNNNNNNNNNNNNNNNNNNNNNNNNNNNNNNNNNNNNNNNNNNNNNNNNNNNNNNNNNNNNNNNNNNNNNNNNNNNNNNNNNNNNNNNNNNNNNNNNNNNNNNNNNNNNNNNNNNNNNNNNNNNNNNNNNNNNNNNNNNNNNNNNNNNNNNNNNNNNNNNNNNNNNNNGACCAGCUAAAUUGUAGUUAACGCUUCCAACAUAGGUUGUACAAGGACCUAGGGAAAGGACGUGGCCCCAGAAACUCAUUGAUAUAUUAAAAUCCUUUUCUUUCAGAGUUUUUGACUCUCAGAUUCAGGGAAACUUUGUGAUAGGAGGCAACCCUAAGGCCUCGGGGGCCAUCGGGGGUGCCACAGAGCUAUGGGUCGCCACAUAUCACUAAUUUUCUCUCAACCUGAAAGUCUAACACUCUAAUACCAAAGGAUUUUGAUAAAUCCAUGAGUUCUUGGGGUCUAUAUCAUUUCCAUUGGUCCUUGCGCAAAAUAUGGCGGAAGCGUAUCCAACAUCUCCUUUUCCUAUAUUUAGAAAAUGAUGCACACCAACUAAACAUCUUUAUAGGUAAUAGCCGGACACUUUUAUUGACAUAUAACUAGAUGGACAAUUGUUAGUCAGUACAUCAAAAUGUCGUAGUUUUCAAUACUCGGCCAUACUUCAAAAGAUACCCGAUAUUUCCAAUAGUUACAAACAUAAAGUCCAUUGUUUAGUGUUGGUGUCCAAAAAUUUCUUCCUUUGCUGACCCCAUCUCACGAUCACACCCAGCCACUCGGUCCAUUUGUUCAUAGUGGCAGCAGUGGCCCCAGCGUUCGUCUAUACCGACGGAAAAAUACAGCGAUGUACUCUUGGAGUAUAGGGCCGGUGGGAAGACUAGUAUUGAAUAACAUAAUGACUCUCACCCAUACAAACAUCAGUCCUUGCACCUCAGGGUCCCAAUACUCCGACCGCUCUCACUGUAAUUCGAACGGGAAUCCAUAGAAUGUAACGGGAGGUGUGGGCAGUAGAGACAUCUUGUCUAGUCUAAAAUGUUAGUCCCAAAAGGGGUGAGUACAACCACCUAGUAGCGAAAGAUCUACUAAACUUUAUUGUGCAAAACCAUCACAAUCUAAUUUCAUGCAAAAUUGAUAAAACACAACCAAAGGAAUGAAUAUGCAUCAAAUCAAUGGAACUUUUCCAAGUGAUAACAAGUGCAGUUUCAAAACCAGAACACAUUAUUUCAAUCACAAAUGUCCCGAUUAUAAGACAAAACUGUUAUGACACGUUUCAUUCAGUGCCACACAAUUUUGUCUCAUAAUCUGGCACAACUCAACAGCACAUUUAGUUUUAAAACUCAAAAGUUUUUUCUCCCGGAGGACCAGUGUUUGCGACCUUCUAUCAUUUGCACCCAACCUUGUGUCACAAAAGCCUCUGAUUUCAUACUUCAGUCAUCGGGCAACCGAAGUGUGUCAUGUCUCACCUCCAGGCAUCUUGCACCUCACACAGCAUCACGGGAAAUCUCCGGGUCUAACCACGGCAAUGGUUGUCCCUACCCUCCAAAAUACGUAUCGUCAUACAUUCGGGCAUCCCGACACUCCCGGGGAACCUCUGGGGCUCACUGGUCCCUAGGCAUCCAGAGGCAUUGACCCCUAUGAUCCUAUGGGCAACUCGACUCCCGGGGCAUCGUUGACCUGAGGGUCCAACGGCAGCAAUGACACAUCAAAUUAUUUCAAUACCAAAACAUUUUCAAAUAAUCGACAUCUGAAAUCCCUUGAAUUUUUAUUGAAAUUUGAGUAUUGAAUGAUUUACUGAAUGCCAAAACCAUCAUUACUAGGUAAUAAACCAAGAUUACUUCACCCUUGAGAUAAAUUUGAGAAAACUCGGAAUAAAGGCAACCAAAAUCAAAAUGUAUAGUUUCAGUAAUAAUUUUGGAAGAACCAAUAAAUGAACUCAGAAAAUACUAAAUUUUUAGUAUGUUAUAAAUAAGACCUAAGGGAAAUAAUUUCAUGAAGGACACUAAGUCUAAUUAGUUAUGUACAGAGAGCAGUAAAUCACACAACUCAGCAGCAGAUUUCUUCCAUCGACUAGAAUUCACACUCCAGCAGAAAAGCACCGCACACUAAAAUAAGUUUGUGCCAACUAUAUUGAUCCCAAAAAUCUGACCAAAAUAUAUGUUCUAGUUUAAACAAUUUCUCACAACUUCCAUGAAGAAGUCGAGACCAAAUUCGUACUAGAAAUCUCUGUAGAAAUUGACAAAGCCACAGAGCUACACAUGAGUUGUUCUGGGCAGUAUGGAUUCAGUAUAAAUCCACGCCCACACCUUGGCUACCUUACUUCCAAAAGUCCACCAAAAUCUGUUUUCGAUUGAAGUUCAAAGGAAUCGAAAACACACAUAGAAAACCCGAGCAUUUCCUCAAUCCCCUAAUCCCAAUCUACCUCAAUCAUUCAAAAAUUUAGUAUCCAACAUCCAAACUCAAAUAUAUCCAAAUCUAACUGCACUACAUCAGACAACAACAGCAUUGCAUUAUAUAGGCUAGUAGACUUUCACUUGCCUUAGAUCCGACGGUGUUGACGGCAAGAAAUCGAGAAGCUCGCGGUCAUAGACACAGCUCGGCAACAGCAAGUGCGAGCGGGCGUUGUCGGCAAUGCGCGUGCACGAGCGGAGAGGGGGACUUCCUUCUUUUCCUCUCACUCACGCUCGCUGCUUUCUCUCUCACUCGCUGCUCUCUCUCUGCCUUAUUUCGCUCGGUUAUUCUCUCUCUUGCUCUCAUUUCCGAGCCAUUUUGUUCCUUCGUUGGUUGACUUUAUGGGUCAACAAAGGUAAAUUCUCGGUGGCUACGGAAAGAACGGACGGCUGCAUCUACCCGUGUCCAUGCGUAAGGGUCUCUUUUGACUUUGCUAUUGCCACCUUGCUUCCCCAUGCAAGGGAUGUCCUCAGCAAAGCCACAUUCUCCCUUUUUGCUGUCCACCGAAGGAAGAGCUACGUGGCUCUUGGUCAACAAUCAUCUCCCAUAAUUGACCAGCUGCAUGGAAUCUCCACGAACGCGCAUGGAAGAUGGGUGACGUGAAUGCAUGGUCGGGGAAAUAGGGUCUUCGAGCAGCAUGGGCUGUAUGGGUCAAUUUCCUAUUUGUUUAUUGGUCUGCACAAUGGAGAGACGUGCAUGGUCCUCAUGCAUGGCCAUGGAAUCCAUAGAUUUCAUGUCUUAAUGGAAGAAAGUAGAUGGACUCGGCUGCAUGGGCGUGAAAUGGAGUCUCUUGGCUCCUUCGCCGAGGGUACAUACUCAAUGGGGACGGCUAAAGUUUGAAUGAUAGGUAACUUGUCGACAUAUUAUUUGGAAUGAGCCUCAGUCUUGCUAGAACGUAAGAAAGAUUUUCGACGAGACUAUAAUUUAUUCUAUGAUCGGACCAUUACUAAACGUAACGUAUUGGUCCAACGAUGAAAAUGAAACGGUGUCCACAAAUGGUACAAAUGACAUAGUCCGACGAUACUUCCGUUGAUCUAUCACAGACUGUCACAUAUUCGAGGGUCAACAAAAAUCCGGAUGUCACAAUUCUCCCCUCCUUAGAAAAUUUCGUCCUCGAAAUUGGACAUUGCUCACGUAUCGUUAAAAAGAUGAGGGUACCUUUGCCGCAUUUCUUUAUUCACUUUCCCAUGUGGCAUCUUCCAUAUUAUGAUGUCGCCAUAAUAUCUUAACUAGUGAAAUUUUUUUUGUCCAAAGGACUUGUUCCUUUCGAGCCAGUACUCGAAUCAGCUCUUCCAAGUAUCUUACUUUCUCAUUCACUUUGAUGGCUUCAUGAUCGAUUAUGUGUCUAGGGUUAGGCUGAUACUUCCUCAACAUUGACACAUGGAACACAUCAUGUAAAUUUGCCAGCUUAGGAGGUAAUGCUAGCCGAUAAGCUACGUCUCCUAUUCUUUCAAGUAUCUCGAAGGGUCCAACAAAUCUAGGGCUCAACUUGCCCUUCCUCUCAAAUCGUGAUAUUCCUUUCAUCUGGGAUACUUUAAGAAAUACGUGAUCUCCUACGUUAAAUUCCAAGGGUCCUCUAUGAUAUAGCUAGUAUAAGUACCUAGAGGGGGUGAAUAGGUAUAUAAAAGAUUUUUCUUUGAUAAUUGCACAAUACUAGACAGUUGAUGGAUUUGAGACAAACAAUAAUCAAAGUAAGACUGAGAGAAGAGAAAAUUGAACACGCGGUUUAUAGUGGUUCGGCUUAUGUCAAGCCUACGUCCACUCUUCUGCACUGACAGCCUAUUGGCUGGAUUCCACUAUGAACAAAAGAGAAGUUACAGCACAUCUUUGCCUUGAUUCCACAGUGUAGAUGUUCUACCACACCUCCUCAAGAUUUCUCACAAAUAUAGACUCUCUUUUGUAUACAAGUAUUCGCUCAAAGGAAUUGUCUAAACAAAAAGGAGCUUCAGACUUUGGAAUUCUUCUAUCGCGCACACCUCGACAACUUAGAACGUCUUCCUUAUAUACUCUUUUAUGCCAUCAUACCCGUUGGCACUUACCAAAGGAAUUCCUCCAAUCUACCCGUUGGACAGAAUCAAUUAGGAAGAUUAUCCGAGCUAUUAAAGGAACGUGUCGAUAGCCCAUCAAUCCUGUUUGCCCAUACAAUCAGGAUCUCGGUUUCCAUAAGUAGAACCUUCCAAUAAUAUUUAGGCAAUCACCGGAUCUUCAAUUAUCGAGUCAAUCUUCGAUCAAUCAAAGGACUCCGUUAUGUCUUUUCCAGCCACGAGAUCUUCUCAAGUUGAUAAGGUUUAAUCCUUAACGAAACAUCCAGUUCUGGAUAACCUUUCUUCAACGGAUUAGAGACUGUCAAUGAGGAUAGACUUUGAGUCUUGAGUCUGGCUGUCCGGAGGUCUUCAGACUUUAAAUAGCAGAGUCUGCAAGCCUUCAGACUAGACUGAUGGAAACGUUUUGUCAGCUUCAAAACACUUCAAGAAGAUUUCUCCAACAAUCUCCCCCUUUUUGAUGGUGACAAAACUUUCCUGCAGAUUUGGAUAACUUUGACCUGCAAAACAUUUCUCAAACACAUAUGCAUAUCUUAUAGAGGUAAAUGGCUAAAUGAAUAACACUAGAAUCUACAACCACAGAAAAUAGGUUAGUCUAGUAUACGAUAAAGCCAUCCAUAAGAUAUCAAUACUAGUUAAUAGAAGCAGUCAAGUCCAAGUCUAGUUCAGUUCUCAUCCAGACACAAAGUCAAAUAGAGUUCAAACAACAAAACAAUCCAACAAACAGUCCAACAAACCACACGAUUAAAAGUUUAAUGAUUGAAAGUUUGUUCAAAUCUUGCAUCUCUCCUCCUUUUUGUCAGCAUUAAAAAGGAUGAGAUGAAGUCAAGAUUGCUUGGGAACGCGGACAAGCUGGAAAUCUUCCAUAGACUGAACGAUGCCUUCCAGCCUUUUCAAGUCUUCCUUCAGUUGUGCAAUCUCCUCACCCUUGGCAUUGGCCUGAAUCUAAACAGAGAGGGCUUGGAUCUUAUCAUUCAAUGAACAUGAAGAAACUUAACCCGCAUUCUGCAAGUUUUGAACCUCACAACCCAAGGCAUAAAUUUGACCUCGCAUCUCCAAGAGAAUAUCCAUGAUUCUGCGAAAAUCUGCUGUAUUAUCAGUCUGAGUACUUGCUUCGGCCCGAUCUGAUGGAGUAAAUGCAGACGAUGGUAGAUCAGCAUAAUUUCGCAGGUUUGGCGAUGAGACUUCAUGACCUUCUUCUGGAAACUGAGAGGCAUAAACAUCCUCUGGGUCUGCAGGUGAGCGAUUGACUCCUUCACUUGCAUCAGGAUAUGAAGACUUUCCUCCUUUCUCUUGAUCUCCCCCUAUUUCCAUGCCUACAGGUGGAGAAGAGAGUUCCUCAGGUUCUCCUUCUUCUCUUCUUUCUUCUUCAGGUCUUUCCUCCUCUGCUUCUUUUUCAGCUUCUCUUUCUUCUUCUUCCUUCUCCUCUGCUUCUUUCGUCAUUUGUUCCGAUUCUUUCUAUGGAACAGGACAACUUAAAUUCUUCAAAGCCAUUGCAGAGAUGGUGAUGUCUUCCUCAUCAUCUUCAUCCUCAACGAGGAGAGCUCUUCUUCUCUUGGAUGGAGCAACCAUGGGCUCCUUCCCUUUUCUUUUAGCUGCAGAAGAGAUUUGAUGAGUUUUGGCAGGAGUCUUCUCCUUGAAUUUCUCCAACUCCUUGCUCAGUUCCUUCAGACGCAUUUUGGUCACCAUUUUCAGUCCUACCACCAUAUGAUCGCAUGGUCGAACACAAAAGAUUUGCGGAGGCUGAAUAUUCAGAUGUCUGAAUAACUUCGUAACAAGGCUUGGGUAAGGGAGUUGACCUCUGUCCUUCAUCAUUGCUCUAUACAUGUGAAACAUAACAGUGUGAGGGAGAGAAAACUUUUUCCCAGAGAGGAUGGCAUACAUCAGCUUUGCCUCUAAACUUGAAACAUCAGUCUUGGAAGUUGAUUUCGGUCGGAGGCAAUUGAUCACAAUCUUGUGAAGCAAGAUGUUGAAUGCACUCAUCCUUAAGUAGGUGAUCUUCUCCUCUGUUCUCUUGUCCUUCACCAAUUCCAGUGUGGCCCGAGCAAUGGAAACUUUGAUCCGUUGAUAUCUUCCUCUUUCAACUCCUAACACAUCUGCCAGCAUAUUCAUAUCCACAACAUAGUCUUGGUCUUUAAUGCUGAAAGAGAAUCUAUUCGCAUCCAAAAAGCUAAGAUUUGAAUAGAAAUAUGCAGUUAAUUCAGCAUAGGCCUCUGUAGUGUCAGAGCAUAACUUUUCAAGUUGAAGAUAACUGAACUUUUCCCUCAAGUUCACAUUCACAGCAUCCAGAAAAUCAAAAUCCACACUCCUAGGGUUUAUUACCCCACGCUUCAGCAAUUUCGAGUACAGAUCCUUUUGUUCCUUCGAUCUGAAGAAAUCUCCCAUUUUUCCUUGAUUUUCAACCGCAACACCCAUUUUCGGUUGAAAUUGGCUGUACAAUUUGUCAUCAUCAUUCCCAUCUACAGGAUUCGGCCCCCAGUCAUGAGGAUCACUUGGGAUAUUCGCAAGGGUUUCCUCAGCCACCCCUUUACGAGCAAUUCCCAAACUUUCCAUUUUUCGCAGAAAGAUAUAUUCGUUCCCAUAUCCUUUGUCUUUAAGAAAAUCAUCAACACAGUUCAAAGGAGUACAAGUUCCUUUUAAGGAACGAUAUAGCUUGUAAAUAUAAGCGGGCUUUUGAACUCUUACAGGGUCUGCAUCCUCAAUGAUUUCUUCCUGUUGUUGAUGAUCAACGCCUUGAGGACUAGAUGGAGGAGAAUGACGCUGCUGAGAAUGUUGUGGGCUCGGUUGCUAUUCUGGAGACACUUCUUCUUCAGUAAGAUCGAAGUGCGUAGGCCCCUCACUCAUUCGCCGUGGUCCCCUGCUUGCGAUUCUCGAAGACUUUCUUGAAGAUGACAUCUUUCUCAGUUUUUGGAAGAUUCCUUGCUUGACUUUCCCAGGAAAGAUUACAACUUUUUGAAGAUUAAAGAAGACAAACGGGAAUGGAGGAUCGAUGCUUUCUAGGGUUUUUGAGAGUAAAGUGAAGAGGAAUCAACAGUGCACGAUCGGUUAAAAAGAGAUAAACGAACCGUCACAAAGGAAAUAAAAAGAUGCCUUUUAAAAAUAACUGUCUUUUUCCGCAAAAAUAGCCAUUUAAAAAAUAACUUCCUUUUUGAAAAUGAAACAAUGCAAUAAUUACAUUGAUUAAAUAUAGCAACAAUUUAAACACAGUCUGACGAUCGUACCUUUUCAAGAUAAGAUUAGAGAGAGAAAGACUUACAGUCUGACGGUUGUACCAAGACUAUCUUACAGAUAAAGUCUUGUAUCUCUGAGUCUGAAAGUCUUUAGACUUUGAUUUCCUCAUACCUCAAAAUGUUGAGUCUGGAACGGAUAGAUUCAAAUUGAUUUUUCUCCAAAGGCUUUGUGAAUAUAUUCGCUAGUUGGUUCUUUGAGUCAACAAAUUGAAUUGAAACAUCUCCAUUUUGAACAUGGUCUCUAAUAAAGUGAUGUCGAAUCUCUAUAUGCUUUGCUCUUGAGUGGAGAAUUGGAUUUUUGGUGAGGUUGAUAGCGCUGGUGUUGUCGCAAUUAAUCUCCGUGCAUGAGUCUUCAAUUUCAAAGUCUCUUAGCUGUUGUUUUAUCCAUAGAAUUUGCGAACAACAACUUCCAAGGGCUACAUACUCUGCUUCUGUUGUUGAAAGAGACACAGUGCUUUGUUUCCUUGAAAACCAAGACAUUGUCCUGCUUCCAAGCAACUGGCAAGUUCCCGAAGUGCUCUUUCUAUCAACUCUGCAACCAGCCAGAUCUGCGUCUGAAUAUCCCAGAAGAUUAAAGUCUCACUUCUUAGGAUACCAAAGACCGAUGCUUGAUGAUGAAGCAACGUAUUUAAUAAUACGUUUCACAGCACUGAGAUGGGAUUCUCUAGGAUCUGAUUGAAACCUAGCACAGAUGCAAACACUCAACAAAGUGUCAGGUCUAGAAGCAGUAAGAUAAAGAAGUGAACCAAUGAUGCUCCUGCACAGCUUUUGAUCAACUUUCUUCCCUUCUUCAUCUUUGUCUAUUCUUUCAAGUAUCUCGAAGGGUCCAACAAAUCUAGGGCUCAACUUGCCCUUCCUCUCAAAUCGUGAUAUUCCUUUCAUCUGGGAUACUUUAAGAAAUACGUGAUCUCCUACGUUAAAUUCCAAGGGUCCUCUAUGAUAUAACUAGUAUAAGUACCUAGAGGGGGGUGAAUAGGUAUAUAAAAGAUUUUUCUUCGAUAAUUGCACAAUACUAGAAAGUUGAUGGAUUUGAGACAAACGAUAAUCAAAGUAAGACUGAGAGAAGAGAAAAUUGAACACGCGGUUUAUAGUGGUUCGGCUUAUGUCAAGCCUAUGUCCACUAUUCUACACUAACAGCCUAUUGGCUGGAUUCCACUAUGAACAAAAGAGAAGUUACAGCACAGCUUUGCCUUGAUUCCAUAGUGUAGAUGUUCUACCACACCUCCUCAAGAUUUCUCACAAAUAUAGACUCUCUUUUGUAUACAAGUAUUCGCUCAAAGGAAUUGUCUAAACAAAAAGGAGCUUCAGACUUUGGAAUUCUUCUAUCGCGCACACCUCGACACUUAGAACGUCUUCCUUAUAUACUCUUUUAUGCCAUCAUACCCGUUGGNNNNNNNNNNNNNNNNNNNNNNNNNNNNNNNNNNNNNNNNNNNNNNNNNNNNNNNNNNNNNNNNNNNNNNNNNNNNNNNNNNNNNNNNNNNNNNNNNNNNCUUACCAAAUGAAUUCCUCCAAUCUACCCGUUGGACGGAAUCAAUUAGGAAGAUUAUCCGAGCUAUUAAAGGAACGUGUCGAUAGCCCAUCAAUCAUGUUCGCCAUACAAUCAGGAUCUCGGUUUCCAUAAGUAGAACAUUCCAAUAAUAUUUAGGCAAUCACCGGAUCUUCAAUUAUCGAGUCAAUCUUCGAUCAAUCAAAGGACUCCGUUAUGUCUUUUCCAGCCACGAGAUCUUCUCCAGUUGAUAAGGUUAAAUCCUUAACGAAACAUCCAGUUCUGGAUAACCUUUCUUCAACGGAUUAGAGACUGUCAAUGAGGAUAGACUUUGAGUCUUGAGUCUGGCUAUCCGGAGGUCUUCAGACUUUAAAUAGCAGAGUCUGCAAGCCUUCAGACUAGACCGAUGGAAACGUUUUGUUAGCUUCAAAACACUUCAAGAAGAUUUCUCCAACACUCUACAUUUAUUUGCGUAGCUUUUCUUUUACCCAUUUCGUUUCAAUAAACGGGAAUUCUAUGAGUUUAACCGUGCUUCCGCUGCACUACUUUGAUAAAAUUAUCCUAGAAACAUUGCCCAUUCCAGUAUGAUGCAUAGUUCGGUUCAUUCCUAUCCCCUUUUGCCAUCCUAGAAGCCUGCCAGGAGCCACUCCUUGCUCAAGUCCUCUGACUUAGGCGUCCACUCCUUGCCCUCAUCGGACUGAGUUGUUAUAGGCCCACCAGCUUUCGCUUGGUUCGAACCCGAACUACACAUCUAUUGAAGGGGUCUCGUUUCGAUAGAGACUAACUUAUAGAGAUAUUAUCCGCUUGGCCUAUCCCGCACUAAGCCUCAUGGUUUUAUUCUUGGCACAUGGGUAAGUAUUAUCGCAAGAGAUCAUCCAUCCUAGUCCGUUGCUUACGGAGCUAGUCCAUUCCCACGAUGAUGUCAAAGUCAUACAUAACUAUCACUAUGAAGUCCAUUUUUAGAUCUUGUCCCCUUAUGGUUAUCUUAUGCUUCUUACAUACUAAAGUGGACAACACCAUAUUCUUUAACGGUGUAGAAACACAAAGAGGAGUCUCAAGAGAUGUAGUUUCUAUCUUACUUAAUUGUCCAUACCUUUCAGACAUAAAAAAAAAUGCGUAGCAUUUGUAUCAAACAACACAUAUGCCUUUUUGCCAUUUAUAGAAAUCGUACUUGAGAUAACAUUUUUGGAAGCUUCCACUUCCUCUUGGGUGACCGCGUACACCCGUCCUUGUGUUGAUGGCCUCUGUGGAUUCCUUGGUGGAUGUGGUCCAGUUGCACGGUGCUACACUUGUCACAUCGAGCUGACAUUCGGCUACGACUCAUCUUGUGGACAAUUUCUCUUAAAAUGUCCUAUUUGCCCACAACCAUAACAUCUCAGUUGGCUAUUGCAAGGUCCUGGCCUAUGUUGUCCACCACACCUCUGACAAGUAUUACUUUGGUAGGGUACUUUCCCUAAAGUUGGGCCACUCUUGACUUUUCCAAAAUUCCCAAAGUUACUCUUUUUCUUAGAUUCCUAAGGCUGACCUUGAUCAAGAUAGGGUCUCUUAGCUCGUCAGACAUCACUAAAGGUCAAUUGCCUCCUACACUCUGAUUACUCUCUUGUUAAUUCCCACUCCACCAACUGUGCCAUUUCAUAAAUUUCAUUAUAAUCCCUCAUAUUCAGAGGCACUAGUUGUUUCCUAAUAUCAGUUCUUAGCCCCUUCAAGAAUCUCUUAGCCUUUUCCUCUCGAUCCUCAAUCAAUCUAGGAGCGUACCUAAACAAUUCAUAAAAUUUGGCUUCAUAUUGGUCUACCGUCAGCUCCCUUUGUUCUAAUUAAACAAAUUCUGUGAUUUUCAUCUUUGGCACAAUCAGAGAAAUGCUUUCUAUUGAAAGCUCUAACAAACUCAUCCUAAUUUAUGUUAGUACCAGGUGGAAAGAUCAUGUCUCUUGAAGCUCUCCACCAAAAUUUUGCAUUUCCCUCCAAUUAAUACUCUGCCAAAAUUAUCUUCUCAGCAUCAUUAUAGUUCAACAACCAGAAAAUCUUUUCUAUUCCCUCAAUCCAUUGUUCCGCCUCCUCAGGAUUUCCCAUUCCAGUAAACUUAGGUGGUUUCAACUUCAGGAAUUGUUCCACCAAUCCUUGAGUACGGUGUUCUGCUCCGAGUUGUUGCUAAGCUUGUCUUUCCAUCAAAUUUCCUAUAUUGGCCAAUGCCUGUAGGAUAUCUUCCAUAUGGGGUUUAGCCCUUGAAGCAGAGGCUUCGGCCCUUGGUGGGUGAGAACUCCUAGUUCGCACCAUAUCUUCCUGCAGUUUACCCAACAUUUGCCUUAGGAACAAUUAGUGAUCCAAUGUCACUAGUCAAGUAAUAAAAUAAAGGUGUUUCUAAAGUCACAUAAGUAACAUAAAAUGUUACUUGCACGCAAAGGUAACUCACAAUCGUUACCUGUAUUUUUACGAGUGAAAAUCAAUCACCCGUUGUUCAUAAUUAGUCAACUACCCUUGGUUAGUAUCUUAUAGUGUGCAUCAUUAUCUCCUCAUUUCCUAUUAAUGCACCUUAUCACUCCAAAUAAAACCAUAGCUCUGAUACUACUCGAGCUACCCCCCCCCCCCCCCAACGACCCCUGAUCUGUUAGGGCCACAUAUCACCAACUUUCUCUCAACCUAAAAGUCUGAUACUCUAAUACCAAAGGAUUUCGAUAAAUCCAUGAGUUUUGGGGGUCUAUAUCCUUUCCAUUGGUCCCUGCGCAAAAUAUGGCUAAAGCAUAUCCAAUAUCUCCCUUCCCUAUAUUUAGAAAACGAUGCACACCAACUAAACAUCUUUAUAGGUAAUUGCUAGACACUUUUAUUGACAUACAACUAGAUGGACAAUCGUUAGUCGAUACAUCAAAAUGCCGUAGUUUUCUAUACUCGGCCAUAAUUCAAAAGAUACCCAACAUUUCCAACAGUUACAAACAUAAAGUCCAUUGUUUAGUGUCAACCUCCAAAAAUUUCUUCCUCUACUAACCCCAUCUCAUGGUCACACCUAGCCACUCGGUCUGUUUGUUGGUGGCGGUGGCAGUGGCCCCACCGUUCGUCCAUACCAACAGACAAAGACGACGAUGUACUCCUAGAGUACAAGGCUGGUGGGAAGACCGGUAUUGAACAACAUAAUGACUCUCACCCCUACAAACAUCAGUCCUCGCACCUCAGGGUCCUAAUACUUCGACCGCUCCCACUAUAAGUCGAUGGGGAAUCCAUAGAAUGUACAGGGAGGUGCGGGCAGCAGAGGCAACUUGUCUAGUCUGAAAUAUUAGUCCCCAAAAAGGUGAGUACAAUCACCAGUAGCGAAAGAUCUACUAAACUAUAUCGUGUAGAACCAUCACAAUCUAAUUUCAUGCAAAAUUCAUAAAACACAUAACCAAAGGAAUGAGUAUGCAUCAAAUCAAUGGAAUUUUUCCAAGUGAUAACAAGUGCAGUUUCAAAACUAGAACACAUCAUUUCAAUCACAGGGUCCCGAUUAUACGACCAAAAUAUUAUAACACGUCCCAUUCCGUGCCACACAAUUUUGUUUCAUAAUCCGGCGCAACUUAGCAGUACUUUCAGUUUUAAAACUCAAAAGAUUUUUCUUCCGGAGGAUAAGUGUUUGCGUCCUUCCAGGCAUUCGCACCCAACUUAGCAUCACAAAAGCCUCCGGUUCCAUAUUUCAAUCACUGAGCAACCGGAGCGUGUCAUGUCUCACCUACAGGCAUCUUGCACCUCACCCAGCAUCACGAGGAAUCUCCAGGACUAACCACGGCAAUGGUUGCCCCUACCCUCCGAAAUAUGUAUCGUCAUACAUCUGGGCAUCUCGACACUCUCGGGGAACCUUUGGGGCUCACUGGUCCCCAGGCAUCCAGAGGCAUCGACCCCUACGAUCCUAUGGGCAACCCGACUCCUGGAGUAUUGUUGACCCGAGGGUCCAACAGCAAGAAUGACACAUCAAAUUAUUUCAAUACCAAAACAUUUUCAAAUCAUUGACAUCUGAAAUUCCUUGAAUUUUUUAUCGAAAUUUGAGUAUUGAAUGAUUUAUUGAAUGCCAAAACCAUCGUUUCUAGGUAAUAAACCAAGAUUCCUUCACCCUUGAGAUAAAUUUGAGAAAACUCGGAAUAAAGGCAACCAAAAUCAGAAUGUAUAGUUUCAGUAAUAAUUUUGGAAGAACCAAUAAAUGAACUCAGAAAAUUCUAAAUUUUUAGUAUGUUAUAAAUAAGACCUAAGGGAAAUAAUUUCAUGAAGGACACUAAGCCUAAUUAGUCAUGUACAGAGAGCAGUAAAUCACACAACUCCGCAGCAGAUUUCUUCCAUUGACCAGAAUUCACACUCCAGCAGAAAAAGCACCGAACACUAAAAUAAGGUCGGAAAAUCUGGCAAAAAUAUGUCCUAAUUUAAAUAAUUUCUCACAACUUCCAUCCAUGAAGAAGUCAGGACCAAAUUCAUACUAGAAAUCUCUGUAGAAAUUUACAAAGCUACAGAGUUGCACACGAAAUGUUCUGGGCAGUAUGUAUUCAGUAGAAACCCACGCCCACACCUUGGCUACCUUACUUCCAAAGUCCACCAUAAUCUGUUUUCGAUUGAAGUUCAAAGGAAUCCAAAAAACACAUAGAAAUCCCGAGCAUUUCCUCAAUCCCCUAAUCCCAGUCUACCUCAAUCAUUCAAAAAUUCAGUAUCCAACAUCCAAACUCAAAUAUUUUCAAAUCUAACUGCACUACAUCAGACAACAACAGCAUUGCAUUACAUAGGCUAGUAGACUUUCACUUGCCUUAAAUCCGACGGUGUUGACGGCGAGAAAUCGAGAAGCUCGCGGUCACAGACACGGUUGGCAACAGCAAGUGUGAGCGGGCGGCGUCGGCAGCGCGUGUGCACGGGCGGAGGGGGCAACCUCCUUUUCCUCUCACUCAUGCUCGCUGCUUUCUCUCUCACUCGCUGCUCUCUCUCUCUCUCUCUCUCUGCCCUAUUUUGCUCGGUUAUUCUCUCUCUUGCUCUCAUUUCCGAGCCAUUUUGUUCCUUCGUUGGUUUACUUCAUGGGUCAACAAAGGUAAAUUCUCGGUGGCUGCGGAAAGAACGGAUAGCUGCAUCUACCCGUGUCCAUGCGUAAGAGUCUCUUUUGACUUUGCUGGUGCUACCUUGCUUCCCCAUGCAAGGGACGUGUCCUUAGCAAAGCCACAUUCUCCCUUUUUGCUAUCCACCGAAGGAAGAGCUACAUGGCUCUUGGUCAACAAUCAUCUCCCAUAGUUGACCAGCUGCAUGGAAUCUCCACGAACGUGCAUGGAAGAUGGGUGACGUGAAUGCAUGGCCGGGGAAAUAGGGUCUUCGAGCAGCAUGGGCCGCAUGGGUCAAUUUCCUAUUUGUUUGCUGACCCGCACAAUGGAGAGACGUGCAUGGUCCUCAUGCAUGGCCAUGGAAUCCAUAGUUUUCAUGUCUUAAUGGAAGAAAGUAGAUGGACGUGGCUGCAUGGGCGUGAAAUGGAGUCUCUCGGCUCCUUCGCCUAGUGUACAUACUCAAUGGGUACAGCUAAAGUUCGAAUGAUAGGUAACUUGUUGACAUAUUAUUUGGAAUGAGCCUCAGUCUCGCUAGAACGUAAGAAAGAUUUUCGACGGGACUAUAAUUUAUUCUAUGAUCAGACCAUUACUAAACGUAACAUAUCGGUCCAACGAUGAUAAUGAAAUGGUGUCCACAAAUGGUACCAAUAACGUAGUCCGACGAUACUUUCGUCAAUCUAUCAUGGACUGUCACGUAUUCAAGGGUCAACAAAAAUCCAAAUGUCACAAUUGGCCACUAGUUGUUUUUAUCGUCUCAAUGAGAACUAUGACCCUGCACUAUCAUAAAUGAGUUUUGAUUCACUGAAAAUCAAAAAGGGGGGCGAACAGUGCGGGCGUGUUGGGAUUUCCAUCCCCGAGCAUCCGACUGUAAUGUUUCUCAAAAUUUCAACCAAAAACAAUUUAUAAACAUCGACAUUGAUCAAGAAACAUGAACAUCAUUACUCUGAUACCAAUGUAGGAAACGAAUUUCUAUAAAUCGAACUGAUACUCGAAUGAUCAAAUACUGAAAAAUGAAUGUGGAAACGAGCCUGGGAAACAUGUAAGAUUGAUCAAAAGUAUAUCACGGAGACAGAUAUACCUUGGUUGCUAUAGAUUAAGUACCAUCGCAGUCUCAGAGGAAUCAUUUGAAGCCUUGGAGUUCCGUUCUUUAAGAGGAAGUAUAUUGUUUCAAGAGGAAGAAAAAUGGAGAAGCGUAUUUUUUCUGCGUAUUUUUUCUUUGGAACACUACGGGUAAUGUUAUCCCAUUUUAUUUUUUAUUUUUUAUAUUGUAGUUAUUUUCACUUAGAAAAUAACUGUCCUUUCAUCUUAUGAGCCCUUCACUUACGGGCCAGAUUUUGACCCAACAUAAGCGAACGGGCUUAACUUGGUUCAUCAAAUAAAAAACCAUCCGAUGCUAAUUUAGUUUUGUUAGUGAAGUAGAGUUGAAAACAAGCUUAUCAAGCACUUUAUUAAGUUCGACUUGAGCUAAAAAAAGGACCUUUCGUGUUGAAUCAAGUAGAACUCACAAGCAGUUUAGAGGUCAAUCCCUCUCAAUUCGACUAUAUCCCUCUUUUAACUAGUUGCACAACUUGAUGCAAUAAAAAUUUUCAUGUCUAAUUCGUUACGUGCAGCUAUACAUUCUCUGAUUAUAAUUAAUUGUAGAAAAAAAUCAUUUUAUGAAGAGUAAGGAAUUGACUUAUCCCAUUUCCUUUUUCUCUUGGGGUUUAAUGUGGUUGGCAACACGGUGCUCUCGCGAGAUUUGUUGUACCCAAAAUCGAAGGAUGUGCUCGAGUUCUACGAUGCCAUGAACCGGGUCGCGGAGUGGGCCGGCAAGCCUAACGUAGCCGACUUCAUGCCGUGGUUGAAAUGGUGGGAUCCACAGGGGAUCAAGACAAGCAUGGCAAAGGACAUGGGUCGAGCCAUGAAGAUUGCGGAAGGCUUCAUGAAAGAGAGGUUGGAGGAGCGAAAGCUAAGGGGAGAGAUGAGGACGACGAAUGACUUCUUGGACGCGUUAUUGGAUUAUGAGGGCGAUGGAAAAGAAGAUCCUCACAAAAUCUCCUCCCAGAACGUCAACAUAAUCAUUCCGGUAAGUUUGCUCCUCCCUUGCACGUCCAACACGGCCUCACAGUUUUGAUUAUCGAUUACCAUCUUAGAGAUAUUAGGUCAAAUUCAGUUUAUUAAGUGGUGCAGUUAACUUAAUUGACAUUGAAACAAGAUCACAUCACACGUCAAGGACACGUUUUAGUAUUUAAUAUUAAAGUAAGGGUGGCGCUAUUGUCACCCCUCAUAUGAUUAAAUUCACUCACUUUGCACCAAAAAGACAAAAUUGCUCUUAAUCAUUCAAUUAGUAAUUUAAGGUGGUAGCUCAAACUUAUUUAUUUUCCUUCUUUUUCUUGUUUUUCUUCUUUUACGUAGGAUCUAUUUAUCAUAAUCUAGAUUUAACAUGUUUCAUUUUGGUUUAUUGUGGGUAUCCCAUGUAUAUGAAAGGCACUAAGUUUUCACUUUAUUAUUACAAUUUACUUAUGUAGACAUUAAUUUAUUCAUGAAGAAAAUUUUCCAAUAAAUCAAAUUCUUUUUAACGUUGUCUAACAAUUUAGUUGAUUAAUUGACUAGAAAAAUUUUAACACAUACACUUUCUUAACGCAAUAACUUAUUUAUAAACUUUAACAUUUGUUGUGCAUGUCACCAUUAAAUCAUUUAUUGUCAGUUUGCACACAUAUACGGAUAAUGGGAUGGUUGAUGAAAAAAAGAAGAAGAAAAAGCCCCUGUAAUUUUUUUUUGAAAUAAAUUCAUGAUCGCAUUCUCCAAUGUGAAACUUAAAAAGAUAAAAUGUAAUUAAAUCACAGUACUAAUUAAAUAAGAAAUUUUUUUUAUAAAAAUUCAAGUGAAGUCUCAUCAUAUUGGAAUAACAAAAAUUAAUAUCAUCCAUUAAGCUUAGUUUGGGAAAAUGACAUCCCAUUCUGGCAGGCAAUAAGAAAAUAACUCUUUCUAUAUCACCAAACAAAUGAAAACUAAACAUUUUCCUUGAAAAUACUUUUCCAAGAAAGUAUUUUCCUUCAUCAUGAAAUUUUUGGAGAAACAGCGGCACCCUAAAUGUGUAUCAUGGAGAUGGCCCAUCUGGGCUCUUAUCACAUCCUGCUAAGCUGUAAUUCGCAGUAGUAUCACUCGAAAAAGAAGAUCACGACUAGGAUUCUUCAGUCACUAAUACAACAAAAUUUAGACUUUAAAGACCGAAUCAGGAAGUGAUAAGAUUAAGGAACAUAUGGUGAUUGAUGAAUUAACUAAAACACGACAAUUUGGCAUCCUUGAAUUCAACAAUGAGAAAUUUCACGCAUCCGUUCAAAUAGCAAACCUUUGAUUUCAUUCAAUGAUAUCCACUCUAUACAAUGACCAUAGAGAGGAAGAGGAAAGAAAGCAAGAGACUGGGGUUACUGGCCUAGGAAAAAUACCAGAACAAAUAUUAAUUUCCGUUGUGACUGCACUAAUCACUUGCACAUAUUUUCUGGUCAAAGAAUAUGACAUGCGCAACUCAUAUUUUGACCAAAGCACACAUUAGUACAGCCAAAUGGGUACUUUCUAAAAUAGUUAAGACUAUUUCACCAUACUCUUUGCAAUGCACUAGAUCCACUACACAAAAUCAUAUAUAGAAGUGCAAGCAUGCAAAAGAACAAAAUGCAGAGUCACAGCCACUAGCCUCAAGCUUUAAGCUUGAUCAAACUACUUGAACCAAACUUCAGCAACGUAAACAUCUUCAUGCACAGAAAUGUAUAUUACUUUGCUUUUUAUUACACGGUGGCUCUCUCGAGCAAAUUGGGGAAAAAAUCAAUUUUAAGUUUUUGGAAAGAAGAGGACUGCUACCUGAAUUGAGAACUGUUGGAGAAAUCUUAGUGAAAGUGUUUUGAAGUUGACAAAACGUUUCCAUCAGUCUAGUCUGAAGGUCUGCAAACUCUGUUAGUUAAAGUCUGAAGACUUCCGAACAUCCAGACUCAAGACUCAAAGUCUAUCCUCAUUGACAGUCUCUAAUCCGUUGAAGAAAGGUUAUCUAGAACUGGAUAUUUUGUUCAGGAUUUAACCUUAUCAUCUGGAGAAGAUCUCGUGGCUGGAGAAGACGUAUCAGAAUCCUUUGAUUGAUCAAGUUUGAUUCAAUGAUUGAAGAUUCGAUGAUUGUCUAAAUAUUAUUGGAAGGUUCUACUUAUGGAAACCGAGAUCCUGAUUGUAUGGGCGAACAAGAUUGAUGGGCUAUCAACACGUUCCUUUAAUAGCUCGAACAAUCUUCCUAAUUGAUUCUGUCCAAUGGGUAGAUUGGAGGAAUUCCUUUGGUAAGUGCCAACGGGUAUAAUGGCAUAAAGGAGUAUAUAAGGAAGACGUUCUUAGUUGUUUGAGGGGUGCGCGAUAGAAUAAUUCCAAAGUCUGAAGCUCCUAUUUGUUUAGAUAAAUCCUUUGAGCGAAUACUUGUAUACAAAAGAGAGUCUAUAUUUGUGAGAGACCUUGAGGAGGUGUGGUAGAACAUCUACACUGUGGAAUCAAGGCAAAGCUAUGCUGUAACUUCUCUUUUGAUCAUAGUGAAAUCCAGCCGGUGGGCUGUCAGUGCGGAAGAGUGGACGUAGGCUUGGAAUAAGCCGAACCACUAUAAAUCCUGUGUUCAAUUUUCUCUUCCUCACUCUCUCUGCCUCGAUCGUAUUUCAUUUUGUUAAUUAAGAGAGAAUUUACUUUCUAUCAUAUGUUAAGAAUCGCUUCCGUAUAUCAAUAAAUUGUUUAGGCACCUAUUCACCCCCCUCUAGGUACUCAUACUAGCAAUAUCAAGAACUCCACAGGUGCUUUAACAGAAAAAUAGAUGCUCACCUGCAUUUAUGGAAGACACGGUAACAAAGAGAAAACAUAGUGGCUGUUUCUUAUGCCUCACAAUAUUGAACAGGAUAACCUACUAUUUGACUAAAAUUAGACAAGAGUUUUGAGCUGCUAAUUCUGUAAAGUUCUAUAUGAUUGUAAGAGAGAAUAAAAGGAAUAUUUAGAAGUCCCUUAUCUGCAAACAGCAGUAAAACUGAAGUGCCAGUCUUCUCAUAUAAUUGAAAACUACAAAUGGGCAGAUAAAGUCAGCUUUUCCAAAUUGAACAGCUGCCUAUUGAAUAAUAUGAUUCAGAUUCAUUCAGAGACAGCCCAUUCCAGUCUCACAUUGCCUCAUAGAAAGAAGAACAUGUAUAAGACAGACAUACCAAGCCAGGCAAUCUCUCAAAUUGAAAGUUCAACUAUUUAGUACAUGACGACCAUAAAAGAAUGAAAUAUACAUUUUGAAGAGGUAUUCAAAAAGCACACAUUACAUUUCUGCACCUCUCUCCGAAACUAAAGUCUUACAGGUACAGCAAACUAUUUGCAGCAGGAGAGCAACAAAGUCACUUUUCUACUGUAAGCCAAAAGGACUUUAGCAAGUUGUAGGAAAGAAACUUACAGAUUUAGGAUCAAUGGAUAUCCCAGACAAUGACGCCCCAGCAAUUCUAAAAGACACCUACAAUCAUGCAAACAGUAGCUCAUAACAGAAUUUCCCACAUCAGUUAUGAGAGAUAAAAAUGUGAAGCACUAGUUGAAAUGGGAAUGUAAAACCAAGCACUAGUAGUGCAUCAACAGUAAACCUAAUAAAACAUCUCGAGUAAUCCUCUCUAGAACAUUUGCUAUCUUGCAACCAAAUUGCUGAUGCCAAACUAUUUUGUAGCGUGCCGACUCUAAGACAUCUCUAACAAAGGUCCUCUAUGAUAAUUACCCACCUGACAUAUCAACCAACAGAAGACACAUGGGAUUGGCUGUAUAAGUAGUUCAUGAUGAAUGGGUUUCCUUUUCCAUUCACACUACGAACAAGUAUAGUUAGUUGAACAGUCCAGUACCAUCAAGAGUGCACCAACAUAGUUUCAAGUAGACAAACAAUACUAAGCUAAGAAAACCAUUUCAUGAAUACCUAUCCUGGGAAGAAUGACUAUGGUUUCUCUUGGCAGAAGAAAGACAACCAGUGAACUCCACUUUGUAAGAAAGGUACAGCUUUUGUCUAUACCCACAGAACCACAUACAUGAAGCCAUAAAUGCAUGAUGCAUCACAAGAAAAUAAACUAUGUACUAACACCCAAGUGAGCUCAGACAUUCAUACUUUAGCAUAAUUGUAUGCCUGUCAACAAAAUGGUUCCUCUAAAUCAACUGGAGGGAGAUCCUUGGUCAUUUUCCCCAUCAGAAAUUAUCAUAUUAUUGCUGUGUCAACAUCACUGUCUUCCUCUGCCAUGCUUCCGAAAAAUGAUUUUGUAAAAGGUAACCUUUGGAUUUGCCAUGGUGCAAACUUAACUGUCCCCGGGAAGGUAGCUUCAAUGCUUUUUCUAACAAGACCCCGUCCACUUACCAAAAGUUUCCACUCAACAGAAUGCUCUGUAGUUGAAAUAGUUCCGACUGAAGGAGUUCCAUCCACAGCAAUAAUCCUCCUAGGAAAAGGCAUUGUUAGAGUACAGAACUCCAUUGUCAAAGGACUUUACCAAAAAAGAAAAAAAAUCCAUUGCCAAAGGAGCCUUGUAACCUUCAAUCAAGCUUAGUCUGAACAAAAAUGCAUCUUCAUCUUCAAAAACCAUUGACAAUUGAUAGAAUCCCUUUAUGGGAAGUCCAAGCCCACAGGAUGCUUGAUAAUGCAUCAGGACAAAAUUACCUAACAGUGGUGAAAACAUCACUGACUGCUUAUCCGCCCCCGGUUCUGGAACUUGAGCAGAUGGAUGGAAUGAUAAAGAUUCAAUGUGGCUGCUAUUCAGUCCUGUCAAAGGAAGGGACACAUCAGGCAGUCCUUCUAAUUCUGCUCGACAAUUAACCUGACCUGAAACUGAAAUGCUGUCUGGAAUUUCAUCACGAUCAUACAACGCAGCAGCAACAGUUUCAUGAAUAGUAAAAAGUAUUUUCUGCUUCCCCUGGUAAAGAUAUGGCUUCCAUGCAGGCUGUUUGACAUCUGCAGGAGGCAGAUCUGCUGAAGAAAACCCAUUAAGCUUGAUGGAGAAAAUAUUGGAAGCAUUGAGUUCCAAAGGGGUACAUAUAUUUAAAGAAUAGAAACAAAUAAACCAUUAGUCUAUCCUAGAAAGAGGAAAAGCACAGGUCAGAAGAAAAAGGCGAUAAAAGCAGCUGCCAUAAGCGGGGUAAACAUCACUGACCAAAGGGCAUUGAGCUACUAAUAUAAGUCCUUAUUGCAUCCUUAUUCAAUGGCCUUGAACCAACUUUCAAAGCAUCUGAUGAGACAGCACCAACAGAAGUGUAAAUGAUUGUUCCUGGAGGCUAUCUACAUCAGACACAUCAGCAAAAAACAUGCAAAUGCAGUUUUGACAUAGGGAAUUAAUAGAAGUAUUCAAUAUGUGUAGAAAUAUAAGCAAAAAUACAAGUAAACUCAUCAAGCGAAACACCAAGAGGCUCUCAACUCGUUGUAGUGACAUCUUGACAAACCUCUUCUUUCUCUCUGCAAAUGAAGACACCAACCCUGAAUCAGACGGCAAAUACGGCGAUGCCAUGCCAUCAACACUGCCACCAUUGUGCUCAAUCUCACUUUUGCAAGCCGCCCGCCACUGUUUCGAACACAAAAACGAAAACCCACGAGAGAGAGCGACCUGGAGAAGACGACGGCGUCGUGGCUGUUGAGGAUCCAGAGAGCUCUGAUGCCGCAACCGGUGGGCAUGGUUUCGGUAGCCUUCUUCUACGACUGCGGUCAGCUUUCGCCGGAUCGGAAGAGAAAGGGAAAGAAACUUGGACGACGUUGAGAUUGAAACUUUGAUUGAAGAACGGUUAAAUGACAAGCCGUUGCGCUGAGCAGAGGGACUCGCGCGACUCGGUAGCUCUUUGUUGUUUUCACCAUUUUCUUUGGUUAAGGAUCUGAUCCGUUUCCCUUUGCUUGGCCAGGUGGUGUCUUGGUAAAUUUUCUCGCACCAGGGGUUAAAUAUAUCUUUUCGAUUUAGUCAAAAGACAAAUUAUCAAGGUCGGGAUUAGGAAAUUUUGGAAGAAUUACUCUUCUAUGGUACGGCCUAAAUAGUUAUUUUGAUGGAGAAUUAAACUUGAGAUUUCACGCUUUUUGAGACAUAACAUAUUGAUCGCUCUUAUGAUACAUAUUUAACUUUUUAAUUAAAUUCAUGAUUUAAAAGGCACGGGUGCAUCGCAUUGAAUAAGCCGAUUCAUUCAUGGGGCUUGAAUAUGACUUAGCUCGCCUUAUGAAAGUUUGCUCAAGCAAAUAAUGCUAAAGGCAUUUAAAUGCUCGAACAAUUAUCAGAAUGAGCGUCAUAAAUCGAGGGGUAAAAAAUAAAUAUCCAAAGGUUAAGUUAAGAGCAAUAACAAUUGAACAUUAGACGGGUAUGAAUCUAUGUAGUCAUGUUGCAAAUAAACUAAAGGGACAAAUGCAUGAAGUCCGACAAUGACCAAAGGAUGGGAGAUAACUACACAGAAUAAUCGAGGUACGAAAUAUGCUUGUGCCAUAUGAACAUAUUUUAUUUCCUUUAUGUGAUGCUUUUGUUUGUUUGACUUGAUCUCUCAAUAUAAUGAGAUGCAAGCAAGAGGAACUCUCUUCGUCGCUUGAACUUCGGCAUGCACGUCUAUUAGCAGUGGACCAUUAUGUGAAAAGUAUCUUACAAAAUUGGCCCGAUUGUUUGGGAUAUGAGGGGCUUAUCAGCUCAAAAAUUGUCACUAUCCAAAUCCUAUCAACUACAUGCAACUACUUUUAGUCAAGGCCACCUGCAUAGGCUAAAAGUCUAAGCUUUUAGGAUAUUUCAUGGGUCUUUAAGUAGCCGAGCUCUAUGCUUGUGUACCUGAAUUGUGAAAAAUGGUAUGCAGUCGCCCUAAACAAUGUUUUGAUAUGUCUGUAUCUAGUGGAGAGAACUACACUUUUAUCAUUUUGAUGGAUUACUGGUAAUGUAGAAGCUCCAAUCACAUGAUGAUGUAUAGUUAAAACUAGAAGUGAUAGGCCAAAAUAACAAGACUUCCUUAAGGAUUACUUAGGAGUACAUCUUGUGCAAGCUUUGGUCUUUUAGGGGGUGCCUGACAAACUACAAUUAUUAUUCCAAAAACAAUUUAACUAUUCUAGACUUGUUUUUCGAUAAAAUUAUUUCAUUUUUCUAUUUCUGAAAUAGAUUUUUAUUUCAGAAAUAGAUUUAGAAUAGAAAUUAGAAUUAAAAUUAGAAUCAAAAGUAUUUUUUUUUUUUACUUUUCUAUUUUUGGAACAGAAAUGAGAAAUAAAAAUUAUUUCUAUCGUUCAUCCUUCGUCCAUCCGUCGCCGCCGACCAUCGUUCGCUGGUUGCCGUCCAUGGCCACCGCCGUUCGCUAGUCAUCGGUUGCCGCCAUCCGGCGAUUGUCGCCGCCAUCCGACAAUUGCCACCGUCAUCCACCGGUAGCCUGCCGUUGGCCGCCAUCCCAAAGAAAGAAAUUUUGUGUUGUUAUCAAACAAAUUUCUAUUUUUAGAGUAUAAAUUUUGUGUUAUUAUCAAACAUAUAUUUUUGUUUAAAAACUCAUCUAAAAAUAGAAAUAAAAAAAUCUAUUUCUAUUUCAAAUAUCAAUUUCUGGCAAGAAUGGUUAUCAUUCGCAAAACCUUUUGUGUAUCUCAUUAUUCUUUUUUAGCUAAUACAAGGCAGUCAAAAUAUCGACAUAGUAUAUUUACAUAUUUUUUGUAGAUAUAAUAUACUAAUGAUUAUUUCAUAACAUGGAUUUAUUCUGAAAAUCCAUGUUUGAUUACUUGAUCCCAAUUAAAAUAAUUGUUUCUAUUACAGUAAAUUUUGAUUUGUUAGGCAACAUUUAGAAUGGGACGAAAAAAUAUACCCAGACAAUAAUAGAGCAACCAUAAUGGAAGACUAAUUGUAGAUUGAUCAGAGCUGGCCCCAAAUUCAUUCACACUUAUUUUUUUUUUUUUGGUAAGGUAAUUCAUUCACACUUUUAGGACCUUGAGCCUUCGCUAAUGCCCAAUUGGAGGAGAAAUUCUUGCUUUUAGGAUGGAUUUGCCUACGCCGGUUAUCACUUUUUUCCAGUAAUUAUCAUCAUAAAAUAUACAAAACUUAGUUAAAUAAAUUAAUGAGUCAUUUGAUAGACGCUAUAUAUAAGUUAGUGUUAGAUUAAGAAUUGACGUGAGUAGGGCAACCGCUUGUUACGAUGUGUAGGGCAACCGCUUGCUUCCUUUCCAACGGUAACUAUAAUUUUAUGCGGGAUUAAAGUAAUUAAAGCUACUGAAUAUCUUGACGAAGUAAUUACUCGCUGAAAGAAUAACCAAGGCAACCUGAAAACAGAUGCCUUUGUCGAAGUUAUAUCAAGUCCAAGCAGGCUAAACAACCAAACAAGCAAAUCCCUUCCUUUAAGCCGGGAUCGGAUGAUUUUUCAGAUUCUAUGUGAACACAAAGUUCAAGAAAUAUAGAUCUUGAAGGAACAACGUCGACAUCAAAUUUUCCUCACCUUGCAAAUACCUGCAUAUGGGGUACAAACAAGGAUAUGUCCCAAACUAUCAGCGAUUUGUCCAUGUUCCCCAAUAGAAUCAAUUAUCGAAGCCCAAUUUGAACGAAAUUAUACAUGUAAAUUCUGGGAAAAAGGGUCCACAUACCUACAGAAACAAAAAGUGGAAAAUUUCUAGUCAAGGUAUAGGAUUUGCUCGUAAUAUUCAAGCUGGUGAGUCAUGUGCGGGAUAUGAGCAAUCUUGUACUAGUCCUUGCCUGCAUCUUUUUCCCACCUCUCCUCCAAAUCUGGGCAAGCUGCAAUUUUUAGGUGACUAAGGGAUUCAAACCUUCGCAAUUUUUCAAGUAAUGAUGCCAAUGAGGGACAUUGGAUGAUUUCAAGCCAUUGAAGUGAUUAUAGGUCAGCAAUCAAGCUUCUCACAACCCUCUAAAUUGAGAUGCACAAGGUUUGAUAGAUGUCGCGUGCCGAGUGAGAGGGAAGUUAACUGAGGACAAUCAUAGAUAUAAAGAAUUUCAGGUGACAUGAGACUUUUCAAACACUUCUCAGGCAAACAUUCUAGAAACUGCAUCUCCAAGAUAGACAGAGCCUUCAACUUAUAAAGGCAAAAUAUAUGAUUUAUCAACUUUAUGUUGACUUUAAUAAGCAUUAAAUCCUCAAGCUGUGGAAUUAGUGGCAUGGCUUUCAAGUUUUCACAAUCACUAAUCUGUAAGCUCAGUAGACUAGGAAAUGAUGCUAUUAAAGUAGAUGAAUGGUUUGACUCAAUAUAUUCCGAUGCAGCCAGCCCAAAAAUCUUUAAUGACUUAAGGUGAGGUAGUUGGCCCAGUUAUGGGAGAUGUUUACAUCUUGCAUAGUCCUCCAAGCAAAUGUCAACUAAAUUUGGCAAGGAAAACACAAUGCUAUCACAACCCCUCACAACCCCUUUACUCAGAGGUUGAGUUGUGGGUUAUUUUGCGACAUCCCAGGCUUUGUCAUUGUCUCGAAUUCAUUUACUUCUUAUUUAUGCACAUGCGGAAAGUGUAAACAUACAAUCCCUGACACAAAUAACAUGGAAACAUGAGAUACAAACACCACUAACAUAUUUCAUAUAUUUAAUGAGUAGUGAUGAUUACAAGCCUAUCUUACAUACAAAAGUGGCUUGGGGUAUCCCUGUCUCUGCUACGACUGGUACUAACCAAAAUUGGGAACAUUUCUUCUAUUACAUAGGGCCGAUACACUUAACUUAGUCUGAAUCCUCGGGCGGUUCAUCCAUAUUUGUGGCAUCCUAGAAUUUCUUGUCAAUCCUUAGAGGUGCUUUAAUUCAUGUUUUGCAUUGAGAUUUUGGCCAAGCUUUUGAUGGGUAAUUAUUUGAUAGGAAAAUUCUAUUUUUGGCCAUGUGAUUUAUGGGUUGAAUUUAUUAAAUUAGGUCACAAAAUUUUGUGAAUUAUAAAUUUCAAUUAGGUGUUUAUAUAAUUAAGGUUUAAGGUGGAUUAUUAGGAUAAGGGUGGGCUGGACAUUUAAAGACCAAACCAGCCCAUAGCCCCACCCCUUUUUCGACCGGCCCACGAAGCCAAGGAGGAGGAGUUGCUGUGGACCAAGGCUGGCCCAAGCCCAGCCGGAUGAAGCCCAUCAUGUGCAUGGGAGAAUUGACAAGUGUUAUUCCCCUAAGUCCAAGCGUCUUGCAUGCAAUCAAAUGAUUGCUCAUCAUUGAAGGGAAGAAAAUAGGAGAACCGGCUUGAUGAUGAGGGGGGAGUGUCGACCGAGAAGGAGAGAGAGAGAGGGUUACCGAGAGAGAGAGAGAGAAAUUGAGAGAGAGGGAGAGUGAGCGUGCGGGAGAAGAAGGAAGGAAGCCGAUUGCCGCCGUUUGCUCAGUUUGGAGGCAAGUGGGAUCCCUUGAUCUACUCUUGCAUGCUGUGCUUAGUGUGUGUGAUUGAAUGGUAACAAUUUCGGAUGUAUAGAAUGUGAAAAAUUGAAGAUAUAAGAGUGGUGUUCUAGUCUAGUAUACUGUUCUUGAGAAAAACAACUCGACCUUGGAUGUUCUAGUGACUUGCAUGUAUGUUCUAGUUGAAUUUUGACUUUGACUUCUAAAUGAAAGUUGUAAAGGACUUCUUGGAGUAUAACAUAAUCAAAUUUGGGAAAAAAAACAAGUAUAAGUGGGUGAAAUUGUUAUAUUUUGGAAAGACUGGAUCUGGAAAUUUUGGUACUAGGAACAGGGGUUUUAACCGUCCAUAUUUAAUUACCUAGGACGAUGGUGUCUUGAUGAAGUAUCUACCUUAUGGUCUUAGCUAUCACAUAGUCAAAUUUUAUAAUUUUUGAAGGUCAUCUGGGUAUUUAAUCGGAAAUGUUUCUAAAACUGUGCAAUCUGAUGUGUUCGGACUUUGUAAGUUGCAAUGCGUGGACUAUAUCGUUUUGUAUGAGGUUCUUUUGGAAAUUUUUUAUGAAUAAAAUAUCUCUAUUCAUGUCUUCCCUACAACAUAUUCAAAUUUCGUAAUUUUUGAAGUUCAUUUGUCUAUUUAACCAAAAAUGUUUCAAAAACUGUGCAAGUUGAACUGUUAAAAUAGUAGUGCUGUGAUGCAUGGUCUAUACCGAGUUAUAUGGGGAUCUUUUGGUGUAGUGUUCUUCAUGAAAUAUCUGCCUUUAUGUCUUGACUAUCACAUGUCAAAUUUCAUAAUUUUUUAAGGUCAUUUGGGUAUUUAAUUAAAAUGUUUUCUAAAACUGUGCAAGCUGGAUUGUGCGAAUUUCAAAAGCUGUAAUGCAUGGACUAUUCUGUUUUGUAUGAAAUUCUGGUGGUGUUGUGUUCUUCAUGAGAUAAAUGCCUCUAGAGCUUGUCUAUGAUGUCUUAAAUUCUUAGAAAUUAUUAGGGCCAAUCACUAAAUUUUAAGAAGUGUAAAUUAAAAGAACCCAUUCCGUUUCUAAAAUAAUAGCAAUAAUCCAUGAGUUUGCCCCAUGAAUUAUAUUGUUUUUAAGUGAUUGAAUCUUGCUGCACAUGUGAUGAUAUUUGGCAUUACAUAUAAAAUAAAAAGCUGAAAUUGACCUUGUUGCCAUCACAUCAUGUGCCAUGUUGAUAUUGAGACACAAUUGUGAAUAUGAAUUAUGAUAAAUGAGGAUACCGUCGGAGGUGUGAGCCGACGAUACCCUGGGAGUGUCGGGAUGCCCGAAGGUGAGUGCCGGAUGCCUGGAGUGUUUGUGCCGGAUGUCCUCGGAAGUUUCGAGAUGCUCAGAGGUGUGUGCCGGAAGCCUCGGAGGUGUGUGCCGGGGGAUACCUCGUGAUGCCAGUCGGGGUACGAGAUGCCCGGAGGUGUGUGCCGGAGGUUCCUCGCGAUGCCAGGUUGGAUGCGAGCGAUAAAAUGUGGGAUGCAAUUACUGGUCCCGGGAAAAAAAAAGUGGUGACCCAAUUGAAAGAUAAAAAGCUAAAAUUGAAUCAUGCAUGGUAUGGUGACAUGUAUGCAUGGCUAUAUGAUGUAAUAUGUAUUAAGUGUAUGGUGGUAUGUGCACAUAAGGCAUGGAUAUGCAUGAAUGCUUGAUGAUGAGUGCAUGGUGGUAUGUGCACAUAAGGCAUGGAUAUGCAUGAAUACUUUAUGAUGAGUGCAUGGUUGUAUAUGCACAUAUGGCAUGACGGUAUAUGCAUGAAUGCUUGAUGAUGAGUGCAUGAUGGUAUAUGCACAUAUGGCAGGAUGACAUAUGCAUGGCUGCAAGGUAAGUUAUGCUUGGACGCAUGAAGGAUAUGUGCUUUGUUUAUGAUGUCAUGAUUGUUCUGUUUGAUGCAUUGAGUGGUUUAAUGGAUUUUUUACUUGUUGAGUGGUUGUACUCAUCCCUUUGGGGACCAACAUUUCAGAUUAGAAAGAUGCCUAUCCCGGUCACGCGGGGUACCUUUUACGGCCUUCCAUCUGACGUGGAGGUCGAGUGUAUGGAGCUUGAUUGUGUCACCAUCCCUGGUUUGACGUUCAUACGGGUUUGUGUGCUCGUGAUGUAUGAUGUGGGCCUAGCUGGGGGCCUGGUCAUCUAGGAGUUCUUGUCUGUACACGUCCGCCGUGACGGAGUGAUGCGGGGGAUGUUGCCGCCGCCACUGCCCGAUGCACCAGGGUGGGUGUGAUGGCCCGCGUGAGGAGUGGGAGCUGACACUUUUUGGGGAUAGCCGACACUUGUAGAUGGAGGGUUAUACGUGAUCGAUAUAGGGGGUCGAGAUCUCUUUUUGAGCUGUAGCCAAGUUUAGCUAAAAGUCUUGGCUUUUUGGUUGUACCGACCCGAGAUGUCCAUCAUGAAAAUAUAAAUAAGAGUGAAUUAGCAUUAUCUUUUCUUAUGGUGCGUAGUUGGUGUGCAUCGUUUUCUGAAUAUAGGGAAAGGAGUUGUUGGAUACGUUUCCACCAUAUUUCUACGCAGGGACCUAUGGAAAAAAAAAUGCCUAUGAACUACGGUUCUUCUUUAACCCCAAAACAAAGAUAUGUAACUGGUAUUCAUUAGGUGGAGCGAUAGGUAUCUGUGGUGGCCUUGCCAGAUCGGGGGUGCCACAAUAUCACUAAGAUUCAGGUUCAGGUUGUCAAACCCACGGAGAGAUCCUAUCCAUAUGUCCUCGCAUUUCCUAUAACAGGCUUCGAAAUGCAUUGAGACAAGCUCACCUAGGCCCUUUUCUAUACAUACAAUGGAUGACGCUUUACAACAAGUAAUAUUAGUUUUUACAUCUACCACGUCCGUAGUAGUGAUAUAUAUCUUUAUAGGGCAACCAAAAUGCACAGUAGCCACGAUUCUAAGUACUUGUAAAAGAAACAAGGGUGAGUACUUGGAAUACUCAGUAAGUAUAGCCUCUGGCCUUCGUAUAGAACAUCGAUUCAUCAUCAACACUAGUUAAUCAUUUCAUGCAAACCAUGGCGGAGGCAAAUCAAUUGCAAAGAUGCAACCAAGCUUCAAGCACAAAUGAAUGACAAUUCUUGCAAUCAUUCGUACAUAUGAUGCAUGCCUUGAGCUCAUGCACUCUAGCCUUUCUUUCAUGCUCAUACAUGCCAUGCUUAUUUGGCUUUUCUCUUGUGUUCGGAACUCGAACCCAAGUCUUCCCAGAGUCGUCUCGGGACUCGAACCCAAUUCAAUUCAGGCUUUUAAAUUGGGCUUCCUGGAGCCGUCUUGGGACUUGAAUCCAAUUCAAUUCGAGCUUUUUAACUGGGCUUCUGGCUUUUUGCCGGUUUUUGGGACUCAAAUCCAGUUAAUAUGCUAUGGACUCGAAUCCAAGUCUUAUGCUAGCCUUUGGGACUCAAACCCAAUUUUUGCCAGGAAUUCAGAGAUUCAAACCACAUUCUUAUAUUUUCUUAUCAUUACUCAAGCACGAAUCCCUUCUUGAGGAUGUACUCGAGCCCUAUGCAUGUGCCAUGAACUAUGCACUUUAUGCUCAAACAUGAUGCAAGUGUUAUGAAAUCAUGAAUUUUCUCAUAAACAACAUCACGAAUGAGCCUAAGCCCAAAGCCCCGCUUGAGUAACAAGCAUAAAGGAACCCCCACACCAAUUCAAGACAUGAAUUCGGUAAGCCUUAAUACCGAAUCACAUCUUAUGGUUAUGAGCGAACCUUGACUUAUAUCGAACAAAAGCUAUGAACCAUGACUUCAUUCUAAUCAUACAAGAAAUUCAAGUACAUGAACAAGUCAUAGAAUACAUCAAUCAUCCAAGAAUCAAUCGACCUACCCUCGGCUUGUUCGCAAGAUGAUUUCUUAAAGUCGAAGACGUCUCGAAUGUUACUAAAAGAAGGGAGAAACUACACUUACUUGGAUGAACCUUGAACUAAAGCUCAAACUACACAAGAUGGGCGGCUUGCUUUGAAGUCCGAAGGAGAGAGGGUGUGAGGAGGAGGAAGGAAGAGGAAAUGGGAGCAAGGUGGUGGAAAUGAGAAGGGGCACCUCAUAGUUAUAGCCCUUAGUGUCAUCAUUACUAAGCCAAGCGGUCCAUUCUAGUGAUCUCAAGUGUCCCGCCUAAUUUUCUUGGGUGGCAAGUCUACUUUACCUCAUGAUUACACCUAGAAGAUGAGUUGGCCAAGCUAAAGGCCUUGCUUGGCAAUCUAAACUCCGAGGCGUCAUCGAUUAUGGCCCGAUUUUCGCUCUUCCAUUAGUCCACCUAUAUGCCACAUUUAAUAGACAUUUAAUGAAGUUUGAUAAUAAUUGUACUAUAGUUGCCAACUCGGCAAUUCUAGAACAUUCAAUCAUUAAUGAUGGCUUGUAUGUCGUUCUCUAAUUGGUCCACUUAUGUGCUGCCUUUUUCUAUAAUCUUCAAAUAUAUUUUGGCCACCAUCAUGACUUUUGACUAUUCAAAGAACAACUCACCCCUUCAUUUAAUGAGGGGAUUCUAGAAUUUUCCUUACUUUUGUCUUUUUCUUCAUUAAUAAGGCGAUCUAGAGAAUUCUAUCAUCCAAGUUUGUUCCAGGGUCGAAGAAGGGAUCAUUAGGUAUACCUCGAAAAUCCAACUCACGUACACUCGAGAUUCGGCCAUCACGUCUCAUAUUCGCUUAAACCGUUCCUUUGGACGGUCGGUCGGCCAAUAGGGUCGGUUGUCCUUUGAUCACUUCAAGACCAAUUCUAAGGCUACCCAUGUCCUAACACUAAGCUAAGGCACUCAUGGACCUUAGAAUUAGUGAUGGAAUAGCCAAGUCCAUCCCUGGACUCAUUCCGGUCAGCAUCCGAUCCACCGGUAGGGUUCAUGAUCAGUGCAUUAUCGAUCCAUGAUCGGACAUCACCAAUUUGAGAUUCUGCUCCAAUCGCUAAGAAUUAAAUAGGGAAUGAUGCAUUUUUGGUCGAAAGAUAAUCGCAUUUGAUCAAUUUGGAUCGUCUAUGUAUUGGUGCAUAACCGAGCGGAAUCACCCGCAACCAGAAACUACAACCGGUUGAUCGACCCAUGACCACCUGCCAUCCAAAACCAUCUCGUGAUCAAUUCUCAUAUCAAAAGUUCAUCGUAUGAGCUGGUGAUCCUAUCUAAUUGGUAUGGUUGGUAGGAAAUUCACGGCCGACACCUUGAUCAAUUUGUGAUUGGUCGGUCGAUCGAUCGAUCGGUUAGUCAAACCAUGACCGAUCCAUGAUUCCUUGCUGAUUGAACCGAUCGAUCCAUGGCCAAUGGCCCAUGAUCGAUCGUUUUAGGAUCUUAUGGCCAAUCUUUAUGGGAUUGGAAUCGAGGAUGUUACAAUGCUCCCUCCCUUUAAAAAUUUCGUCCAUGAAAUUUCAUAACGUACUUGGGUACUCAAAAUAAGUAAGGGUACUUGUGCUUCAUAAUUUCUUCACUUUCCCAAGUAGCCUCUUCCUGUUCCAUGGUGUUUCCGUAGGACCUUAACUAAGGGAAUGGCCCUAUUUCUAAUUACUUGCUCACGUCUGUCCACGAUCCGCACUAGCUCCUCAACAUACGACCCUUGGUCGUCUACCUCGAUCUCUUCGAAGUUGAGCACAUGUGCCAGAUCUGGCUCAUACUUUCUUAACAUGGACACAUGGAAUACAUCGUGUACCUAAGCAAGUUUUUGUGGCAAUGCCAACUGAUAAACCAUAUUCCCUAUCCUUUUUAGGAUUUCAAAAGGUCCUAUGUACCAUGGACUCAACUUACCUUUCUCACCAAAACGAGACAUGCCUUUCAAUGGAGACACCUUGAGGAAUACAUGGUCUCCUACCUGAAAUUCUAAAGGCUUUCGUGUCUUAUCUACAUAACUCUUUUGCUUACUCUGGGUGGCUCUAAGUCUCUUUCCAAUUACUUACAUUGCCUUGUAGUAAGCUGCACCAACUCAGGACCAGUAAGCUUCUUUUCCCCGACCUCAUUCCAACAAAUUGGAGUUCUACAAGUUCGACCAUAUAAUGCUUCAAAUGGAGCCAUACCAAUGCUUUGCUGAUAACUGUUAUUAUAAGCAAAUUCAACGAGAUGCAAGUGCUCGUCCCAGCUUCCUUUAAAAUCAAUUACAUAAGCUCUCAGCAUAUCCUCUAAUGUCUGGAUAGUUCUUUCUGUCUAGCCAUCAGUUUGGGGAUGGAAAGCCGUAUUGUACUGCAGUAUUGUUCCCAAUGCAGCUUAAAGACUUUGCCAAAACAUUGUCGUGAAUUUAGGAUCUCGAUUAGAAGUGAUUGUCACUAGUACUCCAUGGAGACGUACUACUUGUCGUACAUACAAGUGCGCAUAAUCUUCCGAUGAUAAAUCCUUCUUUACCACUAGAAAAUGAGCCGACUUUGUCAAUCGGUCGACUAUUAUCCAAAUCAAGUCAUUUCCUCUUGGACUCCUUGGUAGUUCUAGAACAAAAUCCAUGGUAAUGUGUUCCCAUUUUCAUUUGGGAAUUCCAAGUGGUUGUAAUAAUCCACCAAGCUUGCAACGUUGAGCUUUCACUUGUUGACAUGAUAAGCACUUGGCAACAUGCUUAGCAACAUCCGCCUUCAUGCCAUUCCACCAGUAGUCUAGUACAUCUUCGUAUUACCAAGGUAGAUACUAUAAUUUCUUCGGUGCACUUCCGCCAAAAUUUCUUCCUUGAGCUUAUUGUCAUUGGGUACACACCAAUGUUCACAUAAUUUCAAGGUUCCGUCUUUCGCAAUGCGGAAAUCAUUUCCUUUCUUAUCCCUGGCUUAUUUCUGAAGCUUUUGAAUCUGCAGAUUGACUUGCUGUAAUGUUUUUAUCUUCUGCAUUAUUUCUUGCUCAAUUCUAAGUGUUGCUAGUAAGCUUGAAGUCAGAAUCUUGGACUUCUUCUAAGAGAUUCCAUUCUCGAGCCAUCAUUCGUGCAAGGCAUCCGCAACUCGAUUUGCUUUGCCAGGAUGGUAUAAUAUUUCACAAUCAUAGUCUUUCAGAAAUUCCAUCCAUCGCCUUUGCCGCAUAUUCAACUCCUUUUGGGAGAAUAAAUACUUCAAGCUUUGAUGAUCAGUGUAUAUUACGAACCUUUCUCCGUAGAGAUAAUGUCACCAUAUCUUCAAAGCGAAAAUAAUCGCAGCUAGCUCCAGGUCAUGAGUUGGGUAAUUCAACUCAUAGGGCUUCAAUUGCUUGGACGCAUAGGCCACCACUUUACCAUGCUGCAUUAACACACAACCAAGUCCCUUAUGCAAGGCAUCACUGUAUAUUUUAAAACCUCAUGAUCUAGACGAAAUUGUGAACACCGGAGCCGUUGUAAGUUUCCGUUUUAAUUCUUGAAAACUCCGUCCACAUUUAUCCGUCCACUCGAACUUCACAUCCUUCCUUAGUAAUCGAGUGAGGGGAGCAGCAAUGCUAGAGAAUCAUUCCACGAAUCUCCGAUAAUAUCCAACCAAACCACGGAAACUUGAAAUUUCGACAACCCUAGUUGGUCUUGGCCAAUUUAUUACUAUUUCCACCUUGGCAAGGUCUAUUGAUAUCCUUUCACCAGUCACCACAUGGCCCAGAAAUACCACGCUAUUUAACCAUAACUCGCACUCACUGAAUUUUGUGUAUAGUGCGUGUUCUCGAAGCGUUUGCAACACCAUUCUCGAGUGUUGCUCAUGUUUUGUCGUAUUCUUUGAAUAGAUCAGAAUGUCGUCAAUAAAUACUAUGACGAAGUGAUCCAAGUACAACUUGAAUACUUGGUUCAUGAGAUCCAUGAAAGCUGCUAGGGCAUUUGUCAAACCAUAUGGUAUAACGGAAAAUUCGUAAUGACCAUACCGAGUUCUGAAGGCCAUCUUCAGAAUAUCUUCUUUCUUGAUUCUCAACCGAUGAUAUCCUGAGCGUAAAUCAAUCUUAGAAAGUACCACCGCUCUUUGAAGUUGAUCGAACAAGUCAUCGAUAUGUGGCAAUGGAUACUUGUUCUUGACGGUAACUUAAUUCAACUGUUGAUAGUUGAUACAGAGACAUAACGACCCAUCUUUCUUCUUUACGAACAGGACUGGCGCACCCCAAGGUAAGGUACUAGGGCGUACAAAACCCUUAUCAAGUAACUCUUGUAAUUGCACCUUCAACUCCUUAAGCUCCACCAAAGACAUUCGGUAUGGUGCUUUAGAAAUAGGUUUCGUUCUCAGAACUAGCUCAAUAGUGAACUCUAUCUCCCUUUCAGGUGGUAAUCCCCGUAGCUCCUUUGGAAAUAUGUCAGGAAACUCCCGCACCACGGGGAUAUCAUCCAACUUUGGUUCUUCAACUAACUUAUUUUCUACGGUUGCUAAGUAACCUCGGCAACCCUUCUUAAGAAGUCGUACUGCUUUUGUUACAGAAAUCAGAGGCGUUGAGGGUCCUCCUCCAUUUCUGAUAAAUUGAUAGUCGAUUCCAUUUGGUGGACUAAACUUGAUUAUCUUGCCAUAGCAGUCCACUUUGGCUCGUUGUUUACGAAGCCAAUCCAUUCCAAUAAUAGCAUCGAAAUCACACAUAUCUAAUACGGCUAAAUCUAUUCUUCCCUCUUGUCCACUUAUGACAAUUCUACACUCCUUACAUUCCAUAGUGGACAACAUUUCAUGUCUCAUCGGGGUGGAUAUACUAAGAAUUAUCGUAAGGGGUUCGAGCUUCAAUCCUACCGUACACACAAAUCUCUCCGAUACAAAGGAAUGCGUUGCACCCGUAUCAAACAAGACAUAAGUCGGAUGAUUGUGUAAAGAGACCAUACCUGUGAUAACGGUCUUGGAGUUCUCUACUUCUCUUUGUGUCACUGCAUACACUUGUCCUUGAGCUAAAGGACAAUUAUGUUGCGUAGAACUCCAUUGGAUGUCAUCGGCUGUUGUUGUGAUGGCAGUAAAAUUUGUCGCCUUUGAGGGCAAUCCCUCAACAUAUGGCCGGGUUGGCCACAACCAUAACAUACUCCUUUUUCUAGCUAAACAAGGGGCAUUACCAUGCUGUUUUCCAUAGUUACAGCAUACUUCAGACAACACCACAUUCACUUUUUGCUUCUUACUCUUUUUAAACAUGUGCUUUCCUCCUAGCGCGAACCUUUUGCCUUGUCGUUGAUUAGGAUGGAAGGUCAAAUAAGAAGACCUCCCUUGGAAAUUUGAUGCCGCGACGCGUUCUUGUCAAUCCUUUUUCAACCAACUAAGCCCGUUCAUACAAUUCAUUAUAAUCUUUAAGAUUUAAGGGUACCAGCUAACUUCGAAUGUCAGGUUUGAGGCCAUAUUUGAAUCUUUAGCUCGAUCAAUUGGGUUCUCAAUCAAUCGAGAAGCAUACUUUGAUAAUUCGGUAAAUUUGGCCUCACGCUAAUCCACUAUCAUGUUUCACUAGUGCAAGUGCAAAAAUUCGGCCAUCUUUCUAUCUCGAGCACUUUCAGAAAAAUACUUGUUGUUAAAGGCCGGCACAAAGGCAUCCCAAGUCAUAGGAGCACCUUUAGGAAAUAUUAUCCUCUUAGUGGCUCUCCAUCAAUGACUGGCAUUACCCUGUAAUCGAUACACUACCAAGGUCACUUAUCCUCAUUAGAACACCUUAAAAGAUCAAAGAUUUUCUUGAGCUCUUCAAUCCAAGACUCAGCCUCAUCAAUGUUUCCGGUUCCAGCAAACUUUGGAGGCUUUAAUUUUAGGAACUGUUCGACCAAUCCACUCUUUGGACGGUCUCCAAAUUCAUCUCCAUUUGAGGUGUUAGUGGAAACAGAGGCUUGCUGCUAUUGAACUUGCUAUUCCAUCAAGCUCCCAACAUUAGUCAGAACUUGCAGAAUUCCAUCAAGUCGGGGGUCCUACCUUGAUUUUCCUUUCAAAGCAUUUGGGUCUUGAGCUGAUUUUCCAUGGGUAGUCACUGGGUCUUGGGAACUCAUACUAGUUACUAAGGAAUACGGCUAUAGAGUUCUAGAGGAUUUAUCUACAAUACAAUCAAAAUCAAUAACUUUCAUAAAAAAGAAAAAAGAAAAAAAAAGAACAUCAAGCAAACAAUCAUAUAUCAUGCAUGUGAUCUUCCUAAUUUUUUAUCCCACGCUUCCCAGCGCACCUUAUGACUCCUGGUAAUAACCCCUACUCUGAUACCACAACCUGUCACAACCCCCUUUACUCAGAGGUUGAGCUGCAGGUUAUUUUGCAACAUACCAGGCUUUGUCGCCAUCCUGAAUUCAUUUGCUUCUUAUUUAUGCACAUGUGGAAAGCGUAAACAUACAAUCCCCAAUGCAAAUAACAUGGAAACAUGAGAUACAAACACAAAACACAACUAACAUAUUUCAUAUAUUACAUGAAUAGUGAUGAUUAUAAGCCUAUCUUACAUACAAAAGUAGCUUUGGGUAUCCUUGUCUCUGCUACGGUGAGUUCUAACCAAAAUUGGGAACCCUUCUUCUAUUACAUAGGGCUAGUACGCUUAACUUAGUCCGAAUCCUCGGAUGGUUCAUUCAUAUCACUGAGAUUCGGGUUCAGGUUGUUAAACUCGCGGAGAUUUCCUAUCCAUAUGUCCUCGUAUUUCCUAUACUAGGCUUCGAAAUGCAUUGGGACAAGCUCACCCAGCCCCUUCUCUAUCCAUACAACGGAUGACACUUUGUAAUAAGUAAUAUCAGUUUUUAUAUCUACCACGUCCGUAGUAGUGGUAUAUAUCUUUAUAAGGCAACCAAAAUACGUAGUAGCCAUGAUUCUAAGUACUUGUAAAAGAAACAGGGGUGAGUACUUGGAAUACUCAGUAAGUAUAGCCUCUGGCCUUCGUAUAGAACAUCGAUUCAUCAUCAACACUAAUCAAUCAUUUCAUGCAAACCAUGACGGAGGCAAAUCAACUACAAAGAUGCAACCAUGCUUCAAGCACAAAUGAAUGACAAUUCUUGCAAUCAUUCGUGCAUAUGAUGCAUGCCCUGAGCUCAUGCACUCUAGCCUUUCUUUCUUGCUCAUGCAUGCCAUGCUUAUUUAGCUUUUCUCUUAUGCUCCCAAGUCUUCCCGAAGCCGUCUUAGGACUUGAACCCAAUACAAUUCGGGCUUUUUAACCGGGCUUCUGGCUUUUUGCGGGCUUCUGGGACUCAAUCCUAGUUAAUAUGCUCGGGACUUGAACCCAAGUCUUAUGCUAGCCUCUGGGACUCGAACCCAGUUCUUGCUAUGAAUUCAGGGAUUCAAACCCCAUUCUUAUCUUUUCUUAUGUUUGCUCAAGCACGAAUCCCUUCUUGAGGAUGUACUAAAGUCUUAUGCACAUGCCAUGAACUAUGUACUUUAUGCUCAAACAUGAUGUACGUACCAUGAAAUCAUGAAUUUUCUCAUCAACAAUAUCACGAAUGAGCCUAAGCCCAAAGCCUUAUUUGAGUAACAAGUAUAAAGAAACCCCGCACCAAUCCAAGACAUGAAUUUAGUACGCCUCAAUACCGAAUCACAUCUUAUAGCUAUGGGCGAACCUCAACUUGUACUAAACAAAAGCAAUGAACCAUGACUUCAUUCUAGUCACACAAGGAAUUCAAGAACAUGAACAAGUUAUAGAAUAUAUCAAACAUUCAAUAGUCAAUUGACCUACCCUCGGCUUGUUCAAGAGAUGAUUUCCUAGAGUUGAAGACGUUCCGAAUGUUACUAAAAGAAGGGAGAAACUACACUUUCCUGGAUGAAUCUCGAACUACACAAGAUGGGCGGCUUGCUUUGAUGACCGAAAGAGUGAGAGAGUGGGCGUGAGAGGAGGGGCGACUAAGGAGGAGGAAGAAGGAGGAAAUGGGAGCAAGGUGAGGAAAUGAGAAGAGACUCCUCCUAUUUAUAGCCCUUGGUAUCAUCAUUACUAAGCCAAGUAGUUCAUUCCAAUGUUUUCAAGUGUCCCACCUAAAUUCUUUAGGUGGCAAGUCUACCUUGCCUCAUGAUUACACCUAGAAGAUGAGUUGGCUAAGCUGAAGGCCUUGCUUGGCAAUUCAAGCUCCUAGGCGUCAUCGAUUAUGGCCUACUUUUCGCUCUUCCAUUGGUUCGCCUAUAUGCCGCAUUUAAUGGACAUUUAAUGAAGCUUGACAAUAAUUGCACUAUAGUUGCCAACUCGGCAAUUCUAGAACAUUCAAUUAUUAAUGAAGGCUUGUGUGUCACUCUCUAAUUGGUCCACUUAUGUGCCACCCUUUUUAGAAUCUUCAAAGAUAUUUUGGCCACCAUCAUGACUUUUGAUUAUUCAAAGAAAAACUCACCCCUUCAUUUAAUGAGGGGCUUCUAGAAUUUUCCUUACUUUUGUGUUUUUCUUCAUUAAUAAGGCAGUCUAGAGAAUUCUAUCAUCAAAGUUGGUUCUGGGACUGGAGAAAUGAUUAUUAGGUACACCUCAAAAAAUCAAAUCACAUACACCCGAGGUUUGGCCAUCACGACUCAUACUCGCCCAAACCGUUCCUUUGGACGGUCAGUCAGCUAAUAGGGUCGGUUGUUCUUUGAUCGGUUCGAGACUAAUUCUAAGGCUACUCAUGGCCUAGCACUAAGCCAAGAAACAUAUGGACCUUAGAAUUGGUGAUGGAAUACCCGGGUCUAUCCUUGGGCUCAUUUCGGUUGGCACCCGAUCACCAGUAGGGCUCAUGGUCGGUGCAUUACCGAUCCAUGAUCGAACAUCACCAAUUCAAGAUUUUGUUCAGAUCACUAAGAAUUAAAUAGGGAAUGAUGCAUUUUUGGUUAGAAGAUGAUCACAUUUGAUCAAUUUGGAUCAUUCGUGUAUAAGUGCAUAAUUGAGCGGAAUCACUCGCGACCAGAAACUAAACUGGUCCGAUCAACCCAUGACCAUCCGUCAAUCCAAAAUCAUCCCGUGACCAAUUCUCGUGAUCAAAAGGUCAUCUUAUGAGCUGGUGAUCCUAUCCAAUCAAUAUGGUCGAUAGAAAUUCACGGCCGACACUUCGACCAAUUCAUGACUGGUCAAUCGGUCGGUCAAUCAGUUAGUCGGACCAUGACCGAUCCCUAAUUCCUUGCCAAUCGAACUGAUCGAUCCAUGGCCGAUGUGUGGUAUCCGGAAAUUUUGACGACCCUCGAAUAUGUGACGGUCCUUGACUGAGCGACGGAAGUAUCGUCGGAUGAUGUUAUCGACACCACAACGGACAUCAUUUUGUUAUCGUCAUCGGACCAAUGUGCCUUGUUUAGUAAUGGUCCGAUCAUCGAAUAAAUCAUAGUCUUAUUGGAAACCUUUCAUAUGUUCAAGCGAGACCAAGACUCGUUCCAAAUGAUUCUUGACCCUGCCAACUCGGGUAUGCCAAUGAAAAAACACCCAAGGAUCGGCCAUCGGGAGCUGCCCAUUUUCUCAUGUGCAUGAGAAAUAGGAAACCUCGAAUACUUCAUGCAUGUUUAUAUUUUUCUAUAGGCAGCUAACAAAAGGAAGAUUGGAUCACGCAUGGGGGCUGUUUUCUCAUCCAAGCUGCCCUACGAAUUUGUGUUUAUUGACUAAAGAAGUCAAUUAACUUAAGAGAACGUCCAAAAGCGUGCAUGCGGACGUGAGGAAUCGUAACCACCGAAGGACAGCUCCAUAUUGCUUUUCUUUUAUAUGGCCGGUCAAUUAUGGAAGAGGAUUAUUGAUUAAACGCCAGGUUGCUCUUCUUUCGGUGGACAACAAAAAGGGAGGAUGUGGCUUUGCGGAAGACACGCCCUGCAUGAAGAGUCGAGUUGGCUCGGCAAGGAGAGGGACUCGCAUGCAGGAGGCCACGUACACCCCAGCUGUCUUCGGUUCCUGCACCCACCGAAAGAAGCCCCAUGCAGUUGACUAAAUUGUCAACAAAGUGAGGAACAAAACCCUCGUACACAGAGGGGAAGAGAGAGAAGGAACCGAAUGAAACUUGGGCAAAGAGAGAAACCGAGAGUGAGCGGGUGAGGGAGUGAGAGAGAGAGAGAGUUUGGGCGAGAGUGAGCAGCGAGUGGGUGAACGGCGAAGAGGAAGAAGGGACCGCCUUCUGCCGUGCUCAAGCUGCCGCUGUCGAUGCCGCUAGUCUCCGCGCCGUUGAGCCAAGCCCGAGAUCCACGAGCCCCUGUUUUUGGCCAGCAAUCAAGUAGAGAGGUUUAAAGGCAAGUAGAAGUUCUUCAAUCUAUGUUUUGCUUGCUGUUUUAUCUACCUAAGAGUUGGUAGAUGUGAGAAAAUGUGGAAUUUGGAGUUGCAUGUCGAUUUGUGAUGAAGGAGAUGAAGCUGGACUAAGAAACCGAGCAAAAACAGAGCAUGCAUUGUGGAUUUCGAAUUUGAGAUGGAACAAGAAUUUAAAAAUCUGACUAUGGAGGGUUUUUGGAAGUGAUAAGGCUGUGUUACAGUGUAAUACACUUGUAUCUAUUUGACUGUGGAUGUUGGAGGUCGAAAUUUAAGGAGUAGGAGAAACUCUCAUUAGGUUAAUGGACUGUUUUGUGGAGAACAGUGUGACCCUCGGUGACCUUUUGAUUUUUCUGUAAUUAUCUAGCCACAAUUUGAUUUCGAGUUCUUGAUGAAAGUUUUAGGGAAUAUCCUCAUGAAAAACAUAUAAAAAAUUCAGAGAAAAAUAACAAGGUAUGACCAUCGAAAUAAUUUUCCUAUGAAAAUAUCAAAUCUGAAAUUUUUACAGAAUGAUGGUUAAGAAGAAAAUAGAGAUUUUACCCUCGUUACAUAAGGAAUAUGACCUAGUGGAAUUCUUGAGAUUUGUUCCUCUAGGUUUCAUGGAUAACGUGUCAAAAUUUCAUAAUUUUCUGAGCCCGUUUAGUAAUUAAUUCGGAAUUGUUACCAGAACUGCGCAAUUGUAGAAAUUAAGCUGCUAUUUCGAGAUUUCCACAGAAAUUGUCCUAUAAGAAGUAUGGUUUUCGAAUUGCUAUGUGACUCGGUGAUGCUGAUGGUGGGAUAUUGUGAUUGAUAAAAGGUUCAUGAGAUAUCUUGUUUGACACAUGAUGAUGCAUUUGUGAAUUAAAAUGCGAUUUGUUUGAUAAAAGGUUCAUGAGAUAUCUUGUUUGAUAUAUAUGAUGCAUUGGUGAAUUAAAAUGCGAUUUUUUACCCAUCGAACCCUCGAGGUUCCUCGUGAUGCCAGGUGGGGUACGAGAUGCCUGGAGGCGUGAUUCGCUCCAGAUGCCCGGUGGCCCUAAGUGGUUGAAUGCCGGAGGCUUUCGCGAUGCCUGGAGGGAUGCGAAUGCCGGAGGGACGCAAGCACUGAUCCUCCGGGAAUGAAACCCUUUUGAAUGAUAAAUUGAAUGAUUCUACUAUAAAUGUGUGGGGUCUGGAUAUAAGACCGAGUGUAUGGCAUGGAACGGAACAUGAUAUUUUAGUUUGGCCCUAUGAUUGAAAUUUGUCUAUCUUGGAUAUGUUAUCAUCACAUGGAAGGAUUUUAUGAUUUUGGUGCAUACCUAUCCUCUAUUUCUUGUCUUGUCUACUAUACUUGAAUCUGGAUAUUAAUAGUAAUGCUUGAUAUAGCUUGAUGAAUCUUUUAUUGCCGAGUGGUUGUACUCACCCCGUUUGGGGACUAACAUUUCAGACUAAGUCAAGAUACCUUUGCUACCACCGCCACCAGUAGAUGGACCGAGUGAUUGAAUAUGACCAUGAGGAGGAGGACAGCAGAGGAAGGAACUUUUGGAUGCCAACACUGAUCGAUAAACUUUAAGUAUACGACUGUUGGAAAAGAUGUUGGUCUUCUUUUGAAGUAUAGCCAAGUAUAGAAGAUUAUGGCAUUUUGGUGUACCAACUAAAGAUGUCCAUCUAGUUUUAUGUGAAUAAAAGUGUUCGGCUUAUUACUUAUAAAUGUGUUUAGUUGGUGUGUAUCGCUUUAAUUUAUGAAAGGGGAGUUGAUGGAUGUGCGUCCGUUAUAUAUAUACUGUGCAGGGACCGAUUGAGUGAUAUAAACCCCUAGGACUUAUGGACCCACUAUAAUUUUAUGGUAUCAUAGUGACAUAUUAUCAAGACAACUGAAAGGAAAUCGAACUGUGGCGACCCUGACGGAUCGGGGGCCGUUCGGGAGGUGCCACACGAUGGCCCAUGAUUGAUCCUUUUAGGACCUUAUGACCGAUCCUUAUGAGGUUGGAAUCAAGGAUGUUAUAGGUACACGAUGUAUUCCAUGUGUUUAUGUUGAGAAAGUAUGAGCCAAACCGGCACAUGUGCUCAACUUUUAAGAGAUUGAGGUAAAUGACCAAGGGUCGUAUAUUGAGGAGCCAAUGUGGAUCGUGGAUAAACAUGAACAAGUAAUCAGAAACAAUGCCAUUCCCUUAGUCAAGGUCCUAUGGAAACACCAUGGAACAGAAGAGGCUACUUGGGAAAGUGAAGAAAUUAUGAAGUGCAAGUACCCUCACUUAUUUUGAGUACCUAGGUACGUUAUGAAAUUUCGGGGAAGAAAUUUUAAAGUGGGGAGAAAUAUAACAUCCUUGAUUCCGACCCCGUAAGGAUCAGCCAUAAGGUGCUAAAAGGAUCGAUCAGAGGCCAUUGGCCAUGGAUCGAUUGGUUCGAUUGGCAAGGAAUCAUAGAUCGAUCAUGUUUCGAUUGAUCGACUGACUGAUCGACCAGUCCUGAAUUGGUCAAGGCAUCGACAGUGAAUUUCUACUAAUCAUAUCGAUGGGAUAGGAUCACCAGCUCAUAAGAUAACUUUUUUAUCACGAGAAUUGGUAAUGGGAUGAUUUUGGAUUGGUGGAUGGUCAUGGGUCGAUCCGACCAAUCAUAGUUUCUGAUCGCGGGUGAUUACGCCUGGUUAUGCAUUGAUACACGGACAAUCCGAAUUGAUCAAAUGUGACUGUCUUCCAACCAAAAAUGCAUCAUUCCCUAUUUAAUUCUUAGUGAUUGAAAUAGAAUCUCGAAUUGGUGAUGUUCGAUCAUGGAUCAAUAAUGCAUCGACCAUGAGCUCUAUCAGUGGAUCAAGUGCCGAUCGGAAUGAGCCUAGGGAUAGACCCAACUAUUUUGUCACUAAUUUUAAGGUCCAUGAGUGCCUUGGCUUUGUGCUAGACCUUAGGUAGCCUUAGGACUGGUCUCAAACCGAUCAAAGGACAACUAAUCCUAUUUGUCAACCGACCAUCCAAAGGAACGGUUUGGGUGAAUAUGGGGUGUGACGGCAGAACCUCAGGUGUACGUGAUUCAAUUUUUUGAGGUGUACCUAAUGAUCCAUUCUUCGGUCUCGGAACCAGCUUGGAUGAUAGAAUUCUCUAGACUGCCUUAUUAAUGAAGAAAAAGACAAAGGUAAGGAAAAUUCUAGAACCCCCUCAUUAAAUGAAGGGGUGAGUUGUUCUUUGAAUAGUCAAAAGUCAUGAUGGUGGCAAAAAUAUCUUUGAAGAUUCCAGAAAAAGGCAGCACAUAAGUGGACCAAUUAGAGAGCGACAUACAAGCUCUCAUUAAUGAUCGAAUGUUCUAGAAUUGCUGAGUUGGCAACUAUAGUACAAUUAUUUUCAAACUUCAUUAAAUGUCUAUUAAAUGUGACAUAUAGGUGGACCAAUGGAAGAGCGAAAAGCAGGCCAUAAUCGAUGACACAUAGGAGCUUAGAUUGCCAAGUAAGGCCUUUAGCUUGGCCAACUCAUUUUCUAGGUGUAAUCAUGAGGCAAAGUAGACUUGCUACCCAAAGAAUUUAGGCAGGACACUUGGAAACAUUGGAAUGGACCGCUUGGCUUAGAAAUGAUGACACCAAGGGUUAUAAAUAGGAGGAGCCCUUCUCAUUUCCUCACCUUGCUCCCAUUUCCUCCUCCCUCCUCCUCCUUAGUCGCCCUCCUCCUCACACCCUCUCUCUCUCUCCUUCGGCCUUCAAGCAAGCCGCCCAUCUUGUGUAGUUCAAGCCUUAGUUCGAGGUUCAUCCAAGUAAGUGUAGUUUCUCCCUUCUUUUAGUAAUGUUUGAGAUGUCUUUGACUCUAGAAAAUCCUCUUGUGAACAAGUCGAGGGUAGGUUGAUUGAUUCUUGGAUGUUUGACAUAUUCUAUGAUUUGUUCAUAUACUUGAAUUUCUUGUAUGACUAGAACGAAGUCGCGGUUCAUAACUUUCGAGCGGUACAAGUCGAGGUUCACCCAUAGCCAUAAAUGUGAUUUGGUAUUGAGGCAUACCGAAUUCAUGUCUUGGAUUGAUGCGGGGUUCCUUUAUGCUUGCUACUUGAGUGGAGCUUUGGGCUUAGGCUUGUUCGUGAUGUUAUUGAUGAGGGAAUUCAUGAUUUUAUAGCACACACAUCAUGUUUGAACAUAAAGUGCAUAGUUCAUGGCAUGUGCAUAAGACUUGAGUACACCCUCAAGAAGGGGUUUGUGCUCGAGCAAAGAUAAGAAGAGAUAAGAAUGGGGUUUAAGUCCCUGAAUUCCUAGCAAGAACUGGGUUCGAGUCCCAAAGGCUAGCAUAAGACUUGGGUUCGAGUCUUGAGCAUAUUAAUUGGGUUUGAGUCACAGAAGCCGGCAAAAAGCCAGAAGCUCGAUUAAAAAGUCCGAAUUGAAUUGGGUUCGAGUCCCAAGACGACUUUGGGAAGACUUGGGUUUGAGUCUCGAGCACAAGAGAAAGGCUUAAUAAGCAUGGCAUGCAUGAGCAAGAAAGAAAUGCUAGAGUUCAUAAGUUCAGGGCAUGCAUUAUAUGCACAAAUGAUUGCAAGAAUUGUCAUUCACUUGUGCUUGAAGCUUGGUUGCAUCUUGCAAUUGAUUUUCCUUCGCCAUGGUUUGCAGGAAAUGAUUGACUAGUGUUGAUGAUGAAUCGAUGUUCUAUUCAAAGGCCGGAAGCUAUACUUACUGAUUAUUUUAAGUACUCACCCCUGUUUCUUUUAUAGGUACUUAGAACCAUGGUUACUGUGCAUUUUGGUUGCCCUGUAAAGAUAGAUACUACUAUGACGGACGUGAUAGAUGUAGAAACUAAUAUUACUUAUUGUAAAGUGUCAUUCAUUGUAUGGAUAGAAAAGGACUUGGGUGAGCUUGUCCCAAUGCAUUUUGAAGUUUGGUAUAGGAAAUAUGAGGACAUAUGGAUAGGACUCUGCGGGUUUGACAACCCAACCUCGAAUCUUAGUGAUAUGGAUGAACUAUCCGAGGCUUCAGACUAAGUUUAGGUGUAUCGGCUCUAGGUAAAAGAAGAAGGGUUCCUACUUUUGGUUAGUACCUAUCAUAGCAAAGACAGGGAUACCCCAAGCCACUUUUGUACAUAAGAAAGGCUUGUAAUCAUCACUACUCAUAUAAUAUAUGAAAUAUGUUAGUGGUGUUUGUAUCUCACGUUUCCAUGUUAUUUGUGUUGGGAAUUGUAUGUUUACGCUUCCCACAUGUGCAUAAAUAAGAAGCAAAUGAAUUCAGGACGGCGACAAAGCUUGGGAUGUCGCAAAAUAACUUGCAGUUCAACCUCUGAGUAAAGGGGGUUGUGACAUUAGUGGUACGGAUUGACAUAGGUGCACCGAAGUAGAUCUCUCAUCAAUUUGUUGCCUAGUACACCAACAUUGAUGGGGAGUUGGUUGGAUCACUUAGGAACUUCGAUGGUCCUCCCAGUUUCGACAACAAUAGCAUGCCAAUUGGCAAAUUUGUCGAUCUGUAGUAUAGUAGCAUGGAUGUGACCUGACCUUCUUCUGAAAGUUAUUGUGUUGUAUUAUGCUUAUUAUUAGUACUUGUACUAAUACUUGGAAAAGGUUUAUGAAAGGAAAAUUUGUCUUUGUGAAUCAUUCAACUCAUGAGAUUUCUUGUAGGGGAUGUUGUGAAAAUUCCAUUGUACUUCCACAUGUUAAUAAUAAAUAUAAUUUAUAAAUUGGAAAAGACACAUCGCGUGACGUUUUGGAACGUCACAAAUAGUCCCCAUAACAAACACCAUAGAAGGAUCAUUGAUAACCCUUCAUUUUUAUCUCUUGAGUUUCACGGAUUUUCUUGAAUUCAUUUCUAAUUGGGCAAAUACCAAUAAAAAAACUCAAAUUGUACUCACUAUGACAUAAAUAUCCUAAUUUUUUGUCACCAAAAAUUCCAAACAUGAUACAAAUACUCCCAACUUUUUUUUAUUUCACAACAAAAUUCAAACUUACACACGUAUGAAUUGUCACAUUGGUAUAAGAUUUGGGCUUUUUAUGACUAAAAACAGUUUAGAGUACUUGCAUCAUAAUUGGCAAUUUUAGAAUUUUUAGUAACAAAAAGGAAAGUCUGAUAUUUGUGUAUACUGAACACAAUUUAGGUUUUUUUAUUAAUUAAUCUUUUCUGAGUUGUCGCUUAUUAAAAAGAAACAGCGGCGGCAGCAUCAAUGCUGAUGUCCACACGUUCUGUUUCUCACGCUCGUGGGAUCCAAUGUCCAUGGAGUACCACAUGAAGAGACCUUUCAGACACACGAAUACUUCUAUUUCAUAAGAAAUCAUGCGCGCUUCCGUUCCUUCCCAGGCGUCCGAUGGAGCCUGCGAACCGAACAACACCGCUAGUUCAUCGAAAGAAGAUGGUUCAAAAAAUCGCGCAAAUAAAGAAUAUGGAUAAAACCAGAACAGCCAAACAUCAUCCCGCGUACAAUGCACAACCUUCGUGCAUGUUUAUGUCCUUUAUAAGUCCGAGUGAAUAGGAGGCAGGGAAGUGAAGUUGCAGAAAUGGUAGGCGUGGACAGGUACUAAAGUACCACCUAUGUAUGUCCUUAUUGUGAUCCCUCACUUGUUAGAAUAAUAUAAAAUUGAUUGUUGAAGAUUUGAGCAUAUUGGAUUUGUUGUUAGUAUUCUUCAAAAUGCUUGAUCUCUGGUGAGUGUCAGAAGAAGAUUGAAGACGAAAGAAUAUUGGCACAAUUUAUGGUGGGCUAUAUUUGAGUAGCCCCUCUACCAUUCAACGAGUAAAUGCUUUCAUAUUGAAAAGGAAGGGUCUUGUCUUUUUUUUUUCUUUUGUCAAAGAACAUGAGGUUUCUUCGUAAGAAGCAAGGACUUCAUGUCUCUGUCUCAUUUGUUCUUCAUGUGUUUUUUCUUCACUUUGUGGACUAUCGGCACGAUUUAAGGUGGGCCAUGUUUGAGUAGCCCCUCCACCAUUCAACAAGGAGUGAAUACUUUUAUAUUGAAAAGGGAGGGUCUUGUCUUCUUUUUUUCUUUUGUCAAAGAAAAUGAGGUUUCUUCUUAAGAAGCAAGGACAUCAUGUCUCUGUCUCAUUUGUUGUUCAUGUAUUUUUUCUCCACUUUGACAAAAGAAAAAAAAGAAGACAAGACCCUCCCUUUUCAAUAUGAAAGCAUUUAGUCGUUGAAUGGUAGAGGGGCUACUCAAAUAUAGCCCACCAUAAAUCGUGCCGACAUUCUUUCGUCUUCAAUCUUCUUCUGACACCCACCAGAGAUCAAGCAUUUUGAAGAAUACUAACAACAAAUCCAAAAUGCUCAAAUCUUCAACAAUCAAUUUUAUAUUAUUCUAACAAGUGAGGGAUCACAAUAAGGACAUACAUAGGUGGUACUUUAGUACUAGUCCACGACUACCAUUCUGCAACUUCACUUCCCUGCCUCCUAUUCACUCGGACUUAUAAAGGGCAUAAACGUGCACGAAGGUUGUGCAUUGUAUGCAGGAUAAUUUUCAACGAUGGUCAACGCUAGAUUGACUGGGUUGACUUUUUGUUUGAAUUUUGUUCUAUUUUUUUUUCUAGUUUUGCCCAAUUUAAACAAAACCAAACAUUUCUUCAUGAAUUGGAUCAAAUGAGAUGCAAGUGGGCUAUCUCAAGUCGAUUAAUUGUGCACAAAAUUUUUAAAUCCAUUGAAUUCUUAUUGAAGGGAGGCCACAAGCUAAACUCAUAUUUUUAAUUGAACCUCAAUUGGCCAAAUUGAAGCUCAAUUAUUUCAAUUACAUUCUAGUCUAGAAUGGGCCAAGUCAAAUUAUAUCAAUUGAAGCAUCUUAGUAGGGUUUUCUAAUCUCUGAAUAGGUCAAAUCAACCAAACUAGAAUGUACCCAAGUGAAUCUCUCAAAAUUGACCCUAGAUUUGGACUUAUCUCAAGAAUAUGAGUGAAAUGCAUACGUUCGUUCGUAGGUCAUGAAUAAUCGAUUUUAGUCCCCUAAUUAAGGCUCAAAACGGCAAUUCGUAUUUUGACUCGAUAAAUUGCGCAAUUGAAUGCUCAAAUAGGUUUUAGAUAGUCCCUAAACCAAAUGUCAAAGAAUGAACCAUACCUAAUUAUGACUAGAAUAAAAGUAAUUUUAUUUUUGAUCGAUUUAGAACCUAAAACUGAAAAAUUUAGAAAUCACGAUUCUUAAUCGAAUUUUGUGAAAUUUUUGACACAAAAGUCAAAUUAGCAUUAAAAGAAAUAUAUUUGUGUAUUUUUUUUUUGUCAAAGGUUUGACAAAAAGUCAACCGUUUAGUUGACUUUUGUUAAAAAGUUGAUUUUUUGGUCAAAUCUUUGAAUCUUCAAGAAAUUCAUUUGAAAAAAGUGAAAUUAAAGCUAAGUGGAAUUUUUUUGGGAAAAAGUCAAUUUUUGACCUGAGGUUAACUUUUUGUUGACUUUUGGUCAAAGGGCUGACCAAAAAGUCAACCUGAAAGUCAACAGUUUGACUUUUUGGGUUUUUCUUGAAAAUGAACUAAAAACUGUUUAAAAAUGACAAUGCAAAAGAACGAAAUGAAAAACGACAUUUUUUUGGUCGAGAGAACAGAAGGCAGGGAAGUGAAGUUGUAGAAAUGGUAGUCGUGCACGUUUAUGUCCUUUAUAUAAUGCACAACCUUCGUGCACGUUUAUGUCCUUUAUAAGUCCAAGUGAACAGAAGGCAAGGAAGUGAAGUUGCAGAAAUGGUAGGCGUGGACUGGUACUAAAGUACCACCUACGUAUGUCCUUAUUGUGAUCCCUCACUUUUUAGAAUAAUAUAAAAUUGAUUGUUGAAGAUUUGAGCAUGUUGGAUUUGUUGUUAGUAUUCUUCAAAAUGCUUGAACUUUGGUGGGUGUCAAAAGAUUGAGACGAAAGAAUAUCGGCAUAAUUUAUGGUGGGUUGUGUUUGAGUAGCCCCUCCACCAUUCAACACGGAGUAAAUGCUUUCAUAUUGAAAAGGGAAUGUCUUUUUUUUUUUCUUUAGUCAAAGAACAUUAGGUUUCUUCGUUCGUAAGAAGCAAGGACUUCAUGUCUUUGUCUCAUUUGUUGUUCAUGUGUUUUUUCUUCACUUUGUAAAGUUUCUUGUUUUCUAUCUGAUCUUAGUUAAGCUAUGCACACAUCUAACCACUUUAAAAGGCUGUGGACUUCAAAUCUGUGGCUAUACAGAAGCAAAGAGCAUUCUCAUUUCCAUUAUUUCUCUCUCUAGUCUUCAUUUGUGCCUUGUUCCAAACUUCCAAAAUUUGUCAUAUUCUUUUUGGUUCCACCAUCACUAUUGGAGGGAUCAUCAACAAUAAAUCUCUCUCGCAUUCAAUUUCUGGGUGCGCAUAAUCUACAUACUGGCCAAAGCCGUUUCCUACUCGAGCCUCUCUAGAGUCACCAUCGAUAAAAAUUUUAGCUGUCAAGCCCGCUGUUCUCAUGCUACUUCAUCCCUAGUUGAAGAGUGUAGGAGAUACCUAAUCUCCAUGAGAUAAACGGAUAACUCACUUGAAUUGACACCUAAUUAUUAAACUAUCAUGCCUCUAGUUUAUAUGUGUAGGAGGAACGCCACGAGAAAAAUAAAUUGAUAAAGCAAUCCGUGAAAUCCAAGUAAGAACAAGACAUCAAUAUAUUGAAUAUUGAAUUAAAGUUAUACGGCUUGAUUGCACAAAUUAAGAGUUAGAAGAUUAGAUUGCAUAAUUUAUGUAAAUUUUUGGACCAAAAAUGAAAUUAUUAUGAUGAUGUAAGAAUCGAGUUUUACCUAUUUCGAUGAAAUGGAUGGAUAACAAGAAUCAACGUGACCAGCAUGUUUACCCAUUUUCAUUGCCAAAAGAUAAAUUAAUGUUUUCUCCUGUAUUUCUUUUAUUUAUUGUUUUGGGUUGCUUUCUUGUGAACAGGAUAAGAGUGUAUUUAUAUCGUGUUUUCCGUGCAAUAAUCGCAGAAGUGCAAGGUGAGAAAUAGCUCAAAGCUUAGCCAAUGGAGUCCUGCUCUAUUUCGCUAUUUUGGCUGGGCCUCCUCCUCCCGGCACUUCUAGUUUUCCUUCUCAACCGUCGGAAGCGCACCAAGCUUCCCCCUCAGCCCCCAGCAUGGCCCGUGAUCGGCAACAUUUUCGACCUCGGGACCAUGCCGCACCAGAACCUCCACAACCUCCGAGCCAAGCAUGGGCCUGUCUUGUGGUUGAAGCUCGGUUCCGUGAACACCAUGGUGAUCCAAUCAGCUCGAGCGGCCAUGGAGUUAUUCAAGGGCCAUGACUUCGUGUUCGCAGACCGCAAGUGUUCCCAAGCGUUUACUGCUCUCGGCUAUGACCAAGGCUCGCUCGCUCUUGGUCGUCAUGGUGACUACUGGCGCGCUCUCCGGCGUCUCUGCUCCGCGGAGCUCCUCGUGAACAAGCGCGUCAACGAUACGGCCCACCUCAGGCAAAAGUGUGUCGACAGCAUGAUCAUGUAUAUAGAAGAAGAAAUGGCAGUCAAACAAGCAACAAAAGGUUAUUUCUUAAGUACUUGGUGUCAUUGCUGACUCUGUGUCCUAUGUGUCGCCUCGAAUGGUUGAAGUUAUAGCUUUUAGAAAAGUAAAAAAGCAACAGGGAGAGAUAGAUGAACUUAUCUUAAAUUCCAUAUAAAUAAGAUCAAGGUCCUAUACCCUACCCAAUAUUUUUACUAGGGUCACAACCCUUAAUUAUUUAUUAAUAUGAAGAAAAAGCUAAGAAGACGGUCCGAUCACUAUUUAGGAAACCACGAGGACACGCUGACCACAAAUCUCCGUUGUGGGAUAUUAGCAACAAGAAUAUAACAUUUUCAAAAUUCAAUUGCCAAAAAAUGACUUUCAUAGAGUAAAAUCAGAAAAAGUUAGACCAUAUAAACAUAAUAUACAUUGAGCCCAUGACUACACACCUGUAGGAAACCAAAGCUUGUUUAAGAUUUGUCAAAUUAGAAUUUCUAAGGUUUGUGUUUCAUUAUUAUUACUAAAUUAUUGUAAUAGGUAAAAUAUAGCAUCUUCAUAUCCCUUCUCUAAUAUGUCACUAGCACGAAAUUAUCUACUCUCUCAUGAUGAUCGAUGUCUACACAAAUUUAAACUAUGUGCUACUAGUUUCUGGUUUAGGUGUGACUAGGGCUACCGAAGCAAUAACUCGAACGUGAGCAACAUGAAAGCAGAGAAAUGAUGGGGAAUCAAAACAUUCGUAGUUUUUAUUUAAGAAAACAUUCUAUCUUGCCUUUUAGGCGAUGGUUCUUCAUUUGCCAUCUUGAAGUGUACUACCCCUAUAUAUUUGAAGUCGUUUUCUAGAUAGCAUUGGAUUCAUAUAAUUUUUUACUUCUAAAUUUCGAUUAAAAUUUUUAUUUUCCUUUUAGAGUCAUUCAUGACAUUCUACAAAUUAAUUUUGGUACAAGCACAUAAUCUAAAAUUGAUAAGAAAAGUUGGUGUUGCGUUAACUUUGGUUUCUUAUUAUGCUAAAUGAUUAUACUNNNNNNNNNNNNNNNNNNNNNNNNNNNNNNNNNNNNNNNNNNNNNNNNNNNNNNNNNNNNNNNNNNNNNNNNNNNNNNNNNNNNNNNNNNNNNNNNNNNNNNNNNNNNNNCACACUGACAUAUGUGAUCAGUAUAUCUGUCAGCUGACAACGCUGUCUUCUUAGCAUGGCCUAUUCAUAUAGGUAAAGAAAGCAACCUACAACUAGAUUUAACUUCUGGCACUUCCGCAAAAUGUUCAGUUAUAUAUUUUUUAGUUCAAGUGGGCCCUCGUCUUACAUAUGUAGAUUGAAUAUCUACGAGGAAUGUCGCGCCAGCGUUAUACGUUGGCACUAACUAAGCUAAUUUAUUUGGUGAAUUUUUUUUUUUUUCUAAACAUAGUUCUGAUAUGGGUAAGAAAAAUAAAUAAAAUAUUUAAAAAAAAUCUAACUAUAGUUCUGAUAUGGCUAGCUGGCUAGGGUAGACCGCAGUUUCGAGGCACGACGUGGAUCGUUGGGUGCUCGCCGUUCGCGAACGCCACCUCCCGUGCAAGCACACCCUUGCCACCUUAGCGACGAGUCGCCUCUAUCCUUAAUUCAGCAUAGCCUCCAUUCACGAACGUCUCCCCCUAGUUCACUCGCGACACUUCUGUUUUUCAUUUCUUCUUUUGCAAAUUUCCUUAUUUUUGAUUUGUUGAUAUUUAUGUUAUUUUUUAAUUUCCUUAUUUGUGAAUUUUUUGUUAUUCUAUUUUAAGUUUUUCCAAAAGAGAAAUAAUUGCGUGACAGUCUUUAAUAUACUAUAAGAAUAACAGUCAAUUCUAAAUCACAAAAAUCAAAUCAUAAAUAAUUAUAAAUUAUUAUAAAACUCAUUUUUUAAAGAAUUUAUGAUUCGCAGUAUAUUGUUAUUCUCAUAAUCCUUUCAAAAACUUAUGUAGGUUUACCGUGUUGACAUUCAACGAGACCUAAUUGCCAUUUCAACAUUUAUGUUUCCUUUUAAAUGGAAAGACCAAACCAAAUAAGAACGUAUAUGAUUUAGGGAUCUAAUUCCACCGAAAAAAAAGGGACCUAAUUAAACCCUUUGUAAAAGUUUAGGGAUUACCUAUACUUCUAUCUUUUUUUUUUCUUUUUUUGUGUACUGUAAUUGACAAAGUCAACAAAUUAAAUACUAGUGUAAAUAACUCAAUUUACCAAAGAGCUACUGGAAUUUAAUUUGUUUUUCAGUCGAACUCGCUUUCUUUUUUUGGGGUUCGAGUCGAACUAGAGUGGCUAAACUGUUGAAUUAUGUAAAGCUCGAGUGGCUUUAUCAUCGAAUUGCGUAGGUAAACUUUCGUGUUGGACAUUGAAGCAUACACAGUAAGUCAAGGAGCUUACGAGCAGUUUAGAGAUUGGUUCCUCUUGAUUUGACUGCAUCUUUCCUUUAACUAGUUGCACGACUUGGUACAAUCUAUUUUUCUCAUGUCUAAUUUUGUUAAGUGUGGUUAUACAUCAUCUGAUUAGAAUUAAUCAUAAAGAAAUUUUAUUUUUAUGAAGGACAAGGAAUCGACUUAUCUCACUUCCUCUUUCUCCUGGCAUUUAAUGUGGUGGGCAACAUGGUGCUCUCACGGGAUCUAUUGGACCCAAAAUCGAAGGAUGGGCCCGAGUUCUACGACGCCAUGAACCGGUUCAUGGAGUGGGCUGGCAAGCCCAACGUAGCCGACUUCAUGCCAUGGUUGAAAUGGUUGGAUCCGCAGGGGAUCAAGGCAGGCAUGGCGAAGGACAUGGGUCGAGCCAUGAGGAUUGCCGAAGGCUUUGUGAAAGAGAGGUUGGAGGAGCGAAAGCUAAGGGGAGAGAUGAGAACAACGAAUGAUUUCUUGGACGCAGUAUUGGAUUAUGAGGGCGAUGGAAAAGAAGGCCCUCACAAAAUCUCUUCCCAGAACAUAAAUAUAAUCAUUCUGGUGAGUUUGCUCCUCUCUUCCACGUUUAACAUGACCACACUUUGAGACAUUAGGUCGAAUUCGGUUGAUUAAGUGGCGCGACAAACUUAAGUGACCUUUAUUUCUUCGUAGAUUAACAACUAGGGUCACAUCACGCAUUACGGAGAAGUUUUAGUAGCUUACUUAAUAAAUCAAUCAUGGUGCUGUCUAAGCACUGAUUUUUCUUUUCAUUAAAAUAAACUAAAAUCAAUCUUAUGUCUUCGUCAAGCAAUUUAACUAGUUAUUAUAAAAUUACCAGGUUAGUCAAGUCAAUGUCAAUCAAGUCGAGAAAUUUUGACAUUGGCUUACAAAAUUUGGCUGAAAUCAAAUUGAUUGCAAGGAUAAAAACCAGUGCAAAUAAUUAUUGCAAUCAAACUCUUAGGCAGGAAUAAUUUUCAAAGCCGUUGACGGACAAUUGCAGUAAAGCAAUUAUUGUAGCUGAGACUAUAAGAAGCGCACAUCUUAAUGGAACGCGCAGACAUAAGAAGAACAAGCUUUACUUAUGUUAAUCCAUUUUGCUCUCUUGCAAAUCUUUUUCAGUUAUUUCCCAGCAACCUAUUUCUUGCCAUUCCAGUUGUUUAUUUCCUUUUGUCAAUCAAGCACUUGCCCCAUCUCUUUCAUAAAUACUUCUGUUGUCACUGGUGGAUUCAUUUCGUCAACUUCAAGUUCUUGUUCCUUUCUUUGUGUGCCAAUCAUCUGCCAAUUCGAAGAAUAGGAACUGCUGUGUUUGAUCAGGAUUGUUGAUCAGGUGAAGCAUGAUAAUUUUUACUAUUGAGCUGACGAUUCGAGGGUGACCUUUUCCAGCCAAAGAGAAUCUCUUAAUUAUAGGACGAAACUCGGACACUUGUGGUAUCCAAGACCUAAUCUUUGUACUAAAUGGGUCUACUUGAUGGUGCAGGAAAUGUUUUUCGCCGGAUCGGAGAGUACAAGUAGCACCAUCGAGUGGGCGAUGGCGGAGCUACUCCGCCAACCCGAGUCGAUGAAAAAGGCCAAAGAUGAGAUUGACCAGGUUGUGGGGUUGAACAGAAAGCUCGAAGAAAAUGACACGGAAAAGAUGCCAUUUUUGCAAGCCGUGGUGAAGGAAACCCUAAGAUUGCAUCCCCCAUUACCUUUACUUAUCCCACGAAAUGCUCUAAAGGAAACCAAAUUCAUGGGUUUUGAUAUACCCAAAGAUACCCAGGUUUUCGUGAAUGCAUGGAGCAUUGGAAGAGACCCCGAUGCUUGGGAGGACCCAUUGGCAUUCAAACCAGAGAGGUUCGUGGGAUCUAAAAUUGACUACAAGGGUCAAAACUUUGAGCUAAUUCCAUUUGGAUCAGGCAGAAGAAUAUGCGUCGGACUUUCAUUGGCGGAUAGGGUGCUUCAUCUUGGUCUUGCAACACUGCUUUACCAUUUCGAUUGGGAACUAGGCGAUGGUUCAACUCCAAAGACCCUCGACAUGAAAGAGCGGGUGGGAAUAACACUUAGAAAGCUCCAUCCUUUGAAAGUGAUACCUAAGAAAUGUAGCGUGUGAGGUAUAAUUACCCUAAGGUUAUUAUAAUGUUAUCGUGUCAAGGAUUAAAAAAGCUGUCCAAGAAAGACUUCUUAAGAACGAUGUCAUCCCUGCACAAAUAUCUUAGGGAAACUACAAGUUCUUAUGUUAGCAUUUGGGUCCCGUUUGAAUUGUAUGACUUGAGCAUGUAGCAGGGUAGCUCCCCUGCCCUUUAUACCAUCAAUAAAACCUCACUUGUCGAAAAAGAAAAUUACUCUACAUUUGGCUCCACACUUAGAGUCCACAAAAUGGACAUUUGCGAUGAACCGGAUUCACUAGACGCAAGACUGUACAAUAGAUUCCCGAAUCAUAUACUAUAAGCGGUUUCUAGUGGGUGAUGGUGGAGCGAUCAAAGAGAGCAAUAUAAAAGAAAAGUAACAGGAAGAUACUGUAUGAUCUUGUCGGAUCUUGUCAAAUCCAUAUGGACAAUUGAUCACGUGGACUCUGCAGUAGGACCCAGUCGGUGUUGGUUCACAUGUUUUGUCACUAUUGCAAAUUAUUCUAAAAUAAACACAAGAUUGCAAAUUUGCUGAAGAAGGCUGUAGAUACGUCUUGAUUCAUUAUCAUGAUCCAUCCGUAUAUAAUCCAAAAGCAUAUAUAUUUGGGCACCCCUCGAAUACCCCUUUGAACUUCUGACCAAUUAAUUUACUUUAGUAAGUUCACCUUUUACUUUUCCGUGGCGGCUACUUAAUUAAAUUCUUGCUAGGACCGAUCGACUACAUGUAAAAUGAAUGCAUCAACAAAAUAUACUUGACCAAAACAAAGAAAAUCAGUUAAAAAUCACGGUUCCAUUUAUGUCCAUCAUCUUAAAUCAUUUGCAAGCUUAGACUUAGCUCAAUAAUAAACGCCAUUUGGAAUGAUUCACUAAAAACAUUUCCUCAACAAAGAUGUUCAAAAUCAUUUGCACUUCAUGGACCUAGUUCAUGAUAGAUUUAGAAUCCACUAUCUUGAGUUCAAGAAUUUGGCUACCACAAAUUUCUCAGUUUUGUAUUUCUUUUCUAAGGAUUCCCAUAAUUGUCUAAUAGUUUCAAUGUUACAAUAAACAUGAUACAAGGAAUUUGCUAGAUAGUUAAGGAUAUAGUUUCAGCAUAGGAAAUCCUUGUGCUUCCAAGGCUCCAGCUCCCCAAGCGUCGUGACAUCUUUUGCUCAUCUGGACUAAUUAUUGAGCACACCUCUAAUGAGUACUUGACUAAAUUCAGUGUGGUCAAUAAAAGAACAUCUUCUAUUACCGUUGCUUAAAGCCCACACUAGUUAACUCACACGGUUUCUCAUUCGGUGUUAUUGGAGAAGGUAUCAUCAUAUUAGGCAAAGCUUGUUAAACCAUCUCUCCAGAAAUUGAACCAUACACCAUUAGAUAUGUACUUUUUUGAAAAAUAGUCCCUAGUGUAUCGGUCAAGCGACUUCUACUGGUACCACCAUAGAUGGUUUCGGCCUGAAAGUUUGCAGCAUUUGUUGUCACAACACUAGACCAUGAGGUUUGAACCUCCCUCAUUGAAACACCAUAUGAACGUCUCACAAACAUUCCAACAUUAUUGGGUACUUGAUUGUUAUUAGUCAUCUCGAUUUUUUGAUAAACCCAACAAAAACAGUAAAAGAUAAUCGCCUUAAGAUUGUGGGAAAUAUUAAUACGUAUUGGAGAAAAUAAUAAUAAUUUUAAGAAAGCAAUAUCAAAAUAAACAAGAGGUGAGGCACGGCUAAUCAAAUCUCCUUAAGGCGAUUAGUUCAUGUCAACCAAUUAGUUUCGCGAACUAUGCCUAUCAAAAUACAACACCUCAAACCCGUUUGUAUAAGCACUAUAUGAACAAGAUUUUAUCGAACACUUCUUUAAAUCAGCACACUUAAAGAAACUACCAAGAAACUAGAGGAAUACUUUGAGGAUUUUUUGUUGUUAUUUUGAAUUAAGAAGACGUGUCUAUUUAUAGACAAGGGAACUAGCUGUAGAAAACUGAAAGGACAUGAACUCAAGAGUCACACUGAUUAUGCUCACAUUAGUUGAGCCAUUAACCCUUAAUAACAACAUUAUUAGAUCAGAAACUACAGGAGAACAAAGAGUCAUGAACCCAUAAUUGCAACAAUUAGGGCAUGAUCCAAAGAGACAAACUGGUUGCAUGUGAAUUGAAAAAGGCGUGAAUUGAAGAGACGUUUCAUUAACGUUGAGCCAUUAAAACCUAUGAUUACAAUAAUAAUUACAACACACUGUGCCUCCCUUAGUUCUUGUCCCAAGAGCUUCUAAUUUGAAUUCAUCAAGUACGCUAUGUGCAUCAUAAAAGCAUCUUUCAGUUUCUCAAGCCAAAAUUAGGUCACAUAAACUUGUUAUACAUGUGUCCCUGAGCACCCCGAUCUCAUGCUUGAUGCCCUCUAAAUUUCCAACUUUUUCUAGUGCUUGUGGAGCCAUAGCUCUAGCAAUGCUAACGAUGACAGAUGCCAUCUCUCUCUCAUAAUAUAUUAGUCGAGUCAUUCCAAGGCCAGAGACUGCAGGUAAGUAUAAUAAGUUUAUGUGACCUGAUUUUUAACUUCUUCGAUGGAGUCGAGUUGUUGAAGGUAGGAUUCUCAUCAUCCACGCAAGCCUAUAUCAAUAAUGCAUAUAGGACGCACCGAUUUGGUUUGUCUAAGAUAUUUUGUGCUUCAAGAGUUUACUCGUUUAACGUGCUUGCAAGUCGUAAAGGCAAUGAAAAGGCUGGCGUUGAAUUGAAAUCCAUGUUUAUUUUGAAUAUUAAAUUAACAAUAAAAAAAUUAACAGUAAUAAAUUAGAAGGAUAGAACUAAGUUCCCUAUGUUCACUUUUUUUCCAUAAAAAUAGCCGCCUCCUUGGAAAGUCCUAACCACGUGAUAUAUGCAAUACCAAUCAAAUGUAAAAAAUCAUAAUUGAAUCUAUUUAAAAUGGGUAUAAUUAUUGGUGCAUCAUUUUCUAAUUAAAUCACUGUCCCCACAUAUCAAUCUUUUAAGAAGAAUAUGGCCAUUUUCAUCUAUUCUUUUCUUCAGGCUUAUUUGGAAACUGUUUCGAAAACUAUUCUCCAAAAUUUUCAAACAUUGCGCUGAUUCUCAACUUUUAUUCUUGACACAAGUGGAGAGCGAUCUGAAGAGGGUUAAUGCGUUUCUAGUUUUUGGUUACUUCAUGAUACAAUGGAUGUUGUUAUAAUUAUCAUUCAAUGAAAUAAUUUGCUUAGUCAAUAUAUAUGCUUACUGCUGUUCGUGGAAGGCUUCGUUCUUUAUUUUUAUUUUUUUCCAAAUAAUGGGGAAUCAUUAUCUAAAUUCUUGGGAUGAAUUUUGGGUAUGACAAGUUUGGAAUCAUAACUUAGGUUAUAAAACCAGUUUAGCUAGCAUUAAUUCGGGCACCGUGAUGUGCGAUGAGUUAGUAACUAGAUGUGUGUGCGUGCGCACGUCACACACAAUAUGCACUCAUGCAUUACAUGUAGCUACUCUUUCAAUGGAUAUAGAAAGUUCUAUAUGCAUAGGUAGCAUGAUCGAUUUGUUAGCAUUCUGAUGCAAAUGUCAUUGCUCUUGGCUUGAAACUAUUCUUCAUAUUGUCAUGAGACAUUAGUACUAUUAUUUUACUAAAACAUUACAAUUUGGAUAGGGAAGUUCACUCUCCUUGCUAAUCUCUCAGAUUUAUUUGCUUCCUAUGAGUAAAAUGCUUCUAUAUAGUUUAUUUCUUUCUUUAGCUUUCCUAUUCUCUAAGUAAAUGAAUAAUCUCUUCCCAUACUAGGCAAUAACAAAACUUGCACAUUUUGCAAACUCCUAACAUUUAGACAUUUUAUGCAUGUCACUCCUUUUCAUGAAAGGGAUGUCUACUUUUUUUUUUUUUUUUUUGAGAAGAAAGAGAAGCCUUUUUUGCCGCAAAUUGCAGGUAUUCCGAUUUGAGAUAUUUACUCGCGGGAAACAUGCAAACGAAGAACAAGUCUUAUGGGGGAAUCUACUCCGAGCACUGAAAGUCCAAUCAUUGAAUUUAAUGGACAAUCCGGGGAGGACACAAGUCAACCGCAUUCCAAGCACAGCCCCUAACAUGACUGUGACACAUCUCAUUUGACAAAUCACCUGCGAAGAGUACAUAUAUCGCAAUAACGGGGGGCAUUCUAGUUCAUUUACCCUGAACGCUACAGAUAUUCUUUUUAACUUACUUAAGAUAAAAGAAAGUGAAUUUGAAACUAUCCCGUCAAGAACCACACCACAAAGGGAGAAAAAUGAAGGUCAGAAUGAAACAAUUAUGAAGAUGUGGAGAAACAAAACUACCUUGUUUCGCUUACAUCAUUCUCUGAAUAAGCAAACUGGAGAAUGGGUUUUUGUAUUGAGUUGGAAGUCCUUGAAAGUUCCUCAAAUUCUUGAUCUGGGGGCACAAUUGGAGAAAUUUCUAUAUUCAUUCCCAGCCGGUAACGAAAAAUAUGAAGUUCUGCAUGCUCUGAAUCGGGUUUCAAGAGUGCAAAAAGGUGAUUAACGUUAAAGAGAAAACGAACAAGAAAAAACAAAAAAGAAGAGAUCAUUCCCAUCAAGGUUUUUCUGUCUGCUCAAGCAAUUUAUUUAUCAAUUUGAUAGUGUUACUUUCUUGCUUCCAUAACUGUAUGAUCAUUCAUCGCAUGUUAGUGGUUUAAGACCAAUCAAUCAAGGCUACUUGCAAAACAUUUUGUGAAAUAAAGUGAAGAUGCCAAAGGGAGAUAGAUUUAUCUAGCAUAAUCAAGUUCCUUAUUCAUGAAAUCUCUAGUUCAUAAAGUAAAGUGUUCUCUCACAUUUUACUUGGGUUUUUAAUCAACCAAAGUAGACUAAUGCCAAUUCUUAAAUGAAUUGAAUUGGAUGUCUAAAUAAUGUAAUUAAAACCCCAAAGUUGUGAUUGUCGGGGGUUUGAGAGAACCCACAUUAGACAAUGGUACCAUCUUUUUAAUGAGUAACCAUUCGCACUUGCAUAAUAAUCCAUUAGCUUUCUCUUAGUGGUCCACCUCUAAGAAGGUCAUGACAGUUGGCAAUUAGAGAGUGGCAACUAAAUUAAAGAAGGAAAAGUGAGCUUGUUGGAUUAGACACGAGUUGACCGAGCAAUCGCAUGGAAACGAUGAAUACACACUCCUCAUUUAUCCGAUUGCACUAAAAUGUCGAGGGGAGUUAGUCAACAAGCCGACGAAGCUUGUGUAAAAGUUUUAGACCAAACGGAUAUUGAAAAGUUUAGUUUUGAAGGCUUGACAUCAUUUUUUUUCCAGGCAUCCUUGUGUAAGAUCAUCCAGCAUUCCUUGAAAAAAUGCAAAUUUAGGAACUAUUCUUGGAACUAGCAUGUGAGCCAUAUAUUGUUUGAAAAUAGACGUAAAGACACUCGUCGUGAUACGUUUUUUUUUGUCAAAAUUGUUGUGAUACUUAUCUUGCAAUCGUUUUGAGCUUGUUUGGGUCUACAAUUAAUCAAGAGAAGUUGGGUAUAAAUUACUAGGAAGAAAAUUGAGUCCAAGUGUGAAUUGGUGCUGUUAAAGCUCUUUGGAGUGAUCAUAAUUUUAGCCGUGGGGCUUGAGGUUCUCAUACUACAUUGUCCCUAGUUGAAGAGUGUAGGAGAUUCCUAAUAUUCAUCAUAUGCACAGAUGACCUAUGUGAACUGAAACCUAACUAUUAAUGAACGAUCAUGCCUUUGGUUUAUAUGUGCAAAAGGAAUGCUGCGAGAAAAAUGAAUGCAAUGUUGUAUAAACUGAUUGUUUUGUUUUUAUCGUGGGUCAAAUUUAUGAGAUGCAAAUGUAUGAUAAAUUCAUCAGUGAAAUUCACGUGUUAGCAUCAAAAAGUCCUUUAAAUAGUGAAGAUUGGAAAUUUCGAUCAAAUUAAUGAUUGGACUUAAAUAUAUGAUGUUUUCGAAAAAGACAAGCCAUCUUACUAAGGCAAAAGUUGUUGGAGUUAUCCCACAUCAAUUAUGGAAUUGUUUGGUGGUUAGUUUAUAAAUAUGAAGGAAAGUUUCACCCUUUGAAUAAACGUUUGAGGUGAGAGAAGCCCAAGACUACCAAACAUUGGUGUUAGAGCCAAUGGUAGAUUGGUGGCCCCAAUCUGUUCUAGAUAUCUCAAUAAAAGGAAUCUAGUGACCAACCCAAUUUAUGGGCAAUGUGUGUUGUGGUAUAAUGCAAUCCCAAUGGUAGUCUUCAUGGUUCAAUUCAAAGAAAAAAAACAUGGAUAAAGGUGGGUGUUGGAGAUUCAAGUUAAGAUUAGUUAAUAUAGAAAGAUACCUAAAUUCAGGGGAGCAAACCUAACAUUGAGCUCAAAUGUGAUGGGGAGAUUGUUGAGAUAUACAUGUGAAUUAUCUUAAGGAAAGGAAUCUAGUGACCAACACAGUUUCUGGGCAGUGUGUGUGGUGCUGUUGCAACACAAUCCCAUGGUAUUUUUCAUGGUUCAAUCCAAUGAAAAAGAACAUGGACAAAGGAUGGAUGAAGGUGAAUGUUGAAGAUUCAAGUUGAGAUAAGUUAAUGUAGAAAGAUACUUGAAUUAAGGGGGAACAUACCUAACAUUAAGCUUACACGUGAUGAGGAGAUUGUUGAGAUACAUAUAUAAGUUGUGUUUGGGAAGUCCCACAGUGGAGAAUUGGUGUAGUGUGAAGUAAUUAAUUUAUCUAGUUGGUCAAUAACUCAUUACUUUAAGCUUUUGAGUGAAGAUGGGUUCAAUUAGAUAUGUUGAUAGACUUAGACUUCGGCUCCCUCUUAGCAAUCUCCUAGGGUAAAGAUAUUGAACAUCUGUUAUACACUCCCAACAAAAGUAAAUACAUAACUAUCCUAUUUUGAUAGGACAAAUUAGUUGAUAAAUCAAUCCAUGAAACCCAAGAAAGAACAAGGCAUCAUAAUUUUGUGGAAACCAGAGGAUUAUAUUGAGUACUAGAGUAAAGUUGUAAGAAUUAAAUGCACAAAUUAAGAGUUAUGGAUUUGAUUGCAUAAUUCAUGUAAGUUGUUUGACCAAAAAUGAAAUUAUUCCAAUGAAAUAAGAAUCGAAUUUAACCUAAUUCGAUGAAAUGGAUGAAUCACCAGACUCCACGUGACCAGCAUGUUACUCCUAUUCAUAGCCGAAAGAUAUAUUAAUGUUUUCUCCUUUUUAUUUUGUGGAUGGCAAAUAAUAGCAUCUCCUGUUUUUUCUUUAUUGUUUUGGGUUGCUUUCUUGUGAACAGGAUAUAUUAUAUCAUUUUUUCCACGCAAUAAUCGCAUAAGUGCAAGGUGAGCAAUAGCUCAAAGCUUAGCCAAUGGAGUACUGCCCUACUUUGCUCUUUUGGCUCGGCCUCCUCCUCCCGGCACUUCUAUUUUUCCUUCUCAACCGGAAGCGCACCAAGCUUCCCCCUCAGCCCCCCGCAUGGCCCGUGAUCGGCAAUAUCCUCGACCUCGGGACCACGCCGCACCAGAACCUCCACAACUUCCGAGCCAAGCAUGGGCCUGUGACGUGGUUGAAGCUCGGUUCCGUGAACACCAUGGUGAUCCAAUCAGCUCAGGCCGCCGCAGAGUUCUUCAAGG